This 171613-nucleotide long non-coding RNA is filed under the name Eucalyptus grandis. Its description in RNAcentral is "long non-coding RNA (EGRA_LNC001325)". Lineage: Eukaryota; Viridiplantae; Streptophyta; Magnoliopsida; Myrtales; Myrtaceae. The record is from RNAcentral.
GAGCUCUUGAGGCUGCUUAUCACCAAGCAUUCGGGAAACAAAUCUCUCUGUCUGAGCAGCAGCUCGUGGACUGCGCUGGGGCUUUCAACAACUUUGGAUGUAGUGGUGGACUGCCAUCCCAAGCCUUUGAGUACGUCAAGUACAACGGUGGCCUUGAUACCGAGGAAGCAUAUCCUUAUACUGCAGUGGAUGGUAGCUGCAAAUUCUCGGCUGAUAAUGUUGGUGUCCAAGUGCUCGACUCUGUUAACAUCACCUUGGUAAGUUUUGUGGACUAUCUGUAGAUUUAGCGAAAAUUAAAGGAAAAAGAAAAGAAAUUGCACAAAGAUAGAUUCAAAUUGCUGAUCUGUUUAUAUUUGCAUACAUGGUGGAUUCAGGGUGCUGAGGAUGAACUAAAGCAUGCAGUUGCCUUCGUCCGGCCAGUGAGUGUGGCAUUCCAGGUCGUGAAAGACUUCAGAUUGUACAAGUCGGGUGUCUACACGAGCGAUACAUGCGGUAGCACUUCCAUGGUGAGCAUUUGCUAAUAUAAUGAAAGGAGCACUAUCGCCAUCUCGAUCAUGUCUGAAGGAUGCUAGUGUGUAGGGAUUAGAGAGCCUUCUAUAUGUCGAUAAAUCUCAACCAUGACAUUUACUUGAGUACCUAUCUUGUCGAGAAUAAGUUUUGCAUGCAAGGCGAUGUUCAUGCUCUCGUCUAAUGUAAACUGAAUGUCCUAUAUUAGGAUGUGAACCAUGCUGUUCUCGCUGUUGGUUAUGGAGUUGAAGAUGGUGUUCCGUUCUGGCUCAUCAAGAAUUCCUGGGGAGCAGACUGGGGUGACCACGGAUACUUCAAGAUGGAGAUGGGAAAGAACAUGUGUGGUAAGUCCCCUCCUAUAUAAAAUUCUUUGAUUUUAGUAGUAUUAACCAAAAUAUACGCUUUUGAAAUUCUCGCAGUCUUUCAGUUCAUGUCCAUUCAUUCUUUGAUUAAUUUCCUAGUAAGUUACUCCGUGCUCAUCUAAUGUUCUUAAAUUGCAGGAGUCGCUACUUGUGCAUCAUACCCUGUUGUGGCCUAGAUUGUUUCCAGAGGAUCAAUGGGUUCGUGUGCCAGGUAAUUCGAGAUAUAUAUAUUUCGCAUGAAGAAUUGCUCCGCCCUGAGUUGGAAUGCUAUAGUGUUAGCACAAAAGGGUUUAGCUUAGUGCAAAAAAUAAUCAUCAGGACAGCUGCAACUCCGUAUGGUUAUUGUUAUAUGAACAAAGACCUUGUAAAUACCUUUCUAUGUUUGUGUGGCAUGGAACGCUAUCUUUGCAAGAAUAACGCAUCAAAUUCCCACCAACGCUGUGUUUCUGGGAAAGGAAGAAACGUAUUGCUUACAUUCAUUAUGAACCCGACUUUUGGCAAAUCAAAUUCUCGGCAAAGCUACGCCUUCCCGAGUGAAUGAAUUAGUUCUGCAAUUGUAUCAAAAGGAUUCUCCUAGAUAAAAAACUCGCUAACAAAAGUCAGUCUCCCUGAAUUGUUUUGCAUUCAACGUGUAUACGACUGCUAAACUCGACGGAAAAGGCCCUCGACUCGUCGUCAAAUCAUCAAAGACAAACCAUUGAUUAAUGCCCUUAAAUGGAUUUAUAUAUCCGAUGCUAAACAGGAAAGAUCUAUUCAGUAGAUUUCAUGAUCCCAAAAUUUUCUCAGAUCUUGAUAUAAAUUAAUGGAAUGUCAUGCCAUUUGGACUUCAAAAAUGCAUUGCAGAAUUUAAGAGGAUUAUAAAUUAUAUUUUCAAUCCAUAUUCUCAAUUCAUGGUCUAUAUUGAUGAUGUUUUUAUUUAUUCUUCAAGUAUUGAUCACCAUUUCAAACACAUAUCUAUUUUCAUAAAAAUAGUUAGAAACAAUGGAUUGGUGGUUUCCCCUACCUAAGUAUCACUUUUUCAAAUGAAAAUCAGAUUUCCUGCCAGUGAAUUAUUAUUCUAAUCGAAAUAUCUAUAAUAUUAAAGGAUUCCAAAUGAAAUCAAAGACAAAACCCAACUACAAAAAUUGUCGUGAAGUCUGGAUUAUGUCCUGGAUUUCUUCUCAAAUAUUAACGUCACUUGUAAACAUUACCAAUAAAAAACCCCCCAAACGGUAAUCCAUUCACACAAAUAUUAUUAAAUAGUUCAAAGAACACAUCAAAAAGACUCCAUGUCUUCAUCUGGCAGACCCAUCUGCAUUUAAAAGAAUAAAAAAGGAUGCUUUAGAGGUAUGAUGCGAAGGUAUUCUCAAACAAAUUAAAAACAAUAAAGACAGACAAAAAAAAAAAAAAAUCUCCUCUAAAUAUUGGAAUGGUACCCAACCAUAUACACGUAGAGCCUAUCUUUGGCUUGUCACUGAUGUUUAGAUUAAGUAUGUAACGUGAAACCAUACUUCUACAUUGCACUAUAAUGGCCAACGUAAUAAAUAGAAGGAAAAUUUAGGAUGUCACACUAGUGUUGAUCUUGAAACAUUAAGCUUCUUCUUCAUUUUUCCAUCUUCCUCCCCCAUCAAAUGUGUCCUUGACAAAAAUUUCGCAUUUUUAUUUGCUCUUAUGCGAUUGUUUGGGCCGUUAUCCAGCGGAACGGGCUAGAUUUCUAGCGGGCUCAUGUCUCUAACUACAUUGAUUUUAUCAUCUUAGGGCCUAUUUGAAUUAUGGACAAAAGCCGAUGAUGAUAUUGAUCUUACUAUUUAUAAUUUGGGAGGAACUACUUUGUCGAGAUUGAUAGCGAGGUUUUUUUUUUAAAAUAAUAUGGUCGUGAAGAAAAUUUUCAUUUCAUAUCAAAGAGGUACAUAAUUUCAAGACAAAGAUGCAAUCUCACAAAGCAAGUAAAUCUGAAAAGCAAAUCAACUCAGUACAACUUGUAGAGACUAGCUCAUUCCGCAAAAAAGGAUCUAUUAUAGCAUCUAAGCACAAUUAGUGGCCGAUUACUGAAUCUCACAUUAUUAUUAGUGAUGAUCACAUACCAAGAAAUCCCUUUAUAGUAGCUACAGUUUUGCUAAAAGGCAGUACGUGCCUAGGUUUAGCCUCCCUAGCACCAUCACCAUAUAAAGACCACAACAAUACCAAAAGGUAGAAAGACCGUUGAAAACUUAAAAAUAAGCCAAUUGCCGAAGGCAACAACAAAGGAGCCUUGGAGACUUGAGGAGUACUUGACUAUCUGGAAGCAAGCACCUGAAGUCAGAGUGAGCAAGCAAAUCCAGAUAGAGCACAUUCUUCUGAGGUACUCGCUCUUCGAUCUUCAAAGCUAACUUCUAUGGAGGAUGUCGAUUGCAUCAUCCAUGAAAUCAACAAAGAAAUUUGAGAGAGAGAGAGAGGUCCCUUAAGGGAAAUUCUAAGACAAACACUCGAGUGGAAUUCUAAAUAAUAGAAACAAUUCACAAGUAGGAAUGAUCAUCGAUCACUUUACCAACCCAUGUAAGCCCUCAAAGUUUCUAUUUUUGUGGGAAAAUUACCAAAAAAAAGUCAUCCUAUUAUACUUGUUGACACCUAAUUUGUGUUUUCAAGUACAUAAUUUUUUUUUAAAUUAACUAAUUAAUUAAUAUUGAAAAAAAGGUGGAAGGGGGGCCUUUUUCUUUCCUUCCCCGCGCGGCCCGGCCCCAGCCUUCUCCGCUCCUCCAGCCAUCCUCGCGCCCAAAGACCUGCAGAAAAGAAGAGGGAGCAGGGAGAAAAGACAGGGGAGCAGGGGCAGAAGAGGGAAAGCAGGGGGGGUGCAGAGAGAGGGGACCUGAGAUUGGACGUGUGAGAGAGAAAAAAUAAUAAAAGAAGAAGAAUAAGGGCUUCUUCUUGGGGCGUCGCCGCUGCUGCUGACACCAGCAACCGGAGCUCCGCCCCGCCUCAACCCGACGCCAGUACAGCACCUGCAGCCGCGAGCACCGCCAUGCCAGCAACUCGAGCCCCCUCGCCGCACCACCGCAGCUGCUGUUUCGCGAUCGCCGGAGCUCUGAACGCCGUCGCCGUUGCAUCCCUCAGCCAAGCCGACGCCCUGCUCGUCGCCGCGCCCGUCGCCGCGCCACCAUUGCUGCUGUCACCCAGCUCGAAGCCACGAGCGCCACUGCUGCCGCGCCUCCGCCCGCCAGUCACCGCGCCUCUGCCCGACUCCAGCAACCCACGUCGCCGCAACUGCCCGUCGCCGCACCUCCGCACCACCGUUGCUAUUGUCGCGCAGCUCGAAGCCGCGAGCACCACCGCAACCACGCCUCCGUCUCGACUCCAUCCCCAACGUAGCCGUCCCUGUUGCGGCCCGAUUUCAUCAGUAUCACCUCCGACGCAGCCGCUGCCUGUCCUUGCUGUGCCGCUGCCAUUCCGCCGUCCCCGACGACUGUCGCCUUGUCUGGGUCCCCCGCUGUGCUCAGCCAGCCUCGUCGCAGCACCAGCCCCAAGUCACCACGGAAUCCUAACGCCAUCGCUGCACCAAGCCACCGCCACCGUGCCGUCACCCAUCGCGUCCCCAUCGUUGCUGGGUCGCCGCUGGCCGGCGUCCCGACCAUUCCCCCUCGGCGCCGCAAAGAAGCCUUGGAGUAGAAGGCACAAACCGGGUCAAAAGAGCUGGCCGGGUUUUGGCCGAUCCGGGCUUGUUUGUUCUUCGGGCAGGCUCCGUCUGGGCUGAAGCAAGGCCUUUGGACCGGUUUAAUAUUAAUUUUUUUUUUCCAAGCUUAGUUUAUUUAGGUUUCUUUUUUUCAAAUGGACUCUUUUUUUAGCUGAACUAUGCCCAUAGUUCAGGCCCAGCCUUGCUGCGGCCUAACAAGUUAGGUUAGACUCGGAGGCUAACUGGCCCUCCCCCAACCGAACCUAGGUUCCGUCUCUAACCAAACCUGACCCGCAUCGGCUGGGUUGAACCCAGGUCGGGUUAGACCGGACCCGACUCGGUUUGCCUAAUUUUUUUUCCAUAAUUAAAAAAAAAAUUCAAAAAUUAAAAAAAUACAGGGUUUGGUUAGGAAUUACUAUGUCUUGCAUUCUUAGUGUAAUUAGGCCUUUAUUUACUCGUAUAUCGAUUAUGUUGCAGGUUUAAUUUACAUAUUUAAUUAUGUUUGUGAUUGUUUAGCUACAUAUGCUAAUUUCACUGCAAUUAGGAAUUUGAUUGCUAAUAGUCACUUUAAUGAUUACGUACCCACAUGAUCACUUUACAUGUUAGUGAAUAAGUAUAAAAUCAAUCCAAAUUACCUAACAAAAACUCUUUUUAAAAUGAACAAGAUUAGGUACUAAAAUGACACUAAUUGAUUAAUUAGUGUAAUCAAGUCCUCAAUCCUAGAUACUUUGGUUACGUAGGAAGUGAGGUACACUCACAUGUUUCACUUGAUUUCUAACUGACUCCAAUAGGCUAGUAGCGACUCCUUUUUGCAAAAUCCUUAAAAAUUAUUGAAUAUCACGUGAGAUAUGGAUUUGGGAGAGUCUGCAUCUAAUCCUAGGCCUUAGGUUCAUCUUUUAGGCAAUAUCUCUAAACUUAUUCCCUCCCCUGAUGGGUAGAUCGUGAUAGCUUGGCAACUCUACUAGGGACUAAAUCUAUCUUGUUUAAAAAUAAUUUUUGUUUGGCAGCAAGAAUACUGGGUAUGUCUCUAACGUGAGAAUGUUUUUGCAAUUGAGAGUUAUAAGGGGAGGAAUGACUAUUAAUCCCUUGUCUUGUAGGUGUGGAGUUGUAAAUAAACGUUUAUGUGUUGAGCUUAAGUAGUGUUUGUUUAUAGACUAUCGUGUAUGUAUUCCUUGCAUUGCACUACACCAUGACACACUAUCUGCCGUUGGACCUAGGCUGCAUAGGAUCACUUAAGAUAGUGUUAAGGUGGAUACUAUUCCGACUACAACCAUGUAGUAUGAGUUGCCCAUCUCAACCUCGAAACUUCUUUCUUGAUAUCAAAGGUCCUCACUCCGGUUUGCAACCAUGCAACAUGGGUCGAUUUCUUGACGAAGCCAGAGUUAUGGGUAACAUGACCUAGCCGCGAUUUUGUUGGUUCGGUCCAGUGAUCUCAUGGCUCCAUUUUGAAACGUAUAUAUAAAGUCGCCCCUCAUUGUAAGUAUCAUUCUUCUUUUUCUCGUUUUUUUAAUUGAAUUUUCAUUUAGUAAUUUGCGGAGACCAAUCGAAUGUUCUAAGUUAUGUAGGCUUAUAAUUGAAAAAAAUUAGCAAUCAUUCUUGAUAAUUGAACAUUGAAUGCAAGUUCUAAACACUUUGAUUUGACCCUAUUGAACACAUAUGGUUUUGUUUACAUUUCUAGUUAUGGGCUUAAAAUCACAUUUCGAAAAAAAAAAUCAAGUUGCGAUUACAUAUUAGGGCACAAAAAUUAAAAUUGCAUUUUUAAUCAAAUUCUCUCAUUCUCACAUUUUGGGACUGAAAUGCAAAUCACAUUGUGUACAAAUUUCUUAAGAUAAAAGUCACUUCAUUUUUCUAGGAGUAAAAUCACAAAUCAAUCUUUCAAAAAAUCAAUGUCACUUUUGCAUAUGAAACUUCUUGAGUAGAGUGGACAAUAGCUAUCGAUCGAUUUUUUAAUGAUGCCCCUUCUCUUAUGACUAAUCUUGGUGAAAUACCAAAAUCCCAUAAUAGGGACUAUGGGGCAUGUACCAUCGCCUUGAUUUUGUUGUAAGAAGUGACCUCAUUGAGAGAUCAUUUUCUCAUUCACAUACUAACAUUGUUGUCUUUUUGCAGGUUAUGCGCGAUGCUCCUUGACAUUCUUGUGUUCGACCACAUAGAGAAGUGAAUUCUAGAGCUAGGACGAGAGUUGAUUUUUAUUCUUAUCUAUGCAAGAGUUUAUUGUAUUUUAUCAUUGUUUUUAUUCUUGUUAAUAAUCAUAUUUUCCAUUUUGGGUUUUGAUUGUGAAUCCAAUUGAUGCUUUUGUAAAUCACGCGACUCACAAUUUGUUUAAUGAUGGAAUUCAAUUUAAGGAAAAUCAUCCUUUUAAAAACAAACUCAGAAGUGUUUCAAACAAACCUUUGCGUUUACCUUCAAAAUGUUUUGAAAAUGAAUGUCAAGAAAGCUUGGCUUAAGGCCCUCUCUUCGCGUGGUCACUUUCUUAGGUAAAAUGAGGAGUUUAUUUAAGAUUGGCAUUUGCCCCUUCUAAAUGAUAAAAAUAUAGGCUCAUGGAACUCGAUGAGCAAGCAUGCGUCAAGGUUUCGUCGGCGCAAUCUUCCAUAGAGGCAGAAUGAAGUUGAAUUCCGUUUUUGGAAGUUUCUUUAUUUGGAGAUGCCUUAGGUGCCAAAAUAGCCCAUUGAUCUCGUUUCUUUUGCAUGAUGAGACAAACGAGGGGAGUUGCCUAGUAUCCAAAAGGCAAAUUUGAAGGAAGAGUAAAUUGUUUCUGCCAUGACUUUUUUUUUUUCCAUUGUCAAGAAGAUAUCAAGAGUACCAAGCUUCGUAAUAUUCCAACAAACGCGAUAGAGCAUUAUUAAGUCAUGUUUAUCUUAAACAAAGAAAUAUUCAAAGGAAACAGAGGGGCAAUAUUAUCCAUUCCUCCAUAAGAGAUACCUUGGGAUGUUGAUCGCCAGACUUUGGAAAAUGAUAUAUUUCGUUCCUAAACUUGAUUUUCUUUAACUUAAAAAAUGACAUAUCAUUUUCUUUGGUACAAGAUAGACUUGAACAAAAGAAAGGUUUGUCAAAUAAAGAGUAGGAGAGCGAUGUUUGAUUUAGAGAAAAAACUCUCAUUCCCCCCACUAAUGAAGGAGAUAAAUGGGGAAAAAUGUUGCACCUUGACUGUAGAAGCAGCGCCUUCCAUCAAGGAAUCAUGCUAAGACCUGACUAUCCAUUUUGGCAUAAAGGGAUGUGUAUAGUUCCUAAAUGAUUCCUAAUCUUUUCUUUGUAGGCAAUAAAUGGGAAGACAUCAAACACUUAAAGGCAAAUACAAGUGAAGGGUAACGUCGAAUUACCAAUUAUCCACAAGGGUGAAUCCAAGAAAUGUUAGCACCCAAAGGAUAAAAGUGAGUGAAUUGUAUUAAUAUAUCGUUUACAACAUUUCAAUCCCUAAAGAUUUGUACACUAACAUAUUCUUUCACAUUCUUUACAAAGUUACCGAGUCACCAUGCCUUAGGUAAGUACCCUUCUUCUCAUUUUUUUUUUUUUAAAUGGAGAAUUUCCAUUACAAAAAAGAACCUUUGGCACUUUCCUAAAAACAAGAACAAAAAUAAAUAAUUGAGAAAAGAAAAAAAAAAUUUCUACAAACUUUUUAAACAUCAUUUUUAUCUCAAAAUUGUUUUCUCGUUUUGUGAGUUAUUCAUUAUGAAUCAAAUUUCCCUAUGGAGAUUGAUCUACUCAGAUGAUCUCAACAAAGUGAAAGGUGAAACAUUAAUUAUGUUAAACAAAAAGUGUUUAGGAGGAAGAAAGGUAAGCCAUUUCCAAACACCUCAUUCAAACACUUUUGAAAGUUGAGUGAAAAGCAACCUUAUCUUAGGACGAAUGAUUCAUUCGCAUUAAGUGCAAAGAUCAAAAUGAUAAAGGCGUUUCAUUCAUCAAUCCUAAGUAUUGCACUAAUCUCUUGCUACCCCUAUGGGCCAAAUAAAGAUGAUCUUUCAAAGUACCCCUGUCAAGAAUGAUCCUAUAUUGGGGUAACAUAGAAGGUUACGAUCGUGUUGUAGAGCGAAUGAUUGAGAAAAAUUAUAUUACUUUCACUUGUAUCAAUCUUCUGGUGAUAGCUUCAGAGGAAUUCUCAUCAGAGCUUGACUCAUCCCAAUGUGAAGAAUAGCAUUUCCUUUGCUACCCAAACACUAAUACCUGUUGCUUUAACCAAUUUGGGCCUGAUUGUUCAUUUUUGAAUCCUGAGCGGUGAUCAUCUCCCUUCACCAGGGCAAGGCAUAAGAAUUUACCAAAUACAAUUGAUAGUUAUGAGAAAACGUGAAAAGUAUCUCGAAAGUCAUAAGAGCUCCAAAAGUUCAAAGAGCAAAAAGUUCGACAAGUUAGGGGGGCAUGAAAAAGUAGUGUGCCUAGUAAAAGUAAGGCUAAUGCUCGUAAAAAAAAAAAAAAAGAGCCAAAAGGCUACAUCUUAUAUGAAAGAAAAAUGAUCAAAGUCCAAGUGCUUGCGGUAAAAAAAAAAUCAUAAAUGCAAAAGAAAUUAGAGAAAGGAGCAAAGCUCCCAUGCAAAAAUGAUUAGUCAAGGGACUUUCGAGAUGUGCUGUAUUUCAAAAGCCAAAUGAUUUCAAAAGAUUGAGUGACUUGGUCAUGAUGCCAUGAUGAUCACCGACUCUUAAAAGCCUCCUUGAAAAUUUUAAGUCUUUUGAGCCUCUCCUGAGCCAACAUUAUAACCCUCUGCCAAAGUCUCUUCUAAUUGGGAUGGUUCGAGUGAAAAUGAGAAUGCCACAAAGAAGUUACUGCUUGAAGGAGUUGAAACAAUUCUAUCUUGUCUUAUCUUCUAAGUUCUCGACUUGUAAACUCGACGAAGAUAGCAACAAAUGUUCAUUUACUGGCCUUAAAGCAAUAAUCUCUUUGUGUAAGCCCUAAUCGAGCCUAUAUUGCGGUCCUUUCAAAAGAUUUUUUUGAUCGAUCAGAUUGUGCUCAUUGUUAAUGUUUCUGAAAGCCUUCGACAUAAGUUAUGUGAAAUACCCUCAGCAACCAAUUAUCUCCCACAUGAAUAGAUGAGAUCGAGCAACCACUUUAUCGAGAGUAUAUGAGAAACCCUUUUUGACUAAGAAGUACUAGUUUGGCAUGCUUAAUAAGCCUUUGUCACGAGUUUUAGCCGUUCUGAUAAAAACUUGACUUCUAGAGAAUUUGAUGAUUAAUGAUACAUCCCCGAGAAAAAUGACAAUUCUGCGCCACAUGAUGCUGAUUGACAUCUACAAAUGUUCAUUGGUUUUCCUCAAAUCAUGCAUUUUCAACCCGGUCGAAACUCGUUGUUACACGGUGAGACCUCAUUUCUUUCCUUUUUCUUAUAACAUGACGUGCUUCUGUAACCCAGGAUCUUUCUUUUUUCUUAUGACACGGUGUGCUUUUGUAGCCCGGGGUAUUUCUUUUUUUUUUUUUUUUUAUGACACUGCAUGCUUUUUGUAGUUUUGAGUCUCUCUUUCUUCUUAUAACACGACGUGCUUCUGUAGUCCAGGGUCUUCCUUUUUCUUAUGACACGACAUGCUUUUGUAGGCCGAAGUCUCUCUUUCUUCCUAUGACAUGACGUGCUUCUGUAGCCUGGGGUCUUCAUUUUUCUUAUGACAUAGCGUGCUUUUAUAGCAUAGAGUCUCUCUUUCUUCUUAUGAUAUGGCGUGCUUCUGUAGCCCUUGGUCUUCCUUCUUCUUAUGACACCGCUUGGUUUUGUAGCCCGGAGUCUCUCUUUCUUCCUAUAACACGGCGUGCUUCUAUAGCCCAAGGUCUCUCUUUCAUCCUAUGACAUGGCGUGCUUUUGUAACCUGGGGUCUUUCCUUCUUCUUAUGACAUAGCGUGCUUCUAUAACCCGAGGUCUCUCUUUCUUCUUAUGAUAUGGUGUGCUUCUGUAACCUGGGGUCUUCCUUCUUCUUAUGAGAUGGCAUACUUUUGUAGCCUUGAGUCUCUCUUUCUUCUUAUGACACGACGUGCUUCUAUAGCUCAGGGUCUUCAUUCUUCUUAUGACACGGUGUGCUUUUGUAGCCCAGAGUCUCUAUUUCUUCUUAUGACACAGCGUGUUUCUGUAGCCCGGGGUCUUCCUUCUUCUUAUGACACGACGUGCUUUUGUAGCCCGAAGUGUCUUUCUUCCUAUGAUAUGGCGUGCUUCUAUAGCUUGAGGUCUCUAUUUCUUCCUAUGACACGGUGUGCUUCUGUAGCUUGGGGUCUCUCUUUCUUCUUAUGACACAACGUGCUUUUAUAACCCGGGGUCUUACCUUCUUCUUAUGACACGAUGUGCUUCCGUAACUCGGCAGCUUUCUUUCUUCUUAUGACACGUGUGCUUUUGUAACCUGGGGUCUUCAUUCUUUUUAUGGCACGGCGUGCUUUUGUAACCCGAAGUCUCUCUCUCUCUCUCUCUCUCUCUCUCUCUUUAUGACACAGCAUGCUUCUGUAGCCUGGGGUCUUCCUUCUUCUUAUGACACGGCAUGCUUUUAUAGCUCGGAGUCUCUCUUUCUUCCUAUGACACAGCAUGCUUCUGUAACUCGAGGUCUCUCUUUCUUCUUAUAACAUAGUGUGAUUCUAUAGCUCGGGGUCUCUCUUUCUUUCUACGACACGACGUACUUCUAUAGCCUGGGGUCAUUCUUCCUCUUAUUGACACAACACACUGUCGCGACCCGAUCUCGCCGCCCCUCGAAAUGUCAAAGGUGGGAAAAGGUCGGGUUUAGGGGUACUUUGAUCACGAGAGUUCCCUCAUGAGAUCGCGAGCUCUCCCAAGCUCAUACCCCGCACGAUAACGGGUUUAUUUAUACGAUCUAGGUAUUUAACAACCUCAAAAAAUAGACAAGAGUCGCCACUAGCCUUAUUCUUUGGGGGUCGACUCGAAAACCCAAUCGAGGGUCGGGAGAGUUCCCUCGAUUCCUAUACAACUAGAUAUCUAUGUUCAAGGACUUGGGUUACGCUAAUACUUCUAUUAGCACCCUUUCGAUACCUAAAUAGUAUGUUGUGUUUUUCCUAACAUGUUUAUGCAUUUCUUUCUACAUUUUCGAGAUCAUCAAUUCUAUAUUAAGUGAUCAUGCGUGGUGGAUUACUUUCAUUCUAUUUUAUUUCUAAAAAAAUGAAAAGAAAACAAUCAAUGAAAUUGAAAUUACAAGACAUCAACUAAACAAUCAAGAAAAGCAAUAAACCUAAUCAUGCAAUUCUAAAAAUAUAAAAGAGAAAACAAUUGGGAAAAAAAGGAAACCCGCAACUCGUCGGGUUUUAUACAAUGCAUGGAACCCGAGACAUAUGUUGGGAAAAACAAAUAUUACAUAAUAAAGAUUGGAGUGGAUAUCGACCUCCACCACUUUCACGCUUUAUCCAUGUUCAGGAUCCUAUUCUAAACCUAGUCCAAGAAACUAAUAACUAGGUACAUACAAAUGAGAGAAACAAACAUGCAUAUCAAAACAACCAAAAAACAAGACAUCUUUUGUGUUCAGAAAUGGUGACUAAAGUCAUGAAGUCCCUAAAUCAAAUUCUAGGUGAUAUCCCAAGGUUCAGCAUUGUUAUGUGCCGCACCUAAAUCAUUCAUCUAAUGAUCACAUGCAAAGCAUAUAAGAUGACAAGCAUCCAAGCCAUAUAACCUUGGUUCUUAGUUAAUCAAACAAAUGAAUGAGCUGACAAAGGAUCACUUACUAAAAAAUAUGCAUUUUUGAACAUGUGAAAUUGACAAGAGACUUGAACACGUGAUAUCAUUGUCCCAUGGGCAAAUAAGCUAAGACAAAUUCCAUCUAAUCUAUGCUUAAUCCACAACUUCCAGCAUGCAAUCAGAAUUGUAACAGAGCACACGAGACUGCAAAUUGUGAUUGUUUGAUGACAAAUUGCCAUGAAAUUGAAGCCAUAUUUUCUCACAAGCAUGUAUGAGUCUACUUGAUCAAAAUGGCAUCAAUCCAUAACCAAACUAGCCUCAUUAGUGUGAUUGUACACAACAUCUAGAAUGAUCUCAAUGCCAACACCAUGCAAAGCUUUUACCAUUCCUUUGAAUUACCGAGAAGCAUUAACAGGUCCACCACCAGCACUAACAUAACAACUCAUGGGAGAGAAGAAAUUUAUGGCAGAAUAUUCCCAUGUAUUAAUCUUGGAAAUUCAUGCAUCGUGAACCAGGUCACUAAGUAAAUGAUAUAAUUGGGAUGUAAGAAUACAACAUUUCACGGACAUUGAAGCAUAAGAGAACAUAAACUCUUGAAAGCAAAGGGAAAUAAUACAUGGUAGCAAAAUCUUGCGAACAGAUAAAAUCCCACCCAGGUUAUAUGGCAACAAAGGAAGUUUGCUUCUCUGUGUUAUAAAAAGCUUUGCUAUCUAACAUCAGUUAACACAGCAAAUGCAUGCAUGAACAACAAACAUCAAAUGUACGUGAUCCGCAUUUGACCCACUAAAAGCACACAUGAUAACAACAAAUCACAGCAACAUAACAGUCAAGAAUACUACCAUCACUCCUCAGUAGUAAACAACUUCACUGAUGGCUAAUGCCCUCUUAAUACUACUCAUAGACAAACUAAGAGUAAACUCAUUUUCUUACUUCCCCAACUCAACAUGAAAAGAUAGUUUGUAAGAAUUCUAAACUUCGGAUGUUGUACAGUCUCACCUUCAUGUUAACAGGGCAUUGAAGUAGCUCAAUAACAAAGAUGUGAAUGGCGGAUGAAAAAGAAGAAACACAAGUAAUGAAAACAACUAAAUGCAGAGAGUCCAUAGUCAUUGAUUGUGGCCUUGUCAACCACUGUCAGUAAACUUCUAUUUGAAGAGGCAAGCUCUCACUCGAUCGCUGGCCACACCACAUACAUAGCGAUGACACAUCAGAAUGAUACGGACAGGGGAAAAUGAGAUAUAAUAGAGAAAUCUAAGCAUACAAGCAACGAUUCCAACACCAAUUUCCAUCCCUGUACGAUACAUCAAUCAUUCGUCUCAAUUACAUAGCAUGGAACACAGCUUAAUCAAAUAUCUACUCAGCUCAAGAUCAAAUCUGAACCGGAGCCUAAACAGAUCCUCUAAAUCCAUCAAUCAAUAACAACGGCGACAAUAGCAAUGCCUAAACAAACGACAUUUACCGGGAGAAACUUGAUAAACUUGUUCUUCCCCACCUGGUUGAACCAGAGAUAGAGCGAUUGAGAGAGAGAGAGGUAGAUAACCUUGAAUGAACGGCGAAGGAUCAAAGCUGUUGCUGCCAACGACGCGGUCUUAAGCCUUAAACUCCAAGCUCCUCGAUCGGCCGUUCCAUUAGGUCAAAUCCGGCGCGCAAGACAGAGUCGAGAGAAAAUGUUCGAGUUAGAGGGAGCGAAUGGGAGAGAGAAACUAGACACCAAAAACUUAACGGAUCAAGAGAGAGAAAGAGAGCUCAUCGAUCUGGCGAGUUUGAUCCAGAGAGAUUCGGGUCUGGCGAGCCUCUGUACUAGAAAACCGAGAGCGAUUGAGAGCCUCCCUUGUGAUACCCGACCAUCGGUCUUCGAUUUCCAAGGGUGAUCCAUCGAACUAGAUUUGUCGCCGUCGUCACUACGGCUGCCGUCAGCCUGGGAUCGAGUAAGAUCCGGCAAGUAAAGAACCAGAUUCUGCGAGCAGAGAACCGCUGGUGUCAUUGCCGUUGCUGUAACCGCCACCGUCUUCGCCGAUGUCGCUGCAAUUGAGUGAACCAGAGAGAGAAUCCGAAAAAGAGGGACGAAGGAAAGGGAAGCUUCGUUCAGUGAGGGGAUUUGCUGCGUGCUAGAGAUUUCAAGAAUCGAACAGAGCCAAGCCGGGACCUCGACGGAGAACCGCUGGAGACGGAAGCGAAAGCUCCCUCUGGUAGAUAGCAAGCGAGGCUAGGGUUUCAAGAUCCGCCAUAGAAGCUCCAGUAGUUACCGAGAGAGAGAAUCCAGAGAGUCUCUAAGAGAGAGAGAGAGAGAGAGAGAGAGAGAGAGAGAGAGAGAGAGAGAGAGAGAGAGAGAGAGAGAGAGAGAGAGUUCACGGAGAGUAGAGAGAGCCUUCGGAGAGUAGUGAGAGCCUCCUUUCCCGCUAGUGUUCCCCGAUUCCCUUUUCUAUCAUUUUUUUUCCUUUUCUCUCAUUUUUCUUUAUUUCUCUCAUUUUUCUUUUUCUUUUUCGUUUUCCUUAUUUGUAAUUUUUUUCUCUUUUCAUUUCAUUUUUUUUCUUUUGCUUUUUAUUUUUGCAAAAAGGAUGUUUAAAAUGUCGACAAAAAAUCGGGUUUCAACACAUACUUCCAUAGCUUGACUUGAUGCAAGCCUAUGCAGUCAGGGUCUCUUUACUGUCAAAAUAAUUUAGAUCUCUUCUGUUUUUUAAGACAACUUCUUCGAGGCUACAUUCAAAAAAGGGCAGCUCUUGACAUCUAACUUGUGUUAUUAAGUACAUAAAAAAAUUAAUUUUUUUAAUGAACUAAUUAAUUAAUAUUUAAAAAAAAAACAUGGAAGGGGCCAGGUAAGGCUAGAUCUAGCUUUGGCCCAGCCUAGCCCACCUUUUUCUUUCCUUCCCCGCGUGGCUCGGCCCCAGCCUUCUCCGCUCCUCUAGCCAUCUUCGCGACCAAAGACCUGUAGAAAAAAAAGAGAGCAGGGAGAAAAGACAGGGGAGCAAGGGUAGAAGGGGGAGAGCAAUGGGGGUGUAGAGAGAGGGAACGUGUGAGAGAGGAAAAAAAAUAAGAGAGAAGAAAUUAAAAAAUAUAAAAGAAGAAGAGCAGGGGCUUCUUCUGGGGGGAGGACCCGCUCAGCACCCUCUUCCUUCUGGGGGGAGCUCUAAAUGUGGACCCCCGCACUCACUGCCAUUGCUACCGAUGCUAGCAGCCGGAGCUCCGCCACACCUCAACUCAACGCCGGUACAACACCUGCAGCCACAAGCACCGCCACACCAUUAGCCUAAGCCCCCUCGCCGCACCACCACAACUACUGUUUCGUGAUCACUGAAGCUCCGAACGCCGUCGCCGUUGCAUCCCUUAGCCAAGCUGACACCCUACCCAUCGCCGCGCCCGUCACUGUGCCACCAUUGUUGCUGUUGCCCAGCUCGAAGCCGCGAGCACCAUUGAUGCUAUGCCUUCGUUCGCUUGUUGCUGUGCCUCUGCCCAACGCUUGCAACCUGCGUUGCCGCAGCUGCCCAUCAUCGCACCUCCGCGCCACCGACACUACUGUCACCUAGAACGAAGCCACAAGUGCCACUGCUGCCGCGCCUCCGUCUCAACUCUAUCCCCGACGCAAUUGUCCUUGUUGCGGCUCGACUCCGUCGAUAUUGCCACUGACGUAGCCGCUGCCUGUCCCUGUUGUGCCGUUGCCAUUAUGCAUCCUUGACGACUAUCGUUGUAUUUGUGUCCCCCAUUGUGCCAAGCUAGCCCCAUCACAGCACCAGCUCCGAGCCACCACGGGAUCCUAAUGCCAUCGCUGCACCAAGCCACCACCACCACCAUGCCAUCGCCUGUCGCGUCCCCACCGUUAUUGAGUCGUUGCUUGACGGCGUCUUGACCAUCCCCCUCGACACCACAAAGAAGCCCUGGAGAAGAAGGCAUAAACUGUGUCAAAAGAGUCGGGCUAGGUGCAAUCAAUCGGGUAGGGUUUUGGCUAAUCCGGGCUUCUUUGUUCUUCGGGCAAGCCGCGUCUAGGCUGAAGCAAGGCCUUUGGGCCAGUUUAAUAUUAGAUUUUUUUUUUUGGUGUUAGGCCAAGCUUAGUUUAUUUAGGUUUCUUUUUUUCGGAUGGACUCUUUUUUGAGCUGGACUGGGCCCGUAGUUUAGGACCGGACUUGACCCACGUCGAUCAGGCCGAACCCGAGUCGGGUUAGACCAGACCCUACCCGAUUCGCCAAAAUAUAUAUAUAUAUAUAUAUAUAUAUAUAUAUAUAUAUAUAUUGAAAAAAUUAAUUAAAAAAUACAGGGUUUGGUUAGGAAUUUCUAUGUCUUGCCUUUUUAGUGUAAUUAUGCCUUUAUUUACAUGCAUAUCGAUUAUGUCACAGGUUUAAUUUACAUAUUAAAUUAUGUUUGUGAUUGUUUAGCUACAUGUGCUAAUUUCACUACAAUUAAGAGUUUGAUUUCUAAUAAUCACUUUAACGAUUGUGUACCCGCAUGAUCACAUCACAUGUUAGUGGAUAAGUAUAAAAUCAAUCCAAACUACCCGACAAAAACCUUUUUAAAAUGAACAAGAUUAGGUACCGAAAGGGCACUAAUUGAUUAAUUAGUGUAAUCAAGUCCCUAACCCUAGAUUCUCUGGUUACGUAGGAAGUGAGGUAUACUCACAUGCCUCACUUGGUUUCUAGCCGACCCCAAUAGGCUAGUGGCAACUCUUUUUUACAAAAUCUUUAAAAAUUCCCGAAUGUCACACGAGGUAUGGGCUUGGGAGAGCCCGCGUCUAAUCAUGGGCCUUAGGUUCAUCCUUUAGGCAAUACCCCUAAACCCGUUUCCUCUCCCGAGAGGUAGGUUGCGACAGCACUUGCAUCAAUUCAAUUUUAAACAUUAUAAUGAUUUGCUAGACUCUAGUACAUCCUUUCGGUCAAUAUUGACUGGAAAACACUAAUGUGGCAAUCCAAUGAAUAUUAGAUGUUCUAUGUGGUUGUUCUAUGUGGUGCAUGAGUGCUAACAUUAUUUUUUGAAAAAUUUCUAGGUCCUUUUUUUUUUUCAUUUGUCUAUUUUUUUUUCUCUACUUUUGGCUGUCUGAGGUUUCAAGCAAUGACAACAAGGGUUGGGCAAGGGUUGGCAGGGGAUGACCUUACCCAAGGAGGGCCACCCUAACCAAGCCCUCACAAGGCCGUUGUGACAUCUUAGAAUGUCACAUGCGACACGUAUCCUUUCCAUUUAUACUUAUAAUUAUAAUUACGCAUGUGGAAGCACAAAACUUUUUUUUCACAACAUCCCUUACUAGAAGAUCAAACAAGUUCAGUAAUAUGCAUGUCUUCAACUUUAUACAAAUACCAGUAGUUUAAUCACAACAAAAUGCAUAGUCUUGGGAAAUGUCCAGUGACCUAACACCACUACUCUUACACUAAACCAAAAGCAAGUCUAAACAUUAACCAAGCCACCAUCUAACUCAAGAAUCGAUGCCUCAAGCAUCAUAUCGUCCUCUCCAUCGACAUGUUUAGGGGACCACGAUACAAAUCUGAAGAAAAUAAUAAUAAUAAGGGGAGAGCCGAAGUCUAGCAAACAAAAUCUCUUAGUUUAAGGUAGGAGAUCAACUUACCACUAAACCCGGCACCAACCAACAACAUGAGUUCAAGCAAUACAAAAUAAACAUGUAUGACAAGUGUGGAAAGAAUGCAUUAUCUUUCUAUAAAUGAUAUGCUGAUGGAAACAAAAACAUAACAUAGCAUAAGUUCAAUCAUUCAAAAGCAAGUAAAUGGCAUAUUAUUUUAUGAUGCACCGGUAUCACCAAUAUCUCACCACUAUACACAUCGAAGAUUUAUUCUUUACUCGAGACCAAUAUUACAUGACAGUAACCAUUCAAAUGCAAGCAAAUGGAAUAAUAUUUUAUGAUGCAUGGUUACCACUAAUGAGACAACAUACGAAUGUACGCAAACGGAUGAUCAAGACUUAUUAAGGAAGAUGAAUAAUGAUCGUUGUUUUAAAAUCAUUAGACCUACAAGUAGGAGGGUUUUAUGUUCCAAUAGAAAUGCUUCAAGUGACCCUCAAUAAGUAGUUAGGGUGCAAAUGGCCUAAUAAGAUUGGCUACAAGAAAAUAUCUCUAGAGAGCUCCUUCUUGGCCGGGCAAAAGAUUGAGUCACGACGGCAUUAAAUGACUAAGGUUAAAAGAGGUGAUGUAAGGUACGCCCUCAAAGCUAAAUUAGGCUCAAUUUCACUAAGAGAAUGUGGCUAAAGAUGAUUGGUGGAAAAAUGGAGAGAGAAGGAGAACUACUUCUUGGCCAAUUAAAAAUGAAUAGAUAAGAGUUAGGCUUAUCAAGAGCUGGUUAAGGUUAAAAAAGAUGAUGUACUAAAUAAUAUAAAUACUAAGCUAGGUUCAAUGUCUUUAGGAACAUAUGGGUUAAUAUCAUUAGUAGAAAAUGAGGAGAGAUAUGUGCAAUUUAGAGAAUGGCUAACAGCUCAACUAUGGGCUUCUAAACUAGACAAGUUACCGAAAUGUUUAUUAAAUGAGUGCAUAAACAGGGAAACCAGUGUUUAGUCAAAACAUUAAUAAACCAGAAAAUAUUUUGAAUCCACUAAUAUUAUUAGUGAACAAUACGAAUGUUAAGAAAAUUUCAAUUCGAUAAAUUUAAAACUUGAAAAAUCGCCAAAUAUGUUACUUGGAGCAUAUCAAUUCCCGUUUACAAUAAUUUGGUGGUGAAUAAAUUACCAUCAUUUUAUAUUAUCAAGUACAUGUCGACAUCUAUCAAUUUACUUUUAACAAAUCAACCUCCGAGCAAUUACGGUCUCGAAGAAAUCAUCCUAGUACCUUCCACACCCCACAAAAUUGAUGGCCUUCAUCCAUAUCCGAAAUUCCAAACUAAAUAAUACUUACUUUAUAUCCUAAAUUCUAUCAACAAAGAUGGAAAAUUCUGAAUGUCACAAUUGCCCUCGCCCAACCCUCACGAGGCCACCCUCAUUGGCUAAAAGCGAAGGACGGCCUCACUCGGGCAAGGGUCGUCCUUGCUAGCCAAACAUGAGGCCAAAUGCGAGGCCGACCUUUAACAUAUCUGGACGAGGGUCACUAGGCCAUCGGUGGCCGUAAUAAUGAGAAAAAGACUAGAAAAAAUAAAUUCAAAAAAAUAAAAAAUAAAAAAUUGUAAAAAUUGUCUAAGUUUGAGCCGGCGGUGCUACAUGGGAUAGCCGAUAUUUGCUUCAACGAUUUCUAGUUAAAAUGAACCGAUAAACUUUAUUGAUAAAUUAUCAAAAGUUUUAGGACUAAAUUGACCAAAUAAUGAGAUUUAGGACUAAACUAGUAUGAGUGUGAUAGGCUUAUGUUUUAUUUAUCUUUUGAAAUUAUAUGAUACUGUGUCUUGUGAGGCUUAACGGGACCUUACUUGUUACCUUUUCCUCUUGUUUAACUCUGUGCUCAUGAACUGUGGUGUUAGGAAUUUUUGGGUUUAUCUUAGCCCGCACAUGUCAUUUUCCUUCGCCUAAUAAAUUGAAUUGUCGUUUUCUUUUUCCUGUUCUGGAGAAGCCUAUUUAAAAUCUAGGAUAACGCUCAAUUUAUCUCAUGAAUAUGGUAAGAUGCCAUCAAGAUCCAAAUGAACAAUCCAAACACGACAUUAUUUGUAUUUGAUAACAUGGAAUAUUCGAUGACGUGGACUACGAAGAUAGCCUUCAUAUGGUAUUCAAUAGAGGGACACACAUCGGGGGCUCACGACGUGAUAAUGCUAGUGUUUAUCUAAAGAUUCUUCCCGUAGGGAGCAUUAUUUCCGAUGAUAAAGACAAGGUGUCUCCCUCUUUAGCCAGCCAAAGGUAGGUUUCGUCGACCCAUCCCAACGUUAAACUUCCAGGAAACCUCACUGAUGGGGACAACAUCAUUCAUGCGUUGAAUGUUAUCCUCACUCAUCGUUAAUAAUGCAAGUAGUGGAAUACUGUCGCACGCACGAGGCGGCGUGAUUCGGUCGUGGGCACUGAAUAUGUGACAUGACAAGAGUAAAGAGACAGAUCAGUCGUGGUUGAUGAUGACUCGGCCACUUCGUUGUACCAACAUGCGCACCUACACUCCCCAGUGAGUGACCACAACGAUUUUAGAACAAGAGUAGUUAAAUCUAAUUCGAUCUGAAAUAAAGUAGUGUUCACAUUUAUUAUUAUCUUUAACCGGAUUCCUUCUAUUUAUUUCGCGGCUUCUAGAUGAAUGUGUCGGAGCCUUUCAAAGUCAAAAAAUGGGAAAAUAUAAAGAUUCCCUGUCUCCAUGACUUUUCUUGUAGGACCAUCUCAAGAGAGCUCAAUUCCAUCUGCAAGUCUAGAUUUUUGACCGAUCCUUGGAUUCCCUGGGCCAAGAAAACGAAAGAGAAAAUGAUCCUUUUGCGAAGACUUGGACUUCUGAGUUGACCUGCUCUUGUUGUUAUCAAGUUCGAUAUUAUGGGAUCAAAGAAUCGGGCGAGGUCGACUGCUCGAACUCGAUUUCCAAAGUAAAAUUCUCGGAACAAUACUGAGCUCAAGCUUGAUUCGAUAUGGCAUUUUCUUUUCUUGCGUGUAGCUCCACUCAAUCAAGUAACAGCAAAUUCCAAGCUAAUGUGAGACUAGGCUUUGGAUUACUUUCCUGUCGAACUCGUAGAAACCAUCACGUGAAGACGUGUACCUUGUUGUGAUCCUUGCAUAAAGUAUCAUGCUUGCAUGUGUAUGGCCUUCAAAAUUUUGCCCAUGGACGAUCUUGGACUUCAAAUUUUUUAUGUCGUGACACGUUGGACAAUACAAUCUGUCAGAAGGUGAUUGAUUCCAUAUCAUCGCCCUCCAUACGCAUUGGCAAAAACAAGCAACAAAAGAGAGAAAAUCGCCUGUUCUUUGCCUUUCGCUCGCACUCGUGAGACACAGACCCAAUCGGGUUCACACACGAGAUGAGCCGUAAUUGGGCCGUUGCCUGCUCGGUGUCUUUCUUGACUUACUGUCGUUUCUACGUAAGUAUAAAGAUCCCUGUCCAUCUCCGCUCAGUUCACUCAGUUCCAUCUCCGAACGCCCACACAGUUCGUGGAAACCACAGGGAGAGAGAGAGAGAGAGAGAGAGAGAGAGAGAGAGAGAGAGAGAGAGAGAGAGAGAAUGGCUGGUGCUAGAUUUCUGUGUUCCUUCCUCCUCCUCUUGACCGCUUGCUCCGCCACAGCAGCUGCCUUCCAGGGCGUCCUCCAUCCUCCAAACCGUUGGCCACGGCCGUCCCGCCCUCUCCUUCGUAGACUUUGCCAGCAGGUUAGAUAUCAACACCCCACUUAUAAAAGAAUAAUGCAAAAUAUAGAGUUGUGGAUGUUAGACAAUGAAAAGUACAUGAACCUAUGAAUUUUAUUAGAUGGUUGUCUAAGUUAAAAUAUCAGAUAUAUAAAAUCAAUGACAUCAAUUUAAUUUUAGUUUGGACAAGUGAUCCAAAAAAAUGCGAGAGUGGAUAAAGAGAGAAUUAGUUAACAUCAGCGUGACUGUGUCAAGGCUACUAUGUAAGCUACCCAAUAGGAGGCUGUCAUCGCGAUAGGAGAAUACCGUCAAGAAAAGGCCUAUUUUGAUGUUAGACAGUAAAAAAUACAUGAUCCUAAUUACAUGCACGACCUUACUGAAAAUCAAGAAAUAUUCUUGUUAACACUCAUCUGGGUGUGUUCUUGGCUUGUAAAUUCCCCUCUGUUGUCUAUAAAAGAUUGUUGACCUUUUCGAUUGUUGUCGUUUAUCCGCGUUGUUGAUGUUUGGUUUAGGUACGAGAAGAGGUACGAGACAGCGGAGGAGAUCAAGUUGAGGUUCGAUAAUUACAGGGAGAAUCUCAAGCUCAUUCGAUCCACCAACCAGAAGGGCUUGCCUUACACUCUCGCUGUUAAUCGUACGUGGCAGUUCUUGACAUUUUCUCCUUUUCUAUUGGUCAUGGUCGUUUUGGCUUGUUUUAUAACCUGAAGCCGAAGAGAUGGUAUAUUUAAGCUGCAAGAAAAUUAUCCAAAAAGUCCUAAACCUAUUCUACUUUUGUCAAUUCAGUUUUAAGCCUUUCAAUUUUGCCAAUUGAGUCUUAAAUCUUUCAACAUUUUGCCAAUUGAAUUCAUUCAGUCAAUUUUGAUCGGAAUUUACUGACGUGGAUGUCGACCAUCCUACAUGGCACUGCCGGCAUUGGCGUGGACAAAAAUUUAUUUAUUUCUUUUUUUCAAUUUAUUUAUUUUUAAUUCUUUUUUUCUCCUUUUUUUUUUCCUUUUCUUCCUCUAGUCGGUUGCCUAGUCUCUAGCGACCGCCCAGAGGCCAUGACUGGCGAGAGUUAGCCUCCCCGGCCUUGAGCAAGGUCACCCUCGCUGGGAUCUGGCAAGGGGCGACCUUGUUGUCCUCGAGUGGGGCUCACCCUUGCUAGAGGCUAGCAAGGGUCGGCCUCGCGGGGCCCUGGCAAGGCUCGACCUCGCCAGACUUGGCGAGGGCAAGCCUCGCUCAAGGCCAAUGAGGUCGCCCAAAAAAAGAGAGAAAGAGAGAGAAAAGAAAAAGAAAAAAGAGAGAGAGAGAGAAAAGAAAAAAGAUAAAUUAAAUACAUAAAAAUAAUUUUAAAAUUCGAAAAAAAAUUAAAAAAUUAAAAAGAAAUUGUCCACGUCAGCAAAUUAUAAUCAAAAUUGAUCGAAUAAACUCAAUUGGCAAAAAGUGAAAAAAUUUAUGACUCAAUUAGUAAAAUUGAAAAGUUUAAGACUAAAUUCACAAAAGUACUCAGGAAUUUUUGGAUAAUUUUUCCUUUUAGUUGUUGACACUGUCAUCGCUGAGUUGAUUUGUGCUUAAUGGGUUGACAGAGUAUGCUGACUGGAGCUGGGAGGAGUUCAAGACGCACAGACUGGGAGCUUCUCAAGACUGCUCUGCCACCACCAAGGGCAGCCACAAGCUCACCGACGCUGUUCUUCCCAAAACGGUAUUUUUCACAGCGAUGCCUCAAUCGGAAGCUUUCCGCUCGUAUUAUCCUUCGGUCAAUGAGAAAAAACUACUUGAUUUAGACUAGCAGCUGUACUGCUUUUAGCUGUGUGGUGUCUUCUUCUGUAUCGACUGGCAAUUUUCUCUGCUAAAUUACAGCAAAAUAGUUACUCAGCUACCACUAGCUGCCUUGCGUCGGCAUCAUAUUUUGGGUGCGUGUGUUUUACGAAAAACUCAAUAAUAUACAAAUUUUCUUUCUCCAGUAAAAUAUUUUCUUGGAAUACAGUUAAUUUUUAUUUAUUUAUUUAGUGAUAUAUAAUCAAGAACGUUUUCUGUUGAUUGGAUAUUAUUGGAAAAUAAUUUCAAUCUCACAACUCUAUUUCAUGCCAAAAAAAUUCAAACUUGUAAAAUUUUAAAAUUCGAAUUUUUAAUUAUUUUAUUUCUCUUAUUUUAUUUUAUUUUUAAAAUUUGGAAUUUUUAAUUUUCUUUUUUCUCAUUUAUUUUUCUUUUCUUUCAUUCAUUUUUUUCCCUUCCUCCGCCCUACCAACUGACGACGGCCAUAGCUUUGCCUCGCUAUGACUGGGCGAGCCGCAAGUUUGUCGGUCUCGAUGGAGCACGGCUCGCCUGACCGAGGUGAGCUCGGGCUCGCCUGGUUCGGUUAAGCUGCAAGCACACUAACCUCAACGAAGCUUAGGUUGCCGAGCUUAGGCUCACCUAGAUUGGUCAAGUUGAGCUUGCCAGCCUUGAUGAAGCUCGGGCUCGCCUAGAUUAGCUGAGCCCCGAGCUCACCGACCUUAGCUGAGCUCAGGCUCACUUGGUUCAACCGAGUCAUGAGCUUGCCAGUCUUGGCCAAGCUCGAGCUCACCUAGAUUGAUCGAGCCUUGAGCUCGCUAGCCCAUGUCUUGGCUAGUUGCUGACAGUGGAGGAAGAAUGAGGAAGAAGGAGGAAGAAAAAGAGAAAAGAAGAAAAAAGAAAAGAUAAAGAUAAAGAAACUAAAAAAAUAAAAAAAUCAGUUUUUUUUAGAAAUUCCUAUAAAUUAGAUUUUUUCUAAAUAUUUUUAUAAAAAUAAAAUUUUCAUUAACCAAGGGGUCUAAGAUUAGGAAAUUUUUUUGGAAAAUAUUUUCCAGUUUUUUCAAAGGAAAAAUUGUUUUCUUGAACUUAAAUUUUGGUAGGAAUACAUUUUUCGUUGACUAGGAAAAUAUUUUUCCAUUAAUUCAUUUUCCUAAGCGAAUCAAACACCUGGGGUUCCCGGAAACAAACAUACUCUUUGUUUUCUUUGAAACAUUCAAACUCAAUGACAAAAAUCCAUUAGCUCCAUCCAUGACGACUGAACUUUCUUGUCCUCGCUUUUACUGAUUGAAAGUGCUUACUGAAACAACUUAUUCUCUCUCUUCCAUCUCAAGGUUUCGGCACUUUUCAUGAGAUCCAAGACUAGAUUGCUUAUUACUGUAGAAUCUACUAGCUGAUCAUUGAAGUGCGAGACCUGUGUCAAUAUUAGAUCUUUUUUUUUCUUCCAAUCCUUCAUAUUGCAGAAAGACUGGAGAAAAGAGGGCAUUGUAAGCCCAGUUAAAAAUCAAGGCGGCUGUGGAUCUUGCUGGAGUUUCAGGUUUUUCUUUGUUCUCCUUCUCUUCUCUUAGAUUUAUAUUUGUUACUCACAUUAGUACGUAACACACUUAUUAACUUGGCAACUCAUUGGGAUGUCAUUACGCUAGACUGCUAGUGACCUCUAAUUUGCACUUUUGCAGCGCCACUGGAGCUCUCGAGGCUGCUUAUCACCAAGCACACGGGAAAGGAAUCUCUCUGUCUGAGCAGCAGCUCGUGGACUGCGCUACGGCUUUCAACAACUUUGGAUGCGAUGGCGGGUUGCCGUCACAAGCCUUCGAGUACAUCAAGUACAACGGUGGCCUUGAGACCGAGGAAGCUUAUCCUUAUACUGCACGAAAUGGUACCUGCAAAUUCUCGGCUGGCAGGGUCGCUGUCAAAGUUGUCGACUCUGUCAACAUCUCUAUGGUAAGUUUCAUGGGCAAUCUGUAGAGUUAACCAAAAGAAAAGGAGAAGAAAAGGAAAAAAAGGCUCCGCAAAUUUCAUAAAGAUAGUUUCAAAUUGCCUUUAUGUUUAUAUUUGCAAUGCAUGGUGGAUUCAGGGUGCUGAGGAUGAACUGAAGCAUGCAGUUGGCAUGGUCCGGCCAGUCAGUGUGGCAUUCCAGGCCAUGGAUGUCUUCCAGCACUACAAGUCGGGUGUCUUCACCAGCGAUGCAUGUGGUAGCACUUCCAUGGUGAGCAUUUCCAAAUAAAAAGGAAAGGAACACUAUCUCCAUCUCAAUCAUGCUCAAAGGAUGCUAGUGCGUAGGAUUCAUGAAGCUUUCUAAACAUCUGUAAAAUUAAUUAGGGAUUCCUCUAGGAUAAUUUUCAUUGUUAGAAAUAGUUUAAUAAUUCUGUCCAUAUCUCUUAAGAUAGCACAUAUAUUGUAUGAAUAUCACAGGCGAAUGACACGUAUAUUGCACGUAUAUCUCCAUUUGAUUGUGCAUAUUUUGUUAAGAUAAAGCCUAAAAAUAGGUUGUUGUAUUCUUUUUAAAUAUAUACAUUAAAAUAUGGGUUAAGAAUAGCACAACUACCAUAACCUUGUUAAGACACUCACUUGAGUGCCACAAAUUUGAAAAAUUGAGUACUUGAAUGCUAUUGGCGAUUUACCUCGUUGGAAAAUCCGCUAGUCAUUUUGCAUGACUUCACCGACACUGACACAGACAUUAAACAUCUACUGGAGAUAAUUAGAGAUUUCUCCAGUAUAAUUUCCAUCGUUGGAGAAAUUUUAAUAAUUUUGUUCAUUAUUUAUAUCUCUCAAGAUAUUGCAUGAAUACUGUCGCCAAAUGGCAUGGACAUUGCACAUCUAUCUCCCUUUGAUUGUGCAUAUUUUGUUUGAGAUAUUAUUUUAGAAUAGUUGUCUAUAAAGCCUAUAAAUAAUUUGUUUCACUCUUCAUUAAUAUAUAUCGAAAUACACGCAAAUUCCACAUUUCUAUUUUCCACAUUAUUAUUCUUAAUUACAUCGAUAAUCUCUACCGCGACAUUUAAUUUGAGCAUCUAUCUUGUCAAGAUUUAUAUAAUUCGAUUCCUUACUGCUAAUGAAGUUUUUCAUGAUAGGCGAUACUCAUGCUCGUGCCUAAUGAAAACUGAAUGUAUUGUAUCAGGAUGUGAACCAUGCUGUUGUUGCUGUCGGUUAUGGAGUUGAAAACGGUGUUCCAUACUGGCUUAUCAAGAAUUCCUGGGGAGAGAGCUGGGGCAACAAAGGAUACUUCAAGAUGGAGAUGGGGAAGAACAUGUGUGGUAAGUUCCCCCUUUUGGUUUUCGUAGAACUACUAGAACAAAACGGUGCUAGGAUAACUAUGCUUUUGAAAUUCUUGCUGUUGUUUUAGUCCAUAUCCAUUCCUUUUAUGCUUGACUUUCUACUAAGUUGCUCCGUCCUCGUCUAUCGAUCUUAAAUUGCAGGUGUCGCUACUUGUGCAUCAUACCCUGUUGUAGCCUAGAUUGUUUUUAGAGAACCUAAUGGUCUCGUGCGUCACGUGAUUCGAGACAUAUUUGCUUCACCUCAAGGUUGAGUACUGUAAUGUAGCAUAGAAGGGUUUAUGCUUUAGCGUACAAAAAAAUCUUCAGGACAAUUGUAAUUCCAUAUGUUUACUGUUAUGUCAACGAAGACCUUAUAAAUUUCAGUCUAUGUUUGCGUGGCAUGAAACUCUAUCGUUGCAAGAAUAACGCAUUACUGCAAAGGAAAAUAUGAUUCUUCCACCAUUAAAACAGCAUGGGAAUGAAGGGGCAAAAUUUCACUCAAACUAAACGCUUUCGCUUAUUUGCUCGGUAGAGAUUGAUGCACGGUCUUACACACAUGCUAACACUCACCAUGCGAUGUUUAGAUAGCCUAGGAGAUGUGAUACUAUCUUGAUUGCACCAGAAGAGACAGUAGCCAACAUCUUUUAUUCGCAGGGCAAAUUACACAUGCAAAAAGAUAAGCAAAAGUUCAUAGUUCGAUUAGCCACCAUUCAUAUCCUCAUUCCUUAACAUGCUAAUUCGAAUUACAUCGUAUUUGCACAUGUUGCACAACAGUAAUUCUUUUUCCUUUUCUUUUUGGUCAUCCAUUACGGUAAUUGCUUGUCCUAGUGGUGCCUGAAACACUAUAAGGCUCUCAAAUUGCAAUCAUCACGGGUCUCUUUUUCUUGCAUUUGUCAUUUCCCAUGAGCUUGAUCGACUGGAGUUACAGCUCAGGAGAGAGAAGCUCAUGAUAUAUGCCUCAUUCUUUCUCCAGAGAAACAAGAAUAGUACCAAAGACUUUCCAAUUUAAUAUGUUCCUAGAGUGAUUAAUAACAGAGCAUGCAAAUGUGGGGGAUAAUUGUUUAAAACGUCUUUAAUCUAUUGUAUGAGACUCAAUUCAAUUCUAACGUCUCAAACAUUUUGAUAAUUUGCCAAAUAUAGCUAUUCUAACCAAUUUAGACUAGCAAUUGCUGACAUAGAUGCCAGCCUUCCUACAUGAAACAGCUAUUAAGAUAGUCGGCACUAAUGUGAACAAAUUUUAUAAAUUUUUCUACAUUUUUUUCUAUCUUUUUCCCUUUUUGUGUUUUUUUAUUCCUUUUUUUUUUCUAUUUCCCUCUGUCGAUCUGGCCAAGGCGAUGGUUGACAAAGAUUGUUGCCACAAGUGAGGGCUGGGAUGCUCUCGUCAACAACCCCCCCAGCCCCCCCCCCCAGGCCUUUGCCAGACACAAUGAAGGCAAGAUAAAGUAUAAAAAAAAAGUCUUAAACUCAUUGCAUUGAUAUCAAUAUAAUUUUAAAUAUUUCAAUUGGACUAAUGUAGUUAUAUACGUAUUCACACUAGUAUCAAUUGAGUUUAUUCUGCCAAUUUACAUCGGAAAUUGCUCACGUGGACACCUAUCCUACAUUGCACGGAUGACACUGAGUAGACUUUUUAUAAUUUUUUAAUAAUUUUUUGAAUUUAUUUAUUUCUUUUUCCUUUCAUUUUUUUUCUGAAAAAAAUUUUAAAUUUUUUCUACAUUAGUGUUAUUCAUGUUACAUCGAACAUCCGGCAUUCACGUCAAUAAUUUCAUACCUAAAUUAAUCGAAUGAACUCAAUUGAUAUCAAUGUGAAAAUGUUUAAAAUUUUGGUCCAAUUAAUUUUUUUUAAAAUGAAUUAAUAGUAAUGCGAUAGGUUUAGAACCUUUUUUCAUACUUUUAUGAUUAAUUCAAUCGAUAUCAAUGUGAAAAUGUUUAGGACUUUGCUCCAAUUAAAAAAUUUAAAAAUGAACUAAUAUUAAAGUAAUAGGUUUAGAACCUUUUAUAUACUUUUCUCAUACCCAAGAGACGAAUAUUUUCUCCAAAAUUAAACCUGAAGAGCUUGGCGUUUAACAACCUGGAGUAAGCCUCGUUCCUUCCUACCGAAACCGGCGACCUUUACUUGAUGAGCGACGCGCGGACCCCUGGAGUGCCUUAACUUUGGCCAAAGGGACACUUAAGUGCCAUAACUUACGAAAGGUACACUUAAGUGCCAAAAUCGAAGUAAAAGGGAUCACUUGAGUGCCAAUCCGGCCAAAAUAUCGAUGUGGCACUUUUCCGGCGAACCGAGUCCAAAACGACACUGUUUUGCACACUGACGUGGCCAAAAUGGCGUCGUUUUGUUAUUUUUAUAUAUUUUAACUAAAUUUAAUUUUACAUUUAAUUAAAUUUAAUUUUUUUAAUUUUUUUACCACGUCAGCCCAAAACAACGCCGUUUUGGCCACGUCAGCGUGCAAAACGACGUCGUUUUGAGCGCACUUCGCUGGAAAAACGUCACGUUGGCGUUUUGGCCGGAGUGGCACUCAAGUGAUCUGUUUUUCUUCGAAUGUGGUACUUAAGUGUACCUUUCGUAAGUUAUGACACUUAAGUGUCCCUUUGGCCAAAGUUAUGGCACUUGAAGCGUUCUUUUGCCCUCAAUGAGCCCCUAAAGUGGAGACCCUCGAAGAUCUUUUCUUGUGCAGGACAGAACAAAAAAGCCCUCUUCUUGCCUCGCGGAGAAAGGUUUUUUCUAGUGUCUCUACGUGAAAAGGAAGAUUAGCAACCAGCAAUGGAUCGUGUGGCCCUCCGACGAGGGCCGGCAAGGGCAUCACAGCCUUCGCCUGUGGCCAGCCACCACCACCAGCCAUUCCCGAGCCGCAACUACUAACGGAGAUUAGCUAACAUUCAUAUCCUUACAGAAAUUGACUUACAGCAAAAUAUUGGGUUAAAGUCCGUACAUGAAUAUCCUUCGUGAUAUCUUCCCAUUCAACAAUAGGUAAGGGUGUAAUGGCCCUGUUGGUGCGUGCAAACCUCAAAAGCUCUCAAAUCGCGAUCUUCAUUCUCUUUUCAUCUAUUAUGUCAUAUUCCACUCGAUCUAUCGAUCAAAAUAAAUUACAGCUCGGGAAUAGAGAGCAAGAGACUGUUCAAAUAUGCCUCAUUCUUUUACCCCAGGAAAAAGAAUUGUACCAAACCUUUGCUAAUUUAAUAACUUCCUAGAGUGAUAUAAAAUGUAGUCAACAAAAGAAUAUAAAUUGUUGGAUCCUUUCCCUUCUAGCUUACGAUGAAACAUAACCCAAAAAUCGAUCCCUUCGCUAGACCUUGCUAAAAUUUCUCCUCCUUUGUAUAUUAAUGGGAGACCGACAAAUUAUUUUGGAUGAUAAAAAACAACGGUUAUUUACAUUUAAAAUGAGCAGAGGAUUGAAGGAUCUGGAAAGCUAAUGACCCAUUAAGGCCUUGCAAUAGCAGCUGUGUUUCAUUUUUCCUGAGGGCAUUGUUCAUUACUGAUCAUCUCACUCUUUAGUGAUGCAUAAGCCAGAGACUUUCGACUUGGAUGCUAGAAGUCUCCAUUUUGGACUUCUGAUCCAUGGGGACAUCUAGAUAGCUAUCAAAAUCUCUCUACUAUACAAGAAACAACUCCAGUUCUCUGCAUAAUUGAGCUGUGAUGCCAGGUAUUACCUCCCGAGUCCUGAUGUUGCUGUACUGGAUGUGCAUAAGCUCUUCACAACAUCAAAACACUUUUCAUGCCCCAGGACAGAUUGAGCUACCUCCCAGCCUGAGAACCAACAAAGAUGAAAACAAAGCCAGUAAGCACGUCCACUCUAAAAAACUGAUGGACAUUAUUCUGCAAAUCCUACUGUGUAUUUCAUUCUUCAUAAAAACAAGUGUGCAAUCAUCGAUGCAAUAAGUAAAGACAUUAUUUUCUAGACAAAGAAAAACAUCAGCACCUUGUAAGAGUUUUCCUAAUAUGGGCUACAUUAAUUAAUAUUGUAAUUUACUGCUUUAUGGUUAUUGUAAAAUGGGAUUGGUCUAAGGUGAGAUAGAAGGUUUCUUAAUUAAUCUAAUAUGAGACUGGUUAGUGUGGAUCGAAUUGAACCUGGCUCGUAAUGAGGGGGUCUUAUUGGAAACUCUAUAAAUAGUGCUAAAAUCUCUCCUCUAACUCUAAUUCUCACAUGUAUCAUCACAUAAGGAGCGUUAACCUAACACUAAAGGGUGAGGGGGCCGCCUCAUUGAGCCAAUGAUACGGAGGGAAAUAGAGGAUAAGGAUUUGCGCGUGAAAUAUCAAUUUUCCACUUCCGCUUCAAGUACGAUAGAUCCCAAAACAUGUGCGUUAAUCUUUCUACUCAAUUAUGCAUGUUCUUGUUCGAGUUAUGGAGAUCUUGGGAUUGCAUAAUUUGUAUCCAACAUGUGGUAUCAAAGCAACGAUAACCCUAGAACUCGAACGCAUAAAAUUUUUGCCAUAAUUUGUGAUUUUCGUGAUUUUUUGUUCAAUAAAAGUAAAAUUAAAUCACAAAUUCGUAUUGGGCUCGACGAGACAAGUAGAUCUAUUGGUGGCGCAUCAUCGGGGGAGGCCGCAUGUGCCCCCACGUGAUGCCACGCGCAGUCAGGGCGUCGAAGACAUGCCCCACGCGCAGUCACGCUUCUUCACGCGCCCCCACACACGUAGACUGACAUCACUAUGAUGUUAGCGACUGGACCUGACUCGACUUAUUGACCCGACCCGACCUGUUGACCUAACUCGACCCGGUCAAUCGUUGACUAAACCGGUCAAUCGGUCGGACCACUACUAGUUGAACCGGUUUUGACUAGUCAAGAUACGCUCGCGCAUGAGCUCCAUGCGCAACACACUCAGGCAGCACGUGUGAGCUUGUGGAGCGUUCGAUCGGUGCGUGGCUGGUGGCGUUGGGUUCGUAUGAUCAUUCUCUAUCUUAUGGUGUAUUUAUUGUACAUGUUUAAUGAUUUUAAUGGAUGUGAAAAUACAUAUGAAACCCUAAAUACGUAUGUUUUUAGUGUAUUUUUGCGUAUUUUUCUUGUAUUUUUUUGUGAUUUUGAAAAUACAAGUGUUGGGUUACAGGUAUGUUAUCACAUAAACAUUAUAAAUGUGUGAUUCAUUAAUAAAAAAAAAAUUAAACUUUAUUGUGAACUAAAGCUAGCUUAAUGAGAUACAAUCAUUAUGGGAUAGUAAUUAAAUUAUGUGUUGAGGUGAUGAUAAACAAUUAAAGUUAUGAAACUUUUGUUGCUCAAGCAUACUUCUUUAUACACAUCUUGAUGUAUUUUUGUUUCUUUUAGUAAUGUUUGAAUGAUGGACGUCUUAAGGACUCGUGACCAAACUGAUUGUACUAAUUAAUACAUUUGCUAGAUGUAGGUAAUGCAUGUCAAUUAAGUUAUUACAUAUUAUAUCUAAUCUCAUCUGGUCACUCGUUAAUGUCUAUCAAGUUGAACAUUUUUUUUUUUUAUGGUUAAGAAAUAUGACAACAUUUACACAGAACAAUAGUAUCUACUGUUGUAGUUUAGAUACUUGAUACCGUGGUUUGACUCAAUUUAUAGGCCAUUAGUUGAUGUAAUGAUAUUUGUUACUUAAAAUUGGCUAAUAAAUCAGCUGUUGGCUUUGGAGUCAUGUUUGCCUUAUGAAACUUACGAGCGAUAGUGGAUUAGCUGUCAGGCUUGUCGAUAUGGUGUACCAUGUAUUGCUAAUGAUGUUAACUUGUGAUAGAUCCUAUAGAUCAGUAUUCUUUUUAUGUUGUUUUGGUAACUUGUAAUCUGAGUGCACAAGAGACGCUUUCUUAUAUGUUAUGAGGAGUUGAUUUUCUUGGAUGAAUGAAGCGUAAUUAGCAUGAUAUGUGAUUUUGGUGAUUUACUGCCCCUAUCACUAAAGUUAAAACCACACACACACACACACACACACACACACACACACACACACACAUAUAGUGCACACACACACACAUAUAGUGUAUAUGAGUAGUAAGGUUUAUAUCCCUAGUAUGAGAGAGUUUCAAGAAUUCAAUUGCUUGAUUGAAUUUGAGAAAUUUCGGUCUUGUGUAUUGAUUGGGAUGUCACUUGGCCUAAUGCGUAGUCACUCCCAAAGGAGAUAAUUGUGUAUUAAUUCAUGGAGGGAUACAUGAUGGUAUGGUGGAGGAGUGACUAAUCCUAGUGGUUCAUAUGCCUAAAGGUGAUGAAUUCAUGAAAAUUGGAAUAUAUUCUGAUAACCGCUAUCAUGUGAGAGUGUAUGAUUGCAUAUCAUAUAUUCUGCCCAAAUGUGAUUAUGUGGUUAUGCGUGCGACUCUCUGGAUGUGUAUUUAUACGUCAAGUUACACGGUGCUCAUAUGAUACUAAUUAUAUACAUUGCUUGUUUUUUCAGUCACAUUUUCUGUAAUUAAUAACUCUAUUAUUAUUGAGAUUUUUACUGCUUCAAAUUUUAAGUUAUGGACAUAUGAUUUGUUGCUUGGGAAAAGAGUAAUAGAAUUUGCUUACUAUCCAUGAAGCAUUCCAUUCAUGAGCACUUGAAAAGUGGUUUACCAACUGACUGCACUGCUAAAAGAUGAUAAAAGCCUUAGUGGCUUGAAUUAUAUCUAAUCUAAUAUCGAAAUUAGGACACAUCUACAAAGAUUGUGUUUAAGUCAUAAUGGCAUAUAUAUCUCGUAUAUGGUUGAAGAGGUUGUUUCCAAAUUUUUUUUAUUUAAAGAAUAAUCUCACACAUGUCUAAAGAAAGAGUAGAAAAGUUGACAAUGUUGAUAUUAUGUCUACUCUUAACGGUUAUCUAAAGACUUCUAUAGAUUAUUGUUGAAGUAAAAUUACCGAGGUAAAAAAUAAAUCGAUUAGAAUUAGUCUUAAAGGUUGUCAUGCUUAAUAGUGACCGUGAGUAUUUUGGCAAGUAUGACAAUAUGGAAUAAAUUUUGGGGUGGUAACUUAAUUUACUAUGUUUGAAAAUCCUGACAAAAGAUUUAGCUGAAAGGCAUAAUUGCACCAUAAUUAGUAUAGUGAUGAGUAAGACUAAUUUAUUCGGUCUACUGUGGGCUGAUAUUUUGAAAGUAACAUUUUCACAUACAUACAAAACAUGUUUCUUACCAAAGUUGUUCCAUGAACUUCUUUUGAAUUAUAAUUUUUAUAGAUUGGACAUAAUUUUAACUUGGAUCAUAUUAAAUUUAGAGAUGUCAUGCAGAAGUGAGAUUAUCUAAUCCAAUUUUUAGUGCAUUGGAAUUUAGAUUUACUUGGAAUUAUUUUGUAUCUUACCCAUAUUAUUCAAAGGGGUAUUGAUUUUAUGACCCUAAUGAAGGUACAAGAAUUAUGGAAUCACAUAUAAUAAAGUUUCUAGAGUUCGACUUGUUGUAGAUGAUAAUUACUCUCAUAUUAUUAAGGAUAAUAGUACAAUGGAGGUUAUUGUGUCUUUGCCUAUACAGACAAUUGUGGAAAGAUUGCUGAAAACUUAAAAAUAAGCCAAUUGCCAAAGGCAGCAACAAAGGAGCCUUGGAGACUUGUGGAGUACUCGACUAUCUAGAAGCAAGCACCCGAAGUCGGAGUGAGCAAGCAAAUCCAGAUACUUUUGAGACACUCACACUUCAAUCUUCAGAGCUAACUUCCAUGGAGGAUGUUGACUGCAUCGUCCAUGAAAUCAACAAAGAAAUUUGAGAGAGAGAGAGAGAGAGAGGUCCCUAGGGGAAAUCCUAAGAGAGACACUCGAGUGGAAUUCUAACUGAUAGAAAAGGUUCACGAGUAGGAAUGAUCAUCGAUCACUUUACCAAACCAUGUAAGCCCUUGAAGUUUCUAAUUUUGUGGGAAAAUUACCAAAAAAGUUAUCCUAUCGCACUUGCAUCAAUUCAAUUUUAAACAUUCUAAUGAUUCGUUAGUACAUCCUUUCAGUCAAUAUUGAUUGGAAAACACUAAUGCGGCAAUCCAAUCAAUAUUAGUUGUUCUAUGUGGCUGUUCUAUGUGGUGUGUGAGUGCUAACACUAACAAAAAAAAUUAAACAUUUCAAGGUCAUGUUUUUUUUCUUUUGUCUAUUUUUUUUUCUUUACUUUCUACUGGUGUCCGGUUUCAAGCAAUGGCAACAAGGGUUAACCAAGCCACCAUCUAACUCAAAAAUUGAUGGCCUCAAGCAUCGUAUCGUCCUCUCCAUCAACAUGUUUAGGGGAUCACGAUACAAAUCUGAAAAAAUAUAAUAAUAACAAUAAUAAGGGGAGAGCUAAAGUCCAGCAAACAAAAUCUCUUAGUUUAAGGUAGGAGAUCAACUUACCACUAAACCCGGUACCAACCAACAACAUGAGUUCAAGCAAUACAAAAUAAACAUGUAUGACAAGUGUGGAAAUAAUGCAUUAUCUUUCUAUAAAUGAUAUGAUGACGGAAACAAAAAAAUAACAUGGCAUAAGAUCAAUCAUUCAAAAGCAAGUAAAUGGCAUAUUAUUUUAUGAUGCACCGGUAUCACCAAUGUCUCACCACUAUACACAUCGAAGAUCUAUUCUUUACUCGAGACCAAUAUUACAUAAUAGUAACCACUCAAAUGCAAGCAAAUGGAAUAAUAUUUUAUGAUGCGUGGUUACCACUAAUGAGACAACAUACAAAUGUACGCAUACGCAUGAUCAAGACUUAUUAAAGAAAGAUGAAUAAUGAUCGUUGUUUUAAAAUCAUUAGAACUACAAGUAGGAGGGUUUGUAUGUUCCAAUAGAAAUGCUUCAAGUGACCCUCAAUAAGUAGUUAGGGUGCAAAUGGCCUAAUAAGAUUGGCUACAAGAAAAUAUCUCUAGAGAGCUCCUUCUUGGCCGGGUAAAAGAUUGAGUCACGAGGGCAUCAAAUGACUAAGGUUAAAAGAGGUGAUGUAAGGUAUGACCUCAAAGUUAUAUUAGGCUCAAUGUCACUAAGAGAAUGUGGCUAAAGAUGAUUGGUGGAAAAACGGAGAGAGAAGGAGAACUACUUAUUGGCCAAUUAAAAAUGAAUAGAUAAGAGUUAGGCUUAUCAAGAGCAUUAAUUGGUUAAGGUAAAAAAAGAUGAUGUACUAAAUGAUAUGAAUACUAAGCUAGGUUCAAUGUCUUUAGGAACAUGUGGGUUAAUAUCAUUAGUAGAAAAUGAGGAGAGAUAUGUGCAAUUUAGAGAAUGGCUAACGGCUCAACUAUGGGCUUCUAAACUAGACAAGUUACCGAAAUGUUUAUUAAUUAAGUGCAUAAACAGGGAAACCAGUGUUUAGUCAAAACAUUAAUAAACCAGAAAAUAUUUUGAAUCCACUAAUAUUAUUAGUGAACAAUACGAAUGCUAAGAAAAUUUCAAUUCGAUAAAUUUAAAACUUGAAAAAUUGCCAAAUAUGUUACUUGGAGCAUAUCAAUUCCCGUUUACAAUAAUUUGGUGGUUAAUAAAUUACCAUCAUUUUAUAUUAUCAAGUACAUGUCGACAUCUAUCAAUUUACUUUUAAUAAAUCCACCUCCGAGCAAUUACGGUCUCGAAAAAAUCGUCCUAGUACCUUCCACACCCCACAAAAUUGAUGGCCUUCAUCCAUAUCCGAAAUUCUAGACUAAAUAAUACUUAACUUUUAUCCUAAAUUUUAUCAACAAAGAUGGAAAAUUCUAAAUGUCACAAUCGUCCUCGCCCAACCCUCACGAGGCCACCCUCAUUGGCCAAAAGCGAAGGACAGCCUCACUCAGGCAAGGGUCGUCCUCGCUAGCCAAACAUGAGGCCAAAUGCGAGGCCAACCUUUACCAAAUCUAGGCGAGGGUCACUAGGCCCUCGAUGGCUGUAAUAAUGAGAAAAAGACUAGAAAAAAUUAAUUAAAAAAACAAUAAAAAAAUUGUUAAAAUUGUCUAAGUUUGAACCGGCGGUGCUACAUGGGAUAGCCGUUUUUUGCUUCAAUGAUUUUUAGUUAAAAUUAACUGAUAAACUAUAUUGAUAAAUUAUCAAAAGUUUUAGGACUAAAUUGACCAAAUCAUGAGAUUUAGGACUAAACUAGUAUGAGUGCAAUAGGCUUAUGUUUUAUUUAUCUUUCAAAAUUAUUUGAUACUGUGUCUUGUGAGGCUUAACGGGACCUUACUUGUUUCACCUAAAAAGGUAGGUUUUUCCUCUUGUUUAACUCUGUGCUCAUGAACUGUGGUGUUAAGAAUUUUUGGGGUUUAUCUUAGCCCGCACAUGUCAUUUUCCUUCGCCUAAUAAAUUAAAUUGUUGUUUUUUAUUUCUGUUAUGGAGAAGCCUAUUUAAAAUCUAGGAUAACGCUCAAUUUAUCUCAUGAAUAUGGUAAGAUGCCAUCAAGAUCCAAAUGAACGAUCCAAACGCGACAUUAUUUGUAUUUGAUAACAUGGAAUAUUUGAUGACGUGGACUACGAAGAUAGCCUUCAUAUGGUAUUCAAUAGGGGAACACACAUCGGGGGCUCGCGAAGUGAUAAUGCUUGUGUUUAUGUAAAGAUUCUUCACGUAGGGGGGCAUUAUUUCCGAUGAUAAAGACAAGGUGUCUCCCUCUUUGGCCAGCCAAAAGUAGGUUUCAGUCGACCCAUACCAACGUUAAACUUCCAGGAAACCUCACUGAUGGGGACAACAUCAUAUCAUUCAUUGAAUGUUAUCCUCACUCGUCGUUAAUAAUGCAAGUAGUGGAAUACUGCUGCACGCACGAAGCGGCGUGAUUCGGUCGUGGGCACUGAAUAUGUGACAUGACAAGGGUAAAGAGACAGCUCGGUCUUGGUUGACGAUGACUUGGCCACUUUGGACCAACAUGCGCACCUACACUCCCCAGUGAGUGACCACAACGAUUUUAGAAAAAGAGCAGUUAAAUCUAAUUCGAUCUGAAAUAAAGUAGUGUUUAGAUUUAUUAUUAUCUUUAAUCGGAUUCCUUCUAUUUAUUUCGCGGCUUCUAGAUGAAUGUGUCGGAGCCGUUCAAAGUCAAAAAAUGGGAAAAUAUUAAGAUUCCCUGUCUCCAUGAAUUUUCUUGUAGGACCAUCUCAAGAGGGCUCAAUUCCAUCUGCAACUCUAUAUUUUUGAGCGAUUCUUAGAUUCCCUGGGCCAAGAAAACGAAAGAGAAAAUGAUCCUUUUGCAAAGACUUGGAAUUCACAACAUGAGCUGACCUCCUCUUGUUGUAAUCAAGUUCAAUAUGAUGGGAUCGAAGAAUCGGGCGAGGUCGACUGCUCGAACUUGAUUUCCAACAUAAUAUUCUCGGCAUAAUAAUGAGCUCGAGCUCGAUACGAUAUGGCAUAUUCUUUUCUUGCGUGUAGCUCCACUCAAUCAUGUAAGAGUGAAUUCUAAGCUAAUGUGAGACUCGGCUUUGGAUUACUUUUCUGUCGAACUUGUAGAAACCAUCUCGUGAAGACGUGUACCUUGUCGUAAUCCUUGCAUAAAAUAUCUUGCAUGCAUGUGUAUGGCCUUCAAGAUUUUUCCCCAUGGACGAUCUUGGACUUCAAAUUUUUUAUGUUGUGGCACGUUGGACAAUACUAUCUGUCAGAAGGUGAUUGAUUCCAUGUCAUCGCCCUCCAUACGCAAUGGAAAAAACAAGCAACAAAAGAGAAAAAAUCGCCUGUUCUUUUCCUUUCGUUCGGACUGUGAGACACAGACCCAAUCGGGUUUACACACGUGAUGACCCCUAAUCGGGCCAUUGCCUGCUCGGUGUCUUUCUUGACUUACUGUUGCUUCUACUUAAGUAUAAAGAUCCCCGUUCAUCUCCGCUCAGUUCACUCAGUACCAUCUCCGAACGCCCACACAGUUUGUGGAAACCACAGGGAGAGAGAGAGAGAGAGAGAAUGGCUGGUGCUAGAUUUCUGUGUUCCUUCCUCCUCGUCGUGACCGCUUGCUCCGCCGCAGCAGCUGGCUUCGAGGGCGCUGACCUUGAGUCCUCCAUCCUCCAAACCGUCGGCCACACCCGUCCCGCCCUCUCCUUCGUAGACUUCGCCCGCGGGUUAGAUAUCAACACCCCACUUAGAAAAGAAUAAUGCAAAAAAUAGAGUUGUGGAUGUUAGACAAUGAAGAGUACAUGAACCUAUAAAUUUUAUUAGAUGAUUGUCUAAGUUAAAAUAUCGGAUAUGUACAAUCAAUGACAUCAAUUUUAGUUUGGAGAAGAGAUCCAAAAAAUGCGAGAGUCUAUAAAGAGAAUAAGCCGAUGUCAGUGUGACCGUGCAAGCUAUUUGAUAGAAGGUUGUUGUCGCAAUAGGAGAGCGCUAUCAAGAAAAAGCCUAUUUUAUUAUUAAAAAACAAAAAAUGCAUGAUCCUAAUUACAUGCAUGACCUUAUUGAAAAUCAAGAAGUAUUCGUGUUGUCUCUAACACUCAUCUGGGUGUGUUCUUGAUUUGUAAAUUCGCCUUUGUUAUCUAUAAAAGAUUGUUAACCUUUUCGAUUGUUGUCGUUUAUCCGCGUUGUUGGUGUUUGGUUUAGGCACGGGAAGACUUACAAGACAGCGGAGGAGAUCAAGUUGAGGUUCGAUAAUUACAGGGAGAAUCUCAAGCUCAUUCGAUCCACCAACCAGAAGGGCUUGCCUUACACUCUCGCUGUUAAUCGUACGUGGCAGUUCUUGACAUUUUCUCCUUGUCUAUUUCUUGUUUUAGACCUGAAGAUCAAUUCGGUCAUAGUCGUUUCGACUUGUUUCGUAACCCGAAGCCCAAGAGAUGGUCUAUUUUAGCUGUUGCUGCUGUCGUCGUUGAGUUUGAUUUGUGCUUGAUGGGUGGACAGAGUAUGCUGACUGGAGCUGGGAGGAGUUCAAGACGCACAGACUGGGAGCUUCUCAAGACUGCUCUGCCACCACCAAGGGCAGCCACAAGCUCACCGACGAUGUUCUUCCCGAAACGGUAUUUUUCACGGCGAUGCCUCAAUCGGAAGCUUUCCGCUCGUAUCAUCCUUCGUUCAAUGAGAUAAAACUACUUUGAUUUAGACUAGCAGCUGUACUGCUUUUAGCUGUGUGGUGUCUUCUGUAUCGACUGGCAAUUUUCUCUGCCAAAUUACAGCAAAAUAGUUACUCAGCUGCCACUAGGUGCCUCGCGUCGGCAUCAUAUUUUCGGGUGCGUGUUUUACGAAAAACUCAAUAAUAUAAAAAAUUGCUUUCUGGUAAAAUAUUUUCUAGGAAUACAAUUAAUUUUUCUUUAUUUAGUGAUAUAUAAUCAAGAAUGUUUUCUAUUGUUUGGAUAUUACUAGAAAAGAAAAUGAUUUCACAACUUUAUUUCAUGCCAAAAAAAAAUUGAACUUAUAAAUUUUUAAAAUUCGAAUUUUUAAUCAUUUUAUUUCUCUCUUUUUUAUUUUUCUUUUUUAAAAUUGGAAUUUAUAAUAUUCUUUUUUCUCAUUUAUUUUUCUUUUCUUUCCUUCUCUUUUUCGCCCUUCCUCCACCACUACCGGCCGACAACGGCCAUAGCUCCGCCUCGCCGGGAGCUUGCAAGCCGCGGGUUUGUCAAUCUCGACAAAGCGCAGCUUGCCCAACCUUGGUGAACUCGGGCUCGCCUAGUUUGACUAAGCUGCAAGCACAUCAACUUGCAUAGAGCUUAGGUUGGCGAGCUUAGGCUCACCAAGAUUGGCCAAGCCGCGAGUUCACCGGCUUUGACGAAGCUCGAGCUCACCUAGAUCAGCCGAGCCUUGAGCUCGCCAACCUUAGCCAAGCUCGGGCUCACUUGGUUCGACUGAGCCGUGAGCUAGCCGGUCUUGGCCAAGCUCGGGCUCACUUGGAUCGGUCGAGCCUCGAGCUCACUAGCCUGUGUCUUGGCGAGUUGCCGACGAUGGAGGAAGAAAAAGAGAAAAGAAGAAAAAAGAAAAAGAAAAUAAAUGGUAAUAAAAAUCAAAUAUUUUAAAAUUAGAUUUUUAAAAAAAUAUAUUUUUAAUAAAAAUAAAAUUUUCAUUACCAAGGGCUCUAAGAUUAGGAAAACAUUUUGGAAAACGUUUUCCGGUUCUUUCAAAGGGAAAAUCGUUUUCUUGAAUUUAAAUUUUGGUAGGAAAACAUCUUUCGUUGACUAAGAAAAUAUUUUCCGUUGGUUCAUUUUUCUAAGCGAAUCAAACCCCAAAAAAUGGGGUUUCGCAAAACAAACGCACUCUUCGUUUUCUUUGAAACAUUCCUAUAUAAUUGAGUUAUAAUGAAAAAAAUCCAUUAGCUCCAUCCAUGACGACUGAACUUUCUUGUCCUCGCUUUUACAAAUUGAAAGUGCUUGCUGAAACAACUUACUCUUUCUCUCCCCAUCUCAAGGUUUUGGCACUUUUCUUGAGAUCUAGGACUAGAUUGCUGAUUACUGUAGAAUCUACUAGCUGAUCAUUGAAGUGUGAGACCUAUGUCAAUAUUAGAUCUUUAUUUUCUUCCAAUCCAUCAUAUUUACAGAAAGACUGGAGAGAAAAGGGCAUUGUAAGCCCAGUUAAAGAUCAAGGCGGCUGUGGAUCUUGCUGGAGUUUCAGGUUUUUUUUUUCUUCUUCUUCUCCUUCUCUCCUCUUCGAUUUAUAUUUGUUACUCUCCCUAGUACGUGACAAACUUAUUAACUUGGCAACUCAUUGAGAUGCCAUGAUGCUGGAGUGCUAGUGACCUCUAAUUUGCACUUUUGUAGCGCAACUGGAGCUCUCGAGGCUGCUUAUCACCAAGCACACGGGAAAGGAAUCUCUCUGUCUGAGCAGCAGCUCGUGGACUGCGCUACGGCUUUCAACAACUUUGGAUGCGGUGGCGGGUUGCCGUCGCAAGCCUUCGAGUACAUCAAGUACAACGGUGGCCUUGAGACCGAGGAAGCUUAUCCUUACACUGCACGAAAUGGUACCUGCAAAUUCUCGGCUGGCAAGGUCGCUGUCAAAGUUGUCGACUCUGUCAACAUCUCUAUGGUAAGUUCAUGGGCAAUCUGUAGAGUUAGCCCAAAGAAAGGAGAAGUAAAGGAAAAAAAAGCUCCGGAAAUUUCAUAAAUAUAGCUUCAAAUUGCCUAUAUGUUUAUAUUUGCAAUGCAUGGUGGAUUCAGGGUGCUGAGGAUGAACUUAAGCAUGCAGUUGGCCUGGUCCGGCCAGUCAGUGUGGCAUUCCAGGUCACGGAUGGCUUCCAGCUCUACGAGUCGGGUGUGUUCACCAGCGAUGCAUGUGGUAGCACUUCCAUGGUGAGCAUUUCCAAAUAAAAUGAAAGGAACUGUAUCUCCAUCUCAAUCAUGUUUGAAGGAUGCCGAUGCGUAGGAUUCAUGAAGCUUUCUAAACAUACGUUGGAAUUAAUUAGGGAUUCCUAUAGGAUAAUUUCCAUUGUUAGAAAUAAUUUAAUAAUUUUGUCCAUAUCUCUUAAGAUGGCACAUUUAUUGCAUGAAUAUCGUAGGCAAAUGACACGUAUAUUGCACAUAUAUCUCCAUUUGAUUGUGUAUAUUUUGAUUAAGAUAAAGCCUAAAAAUAGGUUUUUGUAUUCUUCAUUAAUAUCCACAUCCAAAUAUGGGUUAAGAAUAGCACAACUACCAUAACUUUGGUACGGCCCUCACUUGAGCGCCACAAAUUUGAAAAAUUGAGUACUUGAAUGCCAUCACCGAUUUACCUCGUCAGAAAAUCCACUAGUCAUCUUGCAUGACUUCGCCAACACUAACAUGAACACUAAACAUCUGCUGGAGAUUAUUAGAGAUUUCUCUAGUAUAAUUUCCAUCGUUAGAGAAAUUUUAAUAAUUUUGUUGAUUAUUUAUAUCUCUCAAGAUAUUGCGCGAAUACUGCAGGCAAAUGACACAUAUAUUGCACGUCUAUCUCCCUUUGAUUGUGCAUAUUUUGAUUGAGAUAUUAUUUUAGAAUAGUUAUCGAAUAAAGCCUAUAAAUAAUUUGUUUCACUCUUCAUUAAUAUAUAUCAAAAUACACGCAAAUUCCACAUUUCUAUUUUCCAUAUUAUUAUUCUUAAUUACAUUGAUAACCGUGACAUUUAAUUUGAGCAUCUAUCUUGUCAGGAUCCGUAUAAUUUGAUUCCUUACUGCAAAUGAAGUUUUGCAUAAAAGACGAUACUCAUGCUCGUGCCUAAUGAAAACUGAAUGUAUUGUAUCAGGAUGUGAACCAUGCUGUUGUUGCUAUCGGUUAUGGAGUUGAGAACGGUGUUCCAUACUGGCUUAUCAAGAAUUCCUGGGGAGAGAGCUGGGGCGACAAAGGAUACUUCAAGAUGGAGAUGGGGAAGAACAUGUGUGGUAAGUUCCCUCUUUUGGUUUUGGUAGAACCACUAGAACAAAACGGUGCUAGGAUAACUAUGCUUUUGAAAUUCUCGCAGUUGCUUUAGUCCAUGUCCAUUCCUUCUAUGCUUGACUUUCUUCUAAGUUACUCCGUCCUCAUCUAUCUAUCGAUCUUAAAUUGCAGGUGUCGCUACUUGUGCAUCAUACCCUGUUGUGGCCUAGAUUGUUUUUAGAGAACCUAUGGACGCAUGCACCAAGUGAUUCGAGACAUAAUUGCUCCACCUCAAGGUUGAGUACUGUAAUGUAGCAUGGAAGGGUCUAUGCUUUAGCAUACAAAAAUAAUCUUCGGGACAAUUGUAAUUCCAUAUGGUUACUAUUAUGUCAACGAAGACCUUAUAAAUUCCAAUCUAUGUUUGCAUGGCAUGAAACCCUUUCGUUGCAAGAAUAACACAUUGCUGCAAAGGAAAAUAUGAUUCUUCCGCCAUUAAAACGGCAUGGAAUUGAAGGGGCAAAUUUCACUGAACGCUUUCGCUUAUUUACUUAGUAGAGAUUGAAUGCACAGUCUUACACACAUGCUAACACUCGCCAUGCGAUGUUUAGAUAGCCUAGGAGAGGUGAUACUAUCUUUGAUUGCACCAGAAGAGACAGUAGCCAACAUCUUUUAUUCGCAGGGCAAAUUACACAUGCAAAGAUACGCAAAAGUUCAUAGUUCAAUUAGCCGCCAUUCAUAUCCUCAUUCCUUAACAUGCUAAUUAGAACAUUGUAUUGUGCACAUGUUGCACAACAGUAAUUCUUUUUCUUUUUCUUUUUGGUCGUGUGUUACAGUAAUUGCUUGUCCUAUUGGUGCUUGAUGUUGGAGUAUAAUACACGGAAACAAUAGAAUUUUGCAAUUUUUGUCAACGCAAAAUCACCAAAAAAAUAAAAGAGAAAUAAUAAAGACACCAAAAAUUUACGUAGUUCGGUCUGAGUAUCGGUACUUACGUACACAAGGAGAGCCAGCAUCAAAUAAUCCACUAUAAUCGGAGAAUUAGAAUUGACAAUUACUUACACGCUCGAGUGUUUCCCACACCUAAAUUUAAUCCAAAACCCAAAAUGUUUAUAAAUAAACAACUUACUUAGAUAUAAACUCACUGCACAAAAUUACUACAUGUUCAAGUUCAAAGUAAAAUGCUCUACAUACGCUAAAACCAAGAACGCCAAUGUUCGUCUCUGCCUUGUGUACGUGCGGCUUGACGUUCAUCUUUAUUGUGCGAUGCUCUUAUGGACGCGUGACUCCUUAGACCGUGCGGCAUUCACUUUUCCACAUAAAAGAAACCCUAGCCUUUUCAUAUUAUGUGCCUAGAGUCAAAACUUUGACUCUGGGCCCCACUUGGGAUCCUUUCUUCAAAAUUCCUAUUUAGCUCCUACAGAUAAAGAAGAAACCAUUGCUCCUUUUUUUUUUGUUUUUUAUUCUAUUUUAUUUCCUCUUUUGUAAACUUUCAUGGAGUCCAAUGAAUCUCCUUCUGUUAACCAAAGACAUCUAAGACCCGAAAAGAAUUUCGAAUUUCUUUUCCUAUGUGUAAUCUUGAAUAUUAUCAGAAAAAAUCUUCAUGAACAACCAUGUAAAAAUUUUAUUCAAGCAGAUCGCAUUUCGCAAACGCUCAAACUCGAGACAUAAUUUAACAUUUCUCCACCUUGGCUCAAUGUUUGAAACUAAGUUAUAGUGCUCAUCAUACAUGCCACUCUCCCAAUACCCCGAUAGACACUCACUCUUCACAGACGUCAAUAAAGCUCAAGCAAAGCUUGAGCUUCGCCAAAGGAACAUACUUAGUCAUCAUGUUUGCCGAGUUAUCUACUGUAGCAAUCUUUUUAACAAUAAUAUUACCCUUAACUAAGACAUCUCGGAUGAGAUGAUACCUUAUGUUAAUAUGCUUCAUUCACUCGUAAUAAACUAGAUUAUAUGCCAAAUAUAUUGCACCUUAGUUAUCACAGUGUAUAUCCACACAUUUCUAUUCUAACCCAAAGUCUGAGAGCAAACUUUGUAACCAUAUCACCUAUUACGCUAUAAAGGUUAGUGUCAUGUACUCUACCUCAGUCGAAGACAAGGCAAUGUGAUUCUAUAAGGACGCUUUCCAACUAACUACACUACCUGCUAGCAUAAACACUGUCGCAACCAAAAAUUCAGGUGCACCACCUAGGGUUUAGGAUAAUGGACUACUAAGUCUUAAACUUAGCUCGGGCUCUCCCAAGCUCAUACCAAUUCGCGACUUUGGUUCAAGUUUUUAACAUGCAAAUGGAUUUUAUUUAGAAGUCGCCACUAAUCAAUUUAUGGUAUGCCAAUUAGACACCUAAGUAAAAUAAUAAAAGAAUUAUUUUACUCUUACGAACCAGAGAUUUUUAGUAAAGGGACUUGAUUACACUAGAUUUUUCUAAUACCCUUUCAGUACCAUUCUUUUUAUUUUUAAAAAACAUUUUUGCAGGCAGCUUAGAUUUGUUUUAACCUAAAUUACUAUCAUGCAAUAGGAUGAUCACACGGAUGCUCAACCAUUAUUUAACAUUGAACAAAAUAAAUUGCACCAAAGGAAUUCAACACACUAAAGCAAACAAUUUUUUGGGGUUUUCUUGAAACUAGAACUUUAUCAUAAAACAUGUAUUUAAAUUAUAUGACAUAAUUUCUUUACCAAAAAAAAAAACUAUAUAACAUAAUUUUACUAACAAGCUAAUACUAAUUAAAUGAACCUAACAUGCAAACUAAUUGACAUGCACCUAAUAUUUUUGUAUCUUUCUUUAUUAAAAUUCGGAAUUAAUAAAAACCCUAAUUAAACUAUCUAAAAUGAAUAAUUUUCUAAUAUGUUUUAGGGGUUAACUUGAUUUAAACCCUAUCCUAUCUUAGAAAACUAUUUUUUUUUAAAGAAAAAUGAGAUUAUCUAAAUGUGCAAACAUUAUUUAAGAGUCUAUCUAUAAAAAAGUUCAAUCUUAAUCCAUUCCAAAAAUUAUCUAAAGGUGCAAUCCUAAAAAUGCAAUCCUAAUUUACUAAACCAACAACUCCAAUGCAAGAUUUGAUUUUUUUUUUUUUACAUUAUUUUAGUGUUUUUCUAAGACAAGCAAUUAUCGGAUAAACAUUACAUCUAAACAAUCGAGAUAUUCAACAAAUGAAUUAUUAAACUAAUCGGAAAAAAAAUAACCUGUAGUCUCACAGGUCAAAUUAACGAUUACUCUAACCCUAAACAUCACGACAAAAAGUUCAAAAUAAUUAAAAAUCUUAUUUGAAGUCUUACGGAUCAAAUUAAUAAUUAUAAUGAUUUAACAAUUAAAAUACUAUCAAAAUGCCCAAAAAAUUAAUAUAAUUAAGAAAUGAUCCAACGUCUUACGGAUCAAAUUAAUAAUUACAAUAAUUUUGGGCAAAACCCUGCGGAUAAUGCCUACAAUAUUUGUAAAAUGAACAUCAUUAUCCAAUGUUCUAAUUUAAAUAACUAAACUUAAAAUAACAAAAAAUAACAUAAAAUUAAUAAAAUUAAAUUUAAAAAUAAACUACCUAAGGGGGACUCAACACAACAAGAGAAGGUGCGAUGCGUUGACUAGUGGGCGGACCAGCAGCAUCAAUGGGAGAACAGGUCGCGGGCGUAGGCAUGGGAUGGUGGAGCUGUAGAUGUUGGUUGGGCAUCACUCGGACAGAGGGUAGCACAACCAGGGGCUGUUGGGCAUCAGAGGGCAGCACGACGACCUGCAAAAGGAAUAGAGAACAGAAGUGGUAGCGGAGGAGUCGAACGUGGGCUGCUUGGAGGCGCUUGCGCUGUGACCAGCAGCGACAAACGGCAAAGGAGGCGUUAAUGGCUGACGACCAGAGAAGAGCGACGCUAGGGCAGCAAGCAGAGAGAGUGUUGGGCGCUGGUGCAGUGGCGAGUGACACUCGGGUGGCAACGUCAGUGGCUAGCUAUGAGCAUCGGGCACCAGGCGUGACAACAAUGGUGCGCGGUGUAGAGGUGCUGCAAGGUCAACGGGUGGACACACAAGCAGAGGGAGGCACGGUGAUGGACAGCGGCGCAGCAACGGGCGAGCAUCGGAUGGAGCAGGGACAGUGGCGUGGCGUCAGACGAAGGUAGAGGCGCGGUCGUUGAAGCUCUGGCAUUCGGCGCUACCGAUGCAGAAACAAAGACGUGGAGGUUGCUGGGUUGCGGGCGAAGGUCACUAGUGAAGGGACUCGAAACGGCGGUGACUAGCGGCCUGACAAUUGGUUUGGAUUUGCUGGUGUCGGGCACAAGGAAGCACAAGUUGCUGGCAUUGGCAACAGUGGUGGCACAGCGGCGACAGGAGCUAUGCAGGCGCGCAGAGGUGCAGCCGCGAGUGCAAGUGUUGGGGGUGGUGGUGCAAAGGCACGGCGAUCAAUGGCAACGAACGAGUGAGCUGCUACGGGGUCAGUGCUCGUGGGUCGCAGACGGAGGUGAGGCUAAGGUGUUGCUGGUGCGGUGGCUGGCGCAAGUGGCAAAGACACCCACGCAAGGAAGACAAAUUGUUUGUUGCUUUUUCUCUUUUUUUUUUUUCUCACCUGUCACAAGUCCCUCUCUGUCUCCUCUCUGUUGUUGACUUUUCCCUUUUCUUGAUAGAGAAAGAAAAGAGAAAUGGUUUUCUCUUUGACCAAGACGGACAAAGGCUUUUUCUUGCACGAAUUUUGUCUCGAAAAUUUUUUUGGUUCCGAAUUCACUCACCUAGUCACGAAAAAAGUGGCUCUCUUUUAUAAUGAUUCCAAACAGCCACUUUCCAUGGCAACAUUCGAGUUUCCAUCUUCCGUUGCAUUAAUUCAUGGCUACAAAUCGGAACAUGAUUUCGCGAUCAACUCAAUCUUGCUUCAAUUCCUUCCAUUUUAUAAAAAUUCUUUCUCUUUACUCACCCGAUUUCCUUAUUGCUUCCGCAUUUAUCAAAAUCUGAAUAUUCAUGUGUUGUGCUACCGCUUAUCAAGCUAGUCAAGGAUAAAGUGCUCACUUUUAAGAAUGUCCCUGCUACCUCGAGGAACAAAAGACUUCAAAGAGGUUGGGGCUUUGACCCCUCGGUCUUCAUCCAGUAGCCUUAGUUUCCGCAAGCUUCUUGGGUUGUGCUACCACUUCCUCACCUCCUUUGGCUCUCCGUUCUUUGACCCUUCUUUUUUAUUGUGUGUCGAGGUUCAGUGGAGCCGUUUUGUGUUCAGUGCCUCUGCGUAGGCUGGUUUCCUUUGGUCUUUCUUGCCCUUACUACUUUGUGUCGGCUCCCUUCCGCUCUUUCUGUCUUACAGUUAGAGUGUAAGUUUUUGGUGCCAUCUUUGUGUAUUUUUUGUCCAAAGCUCAAUAUAUAUUCUUACCUUUUACCAACAAAAAAAAAAUCUGAAUAUUCAUCAGAAUUUCCAACUUCCAUGCAUAAUCAAUCAAAUUAAUUAUUUAUUUAUUUAUUUGCUCUGAUGCAAUUUUUAUUAUUCUUAUUUUUUUAUUAUAUUUUUUAGGGGUUAAAAUUAAUCUCUAAUUUUUAUGCAAUAAAUCAAUGACUGGGUCAUCAAAAUUUAGGUGUCAACAGAUACCCCUCUUUGAAUGUGAGCUUGUAGAGGUUGCUUUCAAAGAUAAAUUGAGACCUAAAUUUUGAUCAAGCACAUGCACUGAAUGACCUUCAAAUUUUUUUUUUUUGUUGGAAAAUGAAUUCCUCUCUUUUCUAUUUCUCUUUUUUUUUUUUAAGACAAUUUAUGUGAUGCAUGGAAAUAUCAAUAAAAACGGUAAAAGGAACCUACCUAGAAUAACUUACCUUUAAGGAGGGUAGAGUAAUUCAAGAUAGUGGAUGUUACAUGUCCAAGACCCGUACCUUUCUAUGGUCACCCAGAAUAAUAAUGAGGCUUUGUAAGGAGACUGCUUUCCUAGGAUCCGUACCUUUCUACGGUUGCCCAGUAUGACAGUUUUUUAGUUGUCUAGGACCCGAAUCUUUCUUCAGUCACCUUGACGAAAAAAAAAUGGUUUUUCAAGACCUGUACCUUUCUACGAUUGCCUGAAUGGGAAAUAGAUAUUUUCUAGGACCCGUACCAUUCUACAGUCACCUAAACAGGAAACAACUUUCCAAGACCCGUACAUUUCUACAGUUGCUUGAAUCAGACUAAAUCCGGGGAAAAAUCUUUGGGGAACAGCUCAAUCGAGUCAAGUGUCGAUACUUGAAAAGGAAUUCAUGUGCAAUGACAAGUAUUUAAGGUAUGGAUAGAGGUAUACUUACAUGGUGACAUCUAUGAUCCUUAGGAAUAUGUCUCUUGUAAAGCCAAAUUAAUGAGGUAACUAUAGGCUAUGAAAGCACACCAUGUCGAUGAAGGGGAACUUUGAGCUACAGAAGCACGCCGAUUUAAUAGAGAGACUUUGGGCUACAGAAGCAUGUCGGGUCAUAUCAAAGGACACCGGGCUAUGGAAGCAUGCCGAGUCGAUGAAAGGGACUCUGGGCUAUGAAAGCACGCUAGGUCAAUAUAAAGGACACCGGGCUAUGAAAGCACGUCGGGUCGAUGAAAGGGACUCUAAGCUACGAAAGCAUGCCAAGUCAAUAUAAAGGACACCGGGUUACGGAAGCACACCGGGUCGAUGAAAGGGACUCUGGGCUACGAAAGCAAGCCAGGUCAAUCUAAAAGACGCCGGAUUACGGAAGCAUGAUGGGUCGAUGAAAGGGACUCUAGGCUACAAAAGCACGCCAAGUCAAUAUAAAGGACACCAGGCUAUGGAAGCACACCCGAUCAAUGAAAAGGACUUUAGGCUAUGAAAGCACGCUAGGUCAAUUUAAAGGACACCGAGUUAUGGAAGCACGCCAAGUUGAUGAAAGGGACUCUGAGCUACAAAAGCAUGCUAGGUCAAUUUAAAGGACACCGGGCUACGAAAGCACGCUGGGUCGAUGAAAGGAACUCUGGGCUACGAAAGCUCGCCAAGUUAAUAUAAAGAACACUGGGCUACAGAAGCACACCAGGUCGAUGAAAAGGACUCUGGGCUACGAAAGUCCGCCAGGUCAAUAUAAAGGACGCCGGGCUACGAAAGCACACUGGGUCAAUGAAAUGGACUUUGGGCUACAAAAGUAUGCCAGGUCAAUUUAAAGGACACCGGGCUACGGAAGCACGCCAAGUCAGCACCGGGUUACGAAAGCACGCCGAGUCAAUUUAAAAGACACCAUGCUAUGGAAGCACGCUGGUUUGAUAGGGGGACUUUAGGCUACGAAAGCACACCAGGUUAAUUUAAAGAACACCGAGCUACAGAAGCACGCUAGGUUGAUGAAAGGGACUCUGGGCGACAAAAGCACGCCAGGUCAAUUUAAAGAACACCGGGCUACGGAAGCAUGCCGGGUCGAUGAAAGGGACUCUAGGCUAUAAAAGCAUGCCAAGUCAAUUUAAAAGACACUGGGCUACAAAAGUACGCCGGUUUGAUAGGGGGACUCUGGGCUACAAAAGUACGGCAAGUCAAUUCAAAGAGCACUGGGCUACGAAAGCACACCAGGUCGAUGAAAUGGACUAUGGGCUACGAAAGCACGCUAAGUCAAUUUAGAGGACAUCGGGCUACGGAAGCACGCCGGGUCGAUGAAAUGGACUCUGGGCUACGAAAGCACGGUAGGUUAAUUUAAAAGUCACCGGGCUACGGAAGCGCGCCGAUUUGAUAAGGGGACUCUGGGCUAUGAAAGCACGCCAGGUCAAUUUAAAGAACACCGGGCUACGGAAACUCGCCGAGUCGAUGAACGCUAGGCUACAAAAGCACGCCGGGCCAAUAUAAACGGAUAGCUUGACCAAGUCAAGUGUCGAGAAUACCCGCACAUUGACAAGUAUUUAGAAUAUAGGUAGAGAUAUACUUACCUAGUGAUAUCUCUGAUUAUUAGAGAUAUGUCUUCUAGAACUUAGAUAUCCUAUGGAGGUCUCUCACCUCCUCGUAGAAACAAAUUUUGGAACAUCAAGGAUGCACCUUGAAUGUUCAUGAUGGUUUCUCAUCUCCUAAUAUCAUGAGGCAUUUUAAAAGGAACUUGAAUGUUGAGAGCUCUCGGGUUUUUGAGGAAACAUUACCUGUCAGACAUGAUUUAGAGCAAAAAUGCAUUUGCUAAAGAAAUAAGCAAUUAAGGCUAUUUAGGAAUGCACACUUCAAAAUCCACUGAAGUUUUUAUUAAUUCCAUCAAGGUUCAUACAUAAUGACCUUUGCAUCACCCAAAUUUCCAUUAGAGAGAAUUAUCAUUUAAGACAACUUUCACUCAUAACACGUAUUUUCUAAGAAUACUAAAUAAUAGACCUUCAGUUAGAAAUGACUUUCACUCACUCUCAUUCAGAAAGGCAAUUUUAGGAGAAUCACUCAAUUUCACCAUAUCGACUAAGGUCCGAGUAUUCUCGCAAGCGGUACGACCUUAUCAAUAUGAGGGGUCUUUAAUAAGGACCAUAAUGAGGGCUUGGUCAAUGGCUUGAAAAUGGACUCUUUAAGCCAAGGCUAUUGAAAGAACAGCUUCACAAUUAUCUUCGGGUUUACAAGUCAAGAACCCUGCAAAAUAAGAAAGGAAUAAUCUUGCUCGCACUUCUUCGAGCGAUGCUUAUAAACAUAUGAACUCCCAUGUUAAUUCAAGUGCCCUAAUUUGAAGAGACUUUGUAAGGGACGUAACAUAGGCUGGGUUCAUGGGUUGAGAAACAAAAGGAUCAUUAAGCUCAAAAAUGUGUAGAGCAUGAGAGUUGAUGAUCAUCUAGGCAUUGUCGCCGGUCUUCUCUUUCACCAAGGAUUGUCAUUAUAAAUGCACUAUUGAUCUCAACUCUUUGAGUACUGCUCCAUUGGGAUACAAUUUUUGCAAUUGAUAGUCAUUUAUUUGACAUUUCUAUGAGCAUUGGCCUUACUUUUACCAGGCACACUAUUUUUUCAUGCCCCUAAGUUCUAUUUUGAUUUCAAUUCUUGCGCACAAUGCAUGUGUCAAGUAAUUACACUUUGAAUGACACUCGAACUUUUCAAGAGUCUUCACCUACCUUUUGCCUUGCCUCAAUGUGGGGGAUGAUCAUCAACUGGGUUUGAAGAAAUGAAAUUGUAGGCUCAAGUGGGCUAUGCAAAGGAUAUAAGUAUUUGAUAAAAAAGAAAAAAAAAGAAAUGCUCUUUGUCAUCCUAAGGCACUUAUAUUAUCACGUGAAUUCAAUGUAAUAGCACGACUUAAAGAUUGAUGCAAGUGAGAGCAAGAAAAUUUCUUUCCAUUUUCUCCACCUUAUGGUGUUGUUUUACCUCCAAUUUGCCCCGAUGUGGGGUGGUUCUUGACAAGGGUAAUUUUAAAAAUUUCCACAAGUGUAUAGGGUUAAGCAAUGGAUCACCUGUAGUGUUUGGGAUAGAGAAAUAAAUUGCCCCUCAUCAUUUUAAUUGGUGUACCCUUUGCGAGAGAACUCUUUACCUUGCAGAUAUGAACCUUCCUACACUCACCUCACAAGUGUAUGAGUAGGGGACUGUGUAUAGGAUAGGGUUCGCCUUUUAUCAUCCCGACUUGUCUCAUUUAGCAUGCUUAAUCCAUUCCACAUCAUUCAUUAAAUUGGCUUGUGUUGACAAUCUUCACUGGAAUCAGUGAAUUAAGCAAGUAAAAUUGUCAUGCAGAAAUUUUCUUUUGAAAGAUUUCAAGCAUUUUAUGAACUGUCAAGAAUGUCAUUCAGCAUGAAUAGUCCUAUUAAGAUAUGUUAGAAUAUCGAGUGCCGAGAGACAUUUGUAGAGAUGGUUGUCCAUGAAUUGCCCCUUAUUUGAACAGGAUUGGACACAUAAAUUAAUCAACUAAUAUUGGAACUACGAUCUUUGAUUUGAAGAACAUUCCAGUUCUGCUUUUGCCCUUGCACAAGAGAACGUGCAUGAAUAAGAUACUAAGCAACAUCAAAACAACCUCAAAUUGCACAUCUAUUUUGGCUCAAAUUGAGAUUUUGUCUCAGUCAUGUCACUAUCAAAAUCUGUCAUGCCCCAAUCUGUCAUAUUAACUCUUUUAGAAAUGUGUUCUUAGCAGUUGGGCCAAUUGCAACCUGUUAUGCCUUUUUCAAAUGCUUUCUCAUCAGACCAAGAAAGUAAUGCUCUGAAACAUGAAGUAAAUAAGUCAGAAAAUUAAACAAAGCUAACCUAUGUAUGCUUUUGGAAAUGGCUUCAAAAAUGAUGAUUCUUUUUAUUCCUUUUUAUUUUUUUUACGAGGAAACAUGAAGAAGCCCAGUCCUCAGGAUUUCUCCGUAGAUGAUAUUUUCUUUUCAUGAUUGAAUAUCAUCAUUGGACUGGUUUGGCAUACCCCAUCAUGUCCUCAAAACAAAACUUGUAAUUUUAUUGAUGUUCAUCAAUCGAAUUACAUUUAUUAAAUGGUAAAUGCAAUGCUCAAUCCCUAAACGGAAAACGAAAACAUUUCCUAUAGAGUAAUAAAAAUUCCCACACAGGAGAAUGUGCAAAAGUAAUAAAUGAGUCACUCUCGUGGGCAAAGGCCCAUUUCUUAUGAUGGUCAUUUGUCAAUGACACCUAUAAGGAGGUCAUCGAACAAGCUCGUGAUUCCUUCUAGUGCAUCAUCAGGGUUCUCUAUCUUUGGAGGUGCCGCAUCGUCCAUGCCGCCCCAUCCAUCUGGGACUAUGUCACGAGGGUCAAUGUAAAAGUUGGGAGGAGCUGAAUACUUCACAUAAUAAUCAAAUAUGCCACUUGGCUGCCCUAGGGUGUCCAUCACUUCCACUUCAUUUUGCAUUAUUCUAGGAAGGCCAGGAAAUAUCUUGUGAAUGUUGGGGGGCAACGAGUUUUGCCUCCCUCGCCCUUACUUAGGUGGCAAGUUUCGCAUUUCUUGUCUCUGCCCUCCAGAAUUUUCUUCACCUCUUCCAUGGUGCCCUAAUCCAGCAUAAAAGGACCUCCAAGAGGCUUCAAUGGGGUUUCGAAUGCCUUGACCCCUUCUUCCAAGACCAUAUGGCAUCAUCUUAAACCUCAAAAGUGGAAAUGAACAAUACAACGAUUUUCCCUAUCACAUAUAAAACAAGACUAAGACAAAACCUUGUCAUGGACCGAUGAAAAUUACUAUGAAGUAAAUUGCGAAGUGAAAAUUUAGACAACUUACUUUUACCGAAAAGGGAUGACAAUCACAAAGACACACGCAUGAAGUGUGAGGCUCAAUUUCUAUCUAGGCGGCUUAACAGAGUAGAGCUAAGAGGAUGAUCUGACCGUUGCAGUCUCCAUUAACGUGUCAAGUCCUCCUAACUCCGGCUCAGUUGAAUGGAAUGUCCAAUAAUCACACAGUCUCACGGAUAUGGACAAACACAUCCGACACUAUGAAAAAAUUUAGGGGAAGAGAAGGUCAACCUCUACAUAGCAAUCUCGUUUUAGAGGAAGUAUCAUUCUCAACACCAUCCUAAGAAUCCUGUCGCAGCCCAGGUUUGGCAGCAGGUUGUGUGUGCAAUAGUAUAGUGCUAAAAGCAAUAAAGCAUGCACAACAGUUUAAAUGCAAACAAUACUUCUAACCAAGGAAAAAUAAAUCAUUCAUCCCAACACCUCCCUGCAAGACAAGAAUUAGUAAAGACUACUCCCGUUAUACCUUCCAUCUGCGAGAACAUUUAACACCUUAAAAAUGUUAGGGACGUACCUGGUGUCCUCGCUACCAAAUAAAAGCAAUUUUAAAAAGAAAAGAAAAAUUGGACUAAGUCCACUGAGUGUUUUAACACAAGUCCCCAAUGGAGUCGCCAAGCUAUUGCAACAAAAAAUUCAAGUGCACCACCUAGGGUUUAAGCUAAUGGACUACUAAGUCUUAAACUUAGCUCGGGCUCUCCCAUGCCCAUACCAAUUCGCGACUUAGGUUCAAGUUUUUAACAUGCAAAUGGAUUUUAUCUAGAGUCGCCACUAUCAAUUUAUGGUAGGUCGAUUAGACACUUAAGUAAAUUAAUGGGAUAAUUAUAUUACUCCUACGAACCAAAGAUUUUGGGUACGGGGACUUGAUUACACUAGAUUUCUCUAAUGCCAUUUCGGUACCAUUCUUUUUAUUUUCAAAAAAUGUUUUUACAGGCAGCUUAGAUUUGUUGUAACCUAAAUCACUAUCAUGUAAUGGGGUAAUCACACGGAUGCUCAACCAUUAUUAAAUAUUGAAUAAAAUAAGUUGUACCAAAGGAAUCAACACACUAAAGCAAACAUUUUUUUGGGGUUUUCUUGAAACUAGAACUUUAUCAUAAAACAUGUAUUUAAACUAUAUGACCAAAUUUUACUAAUGAGCUAUUUCUAAACAAUCAAGAUAUUCAACAAAUAAAUUAUUAAAAUAAUCGAAAAAAUAACCUGUAGUCUCGCAGGUCAAAUUAACGAUUACUCUAACCCUAAACAUCACGAUAAAAAGUUCAAAAUAAUAAAAAUCUGAUCCAACAUCAAUGAGAAAACAGGUCACGGGUGGAGGCAUGGGACGGCGGAGCUACAGAUGUUGGCUAGGCAUCACUCGGACAAAAGGCAGUGCGACCGGGGGUUGUUGGGCGUCAGAGGGCAGCACGGGGACCUACAAAGGGAACAUAGAACAGAAGCAGCGGUGAAGGAAUUGGGUGCGGGCUGCUUGGAGGCACUCGCACUGCGACCAACAAUGACGAACGACAAAGGAGGCGUCGACAGCUGACGACUAGAGAAGAGUGGCGCUCGGGCAAUAGGAGAAGAGGGCUUCGAGCGCUGGUGCAAUGGCGAGUGACACUCAAGCGACAGUGUCAGUGGCCAGCUGCGGGCGUCAAGCUCCAAGCCUGGUAGUAGUGGUGGUGCGGUGCAAAGGUGCUGCAAGGUCGACGAGCGGACACGCAAGCAGAGGGAAGCAUAGCGACGGAAAGUUGUGCGGUAGCGGGCGAGCGUCGAAUGGAGCAGGGACAUUGGUGCGGCAUCAGACGGAGGCAAAGGCGCGGUCAUUAGAGCUCUAGCAUUCGACGCUGCUAGUUCGGGCACAGAGACGCGGAGAUCGCUGGGUUGGGGGUGGAGGUCACUGGCAAGAGGACUUGAAACUGCGAUGACUGGCGGCCCGGCAAUUGGCUCGAAUCUACUAGCAUUGGGCACGGGGAAGCGACGACAGGAGCUGUGAUGAGCGCGCAAAGGCGCAGCCGCGAGCGCAAAUGUCAGGGGUGGUGGUGCGGAGGCACGACGAUCAAUGUCAACGAAUGGGUGAGCUGAUGUGGCGUUGGUGAUCGUGGGUCGCAGACAAAGGUGAGGCUAAGGCGUUGUUGGUGCGAUGGCCGACACGAGAGGUGAAGACGCCCGCGCGAGGAAGAUGAACUAUUUGCUGUUUUUUCUCUUUUUCUCACCUGUCGCAUGUCCCUCUCUGUCUCUUCUCUUUGAUGCUCACUUUUCCCUUUUCUUGUCAAAGAAAGAAAAGAGAAAUAAUUUUCUCUUUGACCCAGACGGAAGAAGGCUUUUUCUUGCAUGAAUUUCCUCUUGAAAAAAUUUUUGGUUCAGAAUUCACUCCCUCGAUCACGAAAAACAUGGCUCUCUUUUAUAGUGAUUCCAAAUGGCCGCUUUCCAUGGCAACUUUCGAGUUUCCAUCUUCCGUUGCAUUAAUUCAUGGCUACAAUCGGAGUGUUAUUUCACAAUCAGCUCAAUCUUGCUUCGAUUCCUUCCAUUUUAUAGAAAUUAUUGCUCUUUACUCACCCGGUUUCCUGAUUGCUUCUGCAUUUAUCAAAAUCUGAAUAUUCAUCAGAAUUUUCAACUUCUAUGCAUAAUCAAUCAGAUUGAUUUUUUUUAUUUGCUCUGAUGCAAUUUUUAUUUUUUUAUUUUUUAUUAUAUUUUUUGAGGGGUUAAAAUUAAUCCCUAAUUUUUAUGCAAUAAAUCAAUAAUUGGAUCAUCAAAAUUUAGGUGUCAACAAACAUGUAUCUUGGUAAAGAUCUGUGAUCAUCCAAGUCACUAGCGUGAUCCGAAUCCACAAAACCAAUGGUCUUACUACCACUGUUGUCCCUCUGGUACAUUAUACCCAUGUCAGUCGUUCCCUUCAAAUAUCUAGGGAUUUACUUCACAGCUUCCCAAUGAGCUUUACCAGGACACUUCAUAUAGCAACUAAUCACGCUUAUAGCUUGUGAGGCCUAAUGCAUAUCAUAACAUACAUAAUACUACCCACGGCACUAGAAUAAGGAACAUGGGACAUAUGCUCCUCCUCCUCCUUAGUCUACGGUGAUAAUUUAUCUAAAAUUUUAAAAUGCUUCACUAAAGGUGUACUUAAAGAUUUUGCCGACUACAUAUUAAAACGUGCCACGAUCUUUUCAAUAUAUUUAUUUUGAGAUAGACCAAAAACUCCUCCAACCCUGUCACGCAAAAUCUCCAUACCAAAUAUUUUCUUUGCAGCACCUAAAUCUUUCAUCUCAAAUUGAGCGUUUAACCGCCUCUUCAGCACAUCAAUAUUAGACAUAUUCUUAACUGCUAUCAGCAUAUCAUCAACAUAUAAGAGUAGAUAAAUCAAAUAACCAUUCUCCAAUCUCCUAAAGUAGACACAGCUAUCCAUCUAACUUUUUUAAUAGUCUUGACUAGCUAUGAAAGUAUUAAAACACUUAUACCACUGCCUAGGAGACUGUUUUAGCCCAUACAAAGAUUUCUUCAACAAGCAAACAUGAUCUUCUUUACCCAGAAUAACAAAUCCCUCUGGCUACCUCAUAUAAAUUUGCUCCUCCAACUUACCGCGAAGAAAUACAGUUUUCACAUCUAACUGCUCUAACUCGAGAUCCUGCGAAGCAACUAAGGCAAGUAAAAAACGAAUAGAAACAUGUCUUACCAUAGGAGAGAACAUCUCAUUGUAGUUAAUGUCCUCACGCUGUGUAUACCCCUUCACCACAAGUCUCACCUUAUACCUCGCUAUCUCAACACUAAGAAUGCCCUCUUUCCGUUUAAAAACCCAUUUACUUCUGACAAUCUUUUGGCUCUUGGGUACUUUGACAAGCUCUCAUGUCUGAUUUCGAUAGAGUGAUUCCAUCUCUUCACUCAUAGCCCUUAGCCAAUGACUCAGAAUUAGCCAUCGCCUCAAAGUAAGACAAAGGCUUAUCUGUCUCCACCUCGUCACCUACAAUCAAUACAUAAGCAAUAUAUGUAUAACCAUAACGUACCGGUGAAUUAAUUUGCUUUCUCUAUCUAUCUGCGGCUAUAGUGUGCUGCGAUUGUGCUGAUUGUCCACUAUCACAAACUUCAGGAACUGCAGCCUCAUUUGCAGUCUCAACUACUGUUACCUUCGAGGUCUCCGGAGUCUCCACCUGAAGCUCCACCUCACUAAUGACACCGUGAUAUGUUUGCUCUACUGGUUGUGUCUCAAAACUCCUCUGUUGAAGCAUUGCAAUCUUGUUAAAGAUCACAUCUCUGUUGAUUAGAAAAUCGAGUGAUCUGGGAUCAGUGCACCAUAGUCAGUAGCCUUUCUCAAGACAUACACAAGACAUAUGAAUAUACGUAAUCUGGAGUAAUUAAUAGGUUUCCUCGACCAUACUUCCUCAGGAGUCUUCCACUCGAUAGCAAAUGAUGAAGAUCGAUUACCCAAGUAACAUGCCAUGUUCACUACUUCUGCCCAAAAUUCCUUACCAAGUCCUGCAUGUGAAAGUAUGCAUCGAGCUCGCUCAAGUAGAGUUUUAUUCUUCCGUUCUGCCAUGCCAUUCUACUGUGGUAUCCCAGGUACUAUGCGGUGUCUCACAAUAUCUUCUUUCUCACAAAACCCUGUAAAAUCUUUACCACAAAACUCCAUGCCAUUAUCGAUUCUUAGGCACUUGUUUGUUUAUUUGAUUGCUUCUCAAUCAAUGCCUUAAAUUUCUUGAACCGAUCAAACACAUCAUAUUUGUGCUUCAAAAAGUAUACACAUACCUUCCUCGAAUAGUUGUCAAUAAAUUUUAGCAUAUAUCGUGCAACUCCUUUCGAAGGAACCGAAGACGGGCCCUAGACAUCUAAAUGAAUAUAUUCAACCGGUCGUUUGAUCAAAUGAAUAGCUACAAUAAACUUAACUCGGUGCUGCUUCCCAAAGAUGCAAUGCUCACAUAAGUCCAACUUCCCUGUCUUCUUACCCUUCAACUAAUCCCUUUCACUCAACUUCGUCAUACUUGCCUCACUCAUAUGCCCUAAACACAUAUGUCAUAACUGAGUCAAGUUAGAGUUUGACUUAUCUGAUGAAACUGCAACAAUUCCGAUCACGAUCUCUCCUAAUAGAUGAUAGAGAGUAUUCGUUGUCUUCCUCUUCAUCACUGUCAUGGCACCUCAAGAGAUCUUCAAUACUUCACCUUCAGCGAUGUACUUACACCCGAUGUCAUUGAGCGUCUCUAUAGAAAUAAGGUUCUUUUUUAGCUCUGGUACAUGCCUCAAAUUUGUUAAUGUGCGCACCACCCCCAUCGUGCAUCCGAAUCCGAAUUAUCCCUAUCCCCACAGCCUUACAAACUGCGUUAUUCCCCAAAAGAACUCUACCACCAUUUGUAGUCUGGUUAGUAGUAAACAAUUUCUUAUGAUGCGUCAUAUGAUAAAAACACCCCGAAUAUAGCACUCAUUCGUCUCUUGACGAAGUAGUAGUCACACAUAAAACAGCUUCUGCAUCAUUAGUGCUUCCUUCGGCAACGUUUGCCACACUGCUUAUGGCAUUCUGCCUAUCACUUUUAUUCAUCCGCUUUGGACAAUCUCUCAUGAUGUCCCCUCCUCGUAACAUUCAAAGCCCUUAGACUUUAUAUGGCAUGAUUUCGAUAUGUUUUUCCCUCUACUGCUACUAGGCCCUCGAUGUUGUUCUCUACCCUGAAUCGUCAGUGCUUGCACUACUCCUUGCGCUAGAUCGUCAUCUCGCAACUUUCUUUGCCACUUCUUAGAAAAUAAGGAGAACUUUACCUCUUCUGAGGUAAUUGUAAUACGCCCCUGCAACAAUGAAUCGGUAAAGUGCUCCCAUGACUUUGAUAAAGAGACUAACAAUAUCAUGCCAUGUUCUUUAUCAUCAAGUAUCUUACCAACGUUCUUCAAAUCUAUCAUGAGUUUAUUAAAUUCAUCCAGGUGGGUUUUGAUAGAUGUAUCUUCAGUAUAUCUAAAUUGAAACAUCAUCUCCAACAUGUACAAACGAUUGUUCAAACCUUUCUUCACAUAGAGUGCUUAAAGUUUUGCCCAUAAUGCUACGGCAUCCUUCUCCUCAACAACCUCUAUUAAAACCUCAUUCGACAAAUUUAACAGGAUUGUGUUCUUUACUAUUUCCAUUAACUCUACCCUCUCAGAGGCUUUCAUUAUAAUUGACAACUCAUCUUCACCAUCCAAUGCCUUGGCCAAACCUUAGAUUGUCAAUAAUGUCCACAUCUUGAUGCUCCAUAACCCAAAGUUGUUCCUCCCAUUAAACUUCUCAAUUUCAGAUUUUCUCUCAAACAUAAUUGCAAUAACAUAAUUUCCAGAUAAUAAUCAGACAAGCAAAAGCUCGAAAUCACAAUCUAGAAAUCUAAUCUCGAGCUCUGAUAUUAAUUGUUGGAACAUAAAUUGCAAGAUCCUAUCAUGUCCACAUAUUAUUUUCCAACACAUGAAACACUAUAAGGCUCUCAAAUUGCAAUCGUCAUGGUUCUCUUUUUCUUGCAUUUGUCAUUUCCAGUGAGCUCGAUCGACUGGAGUUACAGCUCCGGAGAGAGAAGCUCAUGAUAUAUGCCUCAUUCUUUCUCCAAAUAAACAAGAAUAGUACCAAAGAUUUUCCAAUUUAAUAUGUUCAUAGAGUGAUUAAUAAUAGGGCAUGCAAAUGUGGGGGAUCAUUAUUUAAAAAGUCUCAAACCUAUUGUAUGGGACUCAAUUCAAUUCUAAACUUUUAAUUUGAUCAAUUUAGUCUCAAACAUAUUGAUGAUUUGCCAAUAUAGUCAAUUUGAUCAAUGAAGUAGAUGCCAGCCUCCUUACAUGAUAUAACUGUUAAGAUAGUUGGCGCUAAUGUAGACAAAUUUUAUAAAUGUUUCUACAUUUUUUCUAUUUUUUUCCAUUUUGUCUUUUUUUUCUUUUUUCUUUUUUCUAUUUCCCUCUGUUGAUCCGGCCUAGGCGAUGGUUGACAAAGAUUGUCGGCCACAAGCGAGGGCUAGAAUGCCCUCAUCAACCCUCCCAAGCCUUUGCCGGACACAGUGAAAGUUAAAAAAAUACUAAAAAAAGUCAUAAACUUAUUGAAUUUGUACAAUAUAAUUCUAAACAUUUCAAUUAGACUCAUUUAGUCAUAAAUAUCUUCACAUUAAUACGAAUGCUAAGAAAAUUUCAAUUCGAUAAAUUUAAAACUUGAAAAAUCACCAAAUAUGUUACUCGGAGCAUAUCAAUCCUCAUUUACAAUAAUAUGGUGGUGAAUAAAUUACCAUCCUUUUAUAUUAUCAUGCACAUGUCAACAUCUAUCAAUUUACUAUUAACAAAUCGACUUUCAAGCAAUUAUGGUCUAAAAAAAAAUCAUCCUAGUACCUUCCACACCCCACAUAAUUGAUGGCCUUCAUCCAUAUAUGAAAUUCUAAGCUAAAUAAUACUUAACUUUAUAUCCUAAAUUUUAUCAACAAAGAUGGAAAAUUCCAAAUGUCACAAUCGCCCUCGCCCAGCCCUCACGAGGCCACCCUCAUUGGCCAAAAGCGAAGGAUGGCCUCAAUCGGGCAAGGGUCGGCCUCGUUAGCCAAACAUGAGGCCAAAUGCGAGGUUGACCUUUACCAAAUCUGGGCAAGGGUCACUAGGCCCUCAAUGGCCUUAAUAAUAAGAAAAAGAAUAGAAAAAAUAAAUAUAAAAAAAUAAAAAAUUGUAAAAAUUGUCUAAGUUUGAGCCGGUGAUGCUACAAAGGAUAGUCGAUAUCUACUUCAAUGAUUUCUAGUUAAAAGUAACUGAUAAAUGAUAAAUUAUAAAAAAAUUUAGGAUUAAAUUGACCAAAUUAUGAGAUUUAGGACUAAACUAGUACAAGUGCAAUAAGCUAAUAAUUUUUUUGUCUUUCGAAAUUAUUUGAUACUACGUCUUGUGAGGCUUAGCCGGACCUUACUUGUUUCACCUAAAAAGGUAGGUUUUUCCUCUUGUUUAACUCUGUGCUCAUGAAAUGUGGUGUUAGGAAUUUUUGGGGUCUAUCUUAGCCUGCACAUGUCAUUUUCCUUCACCUAAUAAAUUGAAUUGUCCUUUUUUUUUUUUUUUUUUUUUUUUCAGUUAUGGAGAAGCCUAUUUAAAAUCUAGCACAACGCUCAAUUUAUCUCAUGAAUAUGGUAAGAUGCCAUCAAGAUCCAAAUCAACGAUCCAAACGCGACAUUAUUUGUAUUUGAUAACAUGGAAUAUUUGAUGACGUGGACUACGAAGACUUUAGAAAAAGAGCAUUUAAAUCUAAUUCGAUAUGAAAUAAAGUGGGUGUCGCGACCUCCUUUUUGGCACCUUAGCACGCAGGCGCCAACAGAGGCUAAUGGCUCAUUAAGAUUAUUAGGCUUAGCCCGAGCUCUGUCAAACUCACCAAUUCACGACUUAUGGUCCAAGUUUUUAACUUGUAAGUUAAUUUUAAAUAGGAGUCACCACUAAUCAAUUUGAGGUGGGUUGAUUAGAAACCCAGGCAAAAUACUGAGAAAAAUAUUUCACUCAUGUGCAACCAGAGAAACUAAGAUCAGGGACUUGAUUACACUAAUUAAUCAAUAAUGCCCUUCCGGUACUUAAUAUUGUUCAAACCCUAAGUUUUUUUUUUUUUACUUUCAAGGGAUUUUCCAUGCAUUUCUGGAGGAAAAACAUAUUUUUUUGUCUUUUUCUAUUUUUUGAACAUAAAAAGUAUUUUUGGAUUUUUUGAUCUAUUUUGAAAAUAUAAACUAUUUUUUUUUACUUCUUUCUGAUUUUUUGGGAAAACAUAGUAUAUUUUGAUUUUUUUUAUUUAUGAAAAAUUAAUUAUUUUAUUUUUAUUUUUAUCAUCUUUAUUAUUAAAAUAUUAUUAUUUUUAUUAUAAUAAUGUAAUAUUAUUUAUAUAAAAAAACUACCCUGGUCGGAUCCUUGGGUUGGGACCGACUUGGAUCGCCAACGGCUGGCCCGGAUGGUUCUAAAACAUGGGCCCAGCCCAAAACUCACGUAUAAUUCCAAAAAAAAAAUGCCCAGCCCAAGCUUGAACUAAACUAGACUCAGCCCAAGUGCAUUCGGCCCGAAUUGUCCAAAACACUACCCGACUCAAACCCAUGCGCCUGACCUAGCUAACAACCCAAUUCUGACCAAACCCUACCCAAACAACGACCCACGCCCAACCCAGUUGGCGACCGAGCAUCCCGUUUACAGACUCGACUCCCUCAUGCCCUUGUUCUCGACGAUCUGUGGCGGAGGUGGCCGAGCUUGUCUCAGUCUGAGCUCUAGCCUCCGCCGGCACCACCUCAGCCAGCCCUAAACCAACAAGUCAGCCUCCGCCUGGCCAGCCACCAUUGCUAACCACAUCGCCCAUCACUGCCACGGGAACCGAGCUCGAGGGUCUAAGCAUGGACUUUCUCGAAAAUUUCUCCGAACACCUAGGGUACGCCGACAAGGAGGAGAGAAGGAUGUUGGAGAAAUCUUCAUAAAGUGUUUUGAAGUUGACAAAACGUUUCCAUCAGUCUAGUCUAAAGGUCUGCAGACUCUGUUAGUUAAAGUCUGAAGACUUUCGGACAGCCAGACUCAAGACUCAAAGUCUAUCCUCAUUGACAGUCUCUAAUCCGUUGAAGAAAGGUUAUCCAGAACUGGAUGUUUUGUUCAGGAUUUAACCUUAUCAUCUGGAGAAGAUCUCGUGGUUGGAGAAGACGUAUCAGAAUCCUUUGAUUGAUCAAGAUUGAUUCAAUGACUGAAGAUUCGAUGAUUGUCUAAAUAUUAUUGGAAGGUUCUACUUAUGGAAACCGAGAUCCUGCUUGUAUGGGCGAACCGGAUUGAUGGGCUAUCAACUCGUUCCUUUAAUAGCUCGAACAAUCUUCCUAAUUGAUUCUGUCCAACGGGUAGAUUGGAGGAAUUCCUUUGGUAAGUGCCAACGGGUAUGAUGGCAUAAAGGAGUAUAUAAGGAAGACGUUCUUAGUUGUUCGAGGAGUGCGCGAUAGAAGAAUUCCAAAGUCUGAAGCUCCUAUUUGUUUAGAUAAAUCCUUUGAGCGAAUACUUGUAUACAAAAGAGAGUCUAUAUUUGUGAGAGACCUUGAGGAGGUGUGGUAAAACAUCUACACUGUGGAAUCAAGGCAAAGCUGUGCUGUAACUUCUCUUUUGAUCAUAGUGAAAUCCAGCCGGUGGGCUGUCAGUGCGGAAGAGUGGACGUAGGCUUGGAAUAAGCCGAACCACUAUAAAUCCUGUGUUCAAUUUUCUCUUCCUCACUCUCUCUACCUCAAUCGUAUUUCAUUUUGUUAAUUAAGAGAGAAUUUACUUUCUAUCAUAUGUUAAGAAUCGCUUCCGUAUAUCGAUAAAUUGUUUAGGCACCUAUUCACCCCCCUCUAGGUACUCAUACUAGCAAUAUCAAUUGGUAUCAGGGCCUGUGUACUUACUUUAUUUGAAGUGUUUUACUUCAUAGUAAAAGAUCCAUGGCUAGUAUGCUAGCACCAGGGCUGAUGGAAGGGCAAAGCAAUACCAGACCACCCUACUUUGAUGGAAAUGAUUACAACAUCUGGAAGAACAAGAUGAAAGCUUUCUUACGAUCAAAGGAUCCUCUGGAAUGGGACGUUGUAGAAAAAGGAAUUACUCCUACCACUGCAUCAGUCUCUGAAAGAGGAGAAGAAACUGAAGAAACCAGCGGAAUGUCUCAGGAAGAUAUAAUCAAGAGACAGACACUCGAUGCAAAAGCAAUUUACUCCUUAUAUUGUGCUUUAUCACCAACUGAAUAUAAUAGAAUAUCUUCUUGUGGUACAGCAAAAGAAGUUUGGGACAGAUUGCAUAUCACCUAUGAAGGAACAGAUCGAGUGAAGGAAACAAGAAUCAACAUUCUUCUCGGUCAAUACGAAGCCUUCAGAAUGAAACCAGGAGAAUCAAUAUCUGACAUGUUUAGUCGUUUUACAGAUAUUGUGAAUGGUCUUGAAAAUCAAGGUCAACCAACUUCUGAUCCCAUGAAGGUAAACAAGCUACUGCGUGGACUCUCUGGGGAUUGGAAUCACAUAAAGACUUCGAUAAGAGAGACGCAGAGAAUCAUGCCACUAUCUGUCGACGAGCUGAUUGGAACUCUUCAGUCCUAUGAAGUGGAAAGGAUCAAUGAAGAUGAAGAUCCAAAAGGUAAGAAAUCCAUUGCAUUAAAAUCAAAUGAUGAUUCUGAUGAUACAGAUUCUGAAGAUGAUAUGGACGAUGAGGAGCUUGCUCUCAUGAUAAGAAGAUUCAGAAAACUAAAUAGAAAAGGAAGAAGGUUCAACUCAAAGAAACAAAGCUUUCAAAGACAGCAGACCAAGUCUGUUGAUGAUGAGGAACCAAAUAAAGAUGUAGUCUGCUUUGAAUGCAAGAAAAAGGAACACAUUAGACCCAACUGUCCUCUUCUGAAAAGAAGAGAGGAAAAGCUGAAAAAUUUCGAAAAGCUCUCAAAGCCGAAACCUGGAGUGAUACUGAGUGUGAAGAAAGUGAUAAUGAAUAUGCCAAUCUAUGUCUGAUGGCACAAUCAGACUCAGACUCAGGAUCAGACUCAGGAUCAGACUCAGACAGUGAAUUUGAGGCAAGUGAUUUUAAAAUUCCUGUCAAAGUUUCUAAAUAUAUUGAUGAACUAUGCUUUAGUCUUAAGACUUCUCUCAAAAGAAUUUCCGAACUGAAAAAAGAAAACUCAGCUCUAAAACAAAAGGAAAAUGUUUUAGCAGAAAGAGUUAAAAGUCUAGACUUGUCUGUUUCCAAUCUUAAAGAAAAAGAAGAUAAUCUUUUAAAAGAAAAUGCUUUUUUAAAAACAGACUUAUCAAAUAUAUCAAAGAAAUUUUCUAUAGGGUCUGAAAAACUUGAGAAAAUUCUUUCAGCACAAAGACCUUACUUCAAUAAGUCUGGUCUAGGUAUGACAGAAGAAACAAUUCCCUUGAUUGAUUUUCCUAAAGUAAAAGAAAGAAUUAAGAAAAGACUCUCGAGUGAGGUUUACAAAAAUCACUUCAAGAAAGUUUUUGUAAAACCCGUUGGUAGAAAUGCUCUCAGAUGUUCUAAGUGCAACAGUCCGGAUCACUUUGAAAAAGAGUGUCCUAUGGUAUGGAAACCUGUUAAGAAAGUACGGGCUAAUACUGUUUAUCUUACUAACACCAAAGGACCCAAGAAAAUCUGGGUACCAAAGAAAGCUUGAGACUUUAUUUUAAAUGCAGGUCUCCGUCAAGAAACAGGUAAAGUGGUAUCUUGACAGCGGAUGCUCAAGACACAUGACAGGAGACUCAAAUUGCUUUAUAAAGAUUGCUCAAGUAAAUGGUGGAAAAGUUUCAUUUGGAGGAAACAGCAAAGGAAAUAUUGUGGGAUUUGGAACCGUGAAAAUUGGAACUCUCACAAUAAGUAAUGUUUCCUUAGUGGAAGGACUCAAUUACAAUCUUCUCAGCAUUAGUCAACUGUGUGAUACUGGUUUCAAGAUCUUCUUUCAAGAAGGAACAUGUUCUGGAAUCAGUAAAGACUCUACUCAGUCUUUCAUGGGUCGAAGACAUGGAAAUAUCUAUCUUCUGGAUAUGAAACCAAAUGAAUCACAGUGCCUUAUCUCAAUUCAAGAUGAAGCAAGCUUAUGGCACAAAAAGCUUGGUCAUGUCAACAUGAAGAAAUUAGCCAAAAUCUCUUCAAAACAGCUUGUUCGAGGACUACCCAGAUUGCCAUACCAAAAGACUGAUUCAUGCACUCCAUGUAUUCUGGGAAAGCAGGUAAGAAAUUCUUUUAAGCCAAUUAAUUAUGUCUCUACUAAUCAUGUACUACAGUUGCUGCAUAUGGAUCUCUUCGGACCAACCAGAACUCAAAGUAUUGGGGGUAAGAAGUAUUGCCUAGUAAUUGUUGAUGAUUACUCCCGUUUUACUCGGGUAUAUUUUCUUGCAAGUAAGUCCAAAACCUUUUCGUAUUUUGAAAAAUUUGCUAAAAUGGUUCAAAAUGAAAAAGGAUGUGUUAUCUCUAGUAUAAGAACAGAUCAUGGAGGUGAAUUUGAAAAUCAAGAUUUUACAAAAUUCUGUGAUGAAUCUGGCUGUAAGCAUGUGUUUUCCUCUCCAUAUACUCCUCAGCAAAAUGGAGUUGUGGAAAGAAAGAACAGAUCUCUUCAAGAAAUGGCUAGAACUCUUUUAAUUGAAAGUAAAAUUUCUUCUCGAUUUUGGGCUGAAGCCGUUUCAACAGCAUGCUAUAUCAUCAAUAGAGUCUUCUUAAGAUCUAUUCUUCAGAAAACCCCUUAUGAGUUAUUCAAAGAAAAGAAGCCUAUUGUUUCAUACUUUCAUGUAUUUGGUUGCAAAUGUUUUAUACUGAAAAAUGCAAAAGAUCGAGUUGGUAAGUUUGAAGAAAGAUCAGAUGAAGGUAUCUUCCUUGGAUAUUCUACAUCAAGCAAAGCCUUCAGAGUCUAUAACAAGAAGAGCCAGUCUGUGGAGGAGUCAAUGAAUGUCAAAUUUCAAGACUCAACACAAGAUGAAUCAAGUCAGACUCAUCAAGAAGAGUCUGAACCUGCUCCAGAUCUUCCAAAGCUUACAACUCAAGAAGCAUCUCAGACUCUGGAAAACCAGAAUAAGGAUGUUCGUGAAGAUUCAAUCAAAGAGAGAGAUCAUCAAUCAGACAAAUCAACAAGUAACUGGAAGCAUAAGUCCAGUCAUCCCAAAGAUCUUAUAAUCGGCGAAAUGAAUGAAGGAAUUCGCACCAGAUCCAAAAGGCGAGAAGAGUCUAGUGCUGUGGCACUCGUUUCUGAAAUUGAACUAAAGAGCAUAGAAGAAGCUUUAUCUGAUGAAAGCUGGAUUGAAGCUAUGCAAGAAGAGCUCAGACAGUUCAGCAUAAAUGAUGUCUGGGAAUUGACAUCCAAACCAAAAGGUAAAACUGUUAUUGGAGCUAAAUGGGUUUUCAGAAACAAGAUGAACGAGAAAGGAAAAUUCGUACGAAAUAAAGCAAGACUCGUGGCCAAGGGAUAUACGCAAGAAGAAGGAAUAGACUAUGAUGAGACUUACUCUCCAGUGGCAAGGUUAGAAGCUAUUCGACUAUUACUUGCGUUUGCUUGUUAUAAGAAUUUCAGGUUAUUCCAAAUGGACGUCAAAAGCGCCUUCCUAAAUGGAUUUAUCCAUGAGGAAGUUUAUGUGGAACAACCACCAGGGUUUGAAGACCCAAAGAAGCCAGACUCAGUCUUCAGACUGAAAAAGGCUUUGUAUGGUUUAAAGCAAGCACAUCGGGCUUGGUACGACAUAUUAAGUAAGUUCCUAAUACAAAGUGGUUUUGUCAAAGGUAAAGUAGAUACGACUUUAUUCAUCAAGAAGGAAAACAAAAGUUUCUUACUUGUUCAAAUAUAUGUGGAUGAUAUUAUUUUUGGAUCCUCUAAUGAAAGUCUUUGCAAGAAAUUUUCAAAGUCUAUGCAGGAUGAGUUUGAAAUGAGUAUGAUGGGAGAGUUAACAUUCUUUCUUGGUCUUCAAGUAAAACAAUUGAAGGAAGGAACUUUUAUUUAUCAAGAAAAAUAUGUUAAUGAUCUUGUCAAAAGGUUUGGACUGGAAAAGUGCAAAAAGGUCGACAUACCAAUGUCAAGUUCUUUAAAGAUAGACAAAGAUGAAGAAGGGAAGAAAGUUGAUCAAAAGCUGUACAGGAGCAUUAUUGGAUCACUUCUUUAUCUUACUGCCUCUAGACCUGAUAUUCUGUUGAGUGUUUGCAUCUGUGUUAGGUUUCAAUCAAAUCCUAGAGAAUCUCAUCUCAGUGCUGCGAAACGCAUCAUUAAAUACGUGGCUUCAUCAUCAAGCAUCGGUCUUUGGUAUCCUAAGAAGGGAGACUUUAAUCUUCUGGGAUAUUUAGACGCAGAUCUGGCCGGUUGCAGAGUUGAUAGAAAGAGCACUUCAGGAACUUGCCAGUUGCUUGGAAGCAGGACAGUGUCUUGGUUUUCAAGGAAACAAAGCACUGUGUCUCUUUCAACAACAGAAGCAGAGUAUGUAGCUCUUGGAAGCUGCUGUUCGCAAAUUCUAUGGAUAAAACAACAGCUAAGAGAUUUUGAAAUUGAAGACUCAUGCACGGAAAUUAAUUGCGACAACACCAGCGCUAUCAACCUCACCAAAAAUCCAAUUCUCCACUCAAGAGCAAAGCAUAUAGAGAUUCGACAUCACUUUAUUAGAGAUCAUGUUCAAAAUGGAGAUGUUUCAAUUCAAUUUGUUGACUUAAAGAAUCAACUGGCUGAUAUACUCACAAAGCCUUUGGAGAAAAAUCAAUUUGAGUCUAUACGAUCCAGACUCAACAUUUUGAGAUAUGAGGAUAUCAAAGUCUAAAGACUUUCAGACUCAGGCUUACAAGACUUUAUCUACAGUCUUGGCUUGACCUUCAGACUGUAAGUCUUUCUCUCUCCAAUCUUAUCUUGAAAAGGUACGAUCAUCAGACUGUGUUUAAAUUGUUGCUAUAUUUAAUUAACGUAAAUAUUGCAUCGAUUCAUUUUCAAAAGGGAAGUUAUUUUUGAAAUAGCUAUUUUUGCGGAUAAAGACAGUUAUUUUGAAAAGGCAUAUUUUUAUUUCCUUUGUGACGGUUCGUUUACUCUUCUUUUUAACCGAACGAGCACUGUCGAUUUCUCUUCACUUUUCUAUUCACUUUUCUCUCAAAAACCCUAGAAAGCAUCGAUCCUCCACUCCCGUUUGUCUUCUUCGCUCAAUCUUCAAAAAGUUGUCAUCUUUUCUGGGAAAGUCAAGCAAGGAAUCUUCCAAACACUGAGAAAGAUGUCAUCUUCGCGAAAGUCCUCAAGAAUCGCAAGCAGGGGACCACAGAGAAUGAGUGAGGGGCCUACGCACUUCGAUCUUACUGAAGAUGAAGUUACUCCAGAUCAGCAACUGAGCCCACAACAUUCUCAGCAGCGUCAGUCUCCUCCAUCUAGUCCUCAAGGCGGUGUUCAUCAGCAUCAAGAAGAAAUCAUCGAGGAUGCAGACCCCGUAAGAGUUCAAAAGCCCGCUUUUAUUUACAAGCUAUAUCGUGCCUUAAAAGGAAUUCGUACUCCUUUGAACUAUGUUGAUGAGUUUCUUAGAGACAAAGGAUAUAGGAACGAAUAUAUCUUUCUGCGAAAAAUGGAAAGUUUGGGAAUCGCUCGUAAAGGGGUGGCUGAGGAAACCCUUGCGAAUAUCCCAAGUGAUCCUCGUGACUGGGGACCAAAUCCUGUAGAUGGGAAUGACGAUGACAAUCUGUUCAGUCUAUUUCAACCGAAAAUGGGUAUUGCGGCUGAAAUUCAAGGAAAAAGGGGAGAUUUGUUCAGAUCAAAGGAACAAAAGGAUCUGUACUCGAAAUUGCUGAAGCGUGGGGUAAUAAACCCUAGGAGUGUGGACUUUGAUUUUCUGGAUGCUGUGAAAGUGAACUUAAGGGAAAAGUUCAGUUAUCUUCAACUUGAAAAGUUUUGCUCUGACUCAACUGAGGCUUAUGCUGAAUUGACUGCAUAUUUCUAUUCAAAUCUUAGCUUUUUGGAUGCGAAUAGAUUCUCCUUCAGCGUUAAAGAACAAGACUAUGUUGUGGAUAUGAAUAUGCUGGCAGAUGUGUUAGAAGUUGAGAGAGGCAGAUAUCAACCAAUCCAAGUUUCCAUUGCUCGGGCCACACUUGAACUGGUGAAGGACAGGAGAACAGAUGAGAAGAUCACCUACUCACGGAUGAAUGCAUUCAACAUCUUGCUUCACAAGAUUGUGAUCAAUUGCCUUCGGCCAAAAUCAACUUCCAAAACUGAUGUUUCAAGCUCUGAGGCAAAGUUGAUGUAUGCCAUCCUCUGUGGAAAGCAGUUCUCUCUCCCUCAUACUGUUAUGUUUCACAUGUAUAGAGCAGUGAUGAAGGACAGAGGUCAACUCCCUUACCCAAGCCUUGUUACGAAGUUAUUCAGACAUCUGAAUAUUCAGCCUCCGCAAAUCUUCUGUGUUCGAUCAUGCGAUCAUAUGGUGGUAGGACUGAAAAUGGUGACCAAAAUGCGUCUGAAGGAACUGAGCAAGGAAUUGGAGAAAUUCAAGGAGAAGACUCCUGCCAAAUCUCAUCAACUCUCUUCUGCUGCUAAGAGAAAAGGGAAGGAGCCCAUGGCUGCUCCAUCAAAGAGAAGAAGAGCUCUCCUCGUUGAGGAUGAAGAUGAUGACGAAGACAUCACCAUCUCUGCAAGGGCUUUGAAGAAUUUAAGUCGUCCUGUUCCACAGAAAGAAUUGGAACAAAAGACGAAAGAAGCAGAGGAGAAGGAAGCAGAAGAAAGAGAAGCAGAGGAGAAGGAAGAAGAAGAAAGAGAAGCAGAGCAAGAAGCAGAGAAAGAAAGACCUGAAGAAGAAAGAAGAGAAGAAGGAGAACCUGAGGAAAUCUCUUCUCCACCUGUAGGCAUGGAAAUAGGGGGAGAUCAGGAGAAAGGAGUGACGUCUUCAUAUCCUGAUGCAAGUGAAGGAGUCAGUCGCUCGCCUGCAGACCCAGAAGAUGUUUAUGCAUAUCAAUUUCCAGAGGAAGGUCAUGAAGCUUCAUCGCCAAACCUGCGAGACUAUGCUGAUCUACCAUCUUCUGCAGAUCGAGCCGAAGCAAGUACUCAGACUGAUAAUGGAGCAGAUUUUCGCAGAAUCAUGGAUAUUCUCUUGGAGAUGAAAGGUCAGAUUUAUGCCUUGGGAUGCGAAGUUCAAAAUUUGAAGAAUGAAAGUCAAGCUUCUUCCUGUUCAUUGAAUGAAAAGAUGCAAGCCCUCUCUAUUCAGAAUCAGGCCAAUGCCAAGAGUGAGGAGGUUGUACAGCUGAAGGAAGACUUUAAAAGACUGGAAGGCAUUGUUCAGUCUAUGGAAGAUUUCCAGCUUGUCCGCAUUCCCAAAACUUCAUCUCAUCCUUUUUAAAUGAUGACAAAAAGGGGGAGAGAUGCAUGAUUUGAUCAAAAACUUUAUCAUUUUUAACUGUUUGUUGGAUUGUGUUGUUGUUUAACUGUUUUUGACAGACUUUGACUUUGUUUUGUGUCUGGAUGAGAACUGAACAAGACUUGGACUUGACUGCUUCUAUUAACAAGUAUUGAUAUCUUAUGGAUGGUUUUAUUAUAUUCUAGACUAACCUAUUUUCUGUGGUUGCAGAUUCUAGUAUUAAUCUUUUAGCCAUUCAUCUCUAUAAGAUAUGCAUAUGUGUUUGAGAAAUGUUUUGCAGGUCAAAGUUAUCCAAAUCUGCAGGAAGGUUUUGUCACCAUCAAAAAGGGGGAGAUUGUUGGAGAAAUCUUCAUAAAGUGUUUUGAAGUUGACAAAACGUUUCCAUCAGUCUAGUCUGAAGGUCUGCAGACUCUGUUAGUUAAAGUCUGAAGACUUUCGGACAGCCAGACUCAGGACUCAAAGUCUAUCCUCAUUGACAGUCUCUAAUCCGUUGAAGAAAGGUUAUCCAGAACUGGAUGUUUUGUUCAGGAUUUAACCUUAUCAUCUGGAGAAGAUCUCGUGGUUGGAGAAGACGUAUCAGAAUCCUUUGAUUGAUCAAGAUUGAUUCAAUGACUGAAGAUUCGAUGAUUGUCUAAAUAUUAUUGGAAGGUUCUACUUAUGGAAACCGAGAUCCUGAUUGUAUGGGCGAACAGGAUUAAUGGGCUAUCAACUCGUUCCUUUAAUAGCUUGAACAAUCUUCCUAAUUGAUUCUGUCCAACGGGUAGAUUGGAGGAAUUCCUUUGGUAAGUGCCAACGGGUAUGAUGGCAUAAAGGAGUAUAUAAGGAAGACGUUCUUAGUUGUUCGAGGAGUGCGCGAUAGAAGAAUUCCAAAGUCUGAAGCUCCUAUUUGUUUAGAUAAAUCCUUUGAGCGAAUACUUGUAUACAAAAGAGAGUCUAUAUUUGUGAGAGAUCUUGAGGAGGUGUGGUAAAACAUCUACACUGUGGAAUCAAGGCAAAGCUGUGCUGUAACUUCUCUUUUGAUCAUAGUGAAAUCCAGCUGGUGGGCUGUCAGUGCGGAAGAGUGGACGUAGGCUUGGAAUAAGCCGAACCACUAUAAAUCCUGUGUUCAAUUUUCUCUUCCUCACUCUCUCUACCUCAAUCGUAUUUCAUUUUGUUAAUUAAGAGAGAAUUUACUUUCUAUCAUAUGUUAAGAAUUGCUUCCGUAUAUCGAUAAAUUGUUUAGGCACCUAUUCACCCCCUCUAGGUACUCAUACUAGCAAUAUCAAAGGACGCCCUAAUCGAGACCUGAGAUCACGACGAGUCUCACGGCGUAGACGACAGAACAACCAUGGCAUCCUACAACAAACAAUCAGAGGCGAAGAUCACACAAGGUGGAUGGUCACAAGCUUCGGCAUGGUACAUGCGAAAAGGGGCAGGGAUAGGGCCCUGCUCACCGGAUCUAUAUGCGGGCAAUGACAUUGCGAGUAGAUGGCGUCAUUGGUGGCGGAGGCAUCGAGCCAAGCAAUCGAUGUUGCACGCAGCGAAAAAGGGCUCACAUUGCCGACCCUCUUUCUCUCAGAUCUGGGACCGAACUUCUCCGCCCUUACUUGACUCUGAUCUCUUAGAUCUCUCUCAAAUCUAGAACCCCCUUGCUCAAAUCUGACCUUCUCUCUGUGGCCGACCUCCCCUCCUUUGAUUUUCGGCUUGCUGGCUCUCAAUCCUCCCCUAAUGUCUCUUGGGGUAAGUCCUUGAAGCUAGCUGCCUUUGAUCUCUCUCUGCUCGUGUCCUUAGCCUUCCAUUGGUAGCCCUAUAUAUAGGUGAAGGGGUGCCGGUCGAGGGAGCUUUGGCCAGCGGUUCUUCACACACCGACCGGCCUUGGUGCGAUCGGACUAGCAUUGCCUCAGCUGCCCACCUGCGUGCUCUGCUUUGCAUUAAAGGUGUGUCCCCAUCUGCUACGUUGUAUAUCGUCGUCUCCUCCUCCACCCGGCCUCGCACACAUCGGAACUCUUCUAUGUGUGCAUUGCAAAGACUGGGGAGGAAGAAGACAAGGGAGCAGGGGGCCGAGCCAAGAAGGAAAAGGUUGGACCCUGGGGACCCGCACGAGGAAGAACAAAAUAAAAGGGCUAGGCUUUCACACCCAGCCCCAUAAGAACCCUUUUCUUUUUUUAUUUUUUUUUAUUUUUUAUUAAUACUAUUAUUAUUGUUUUUUAAAUUUAUUUGAAAAUAAAAAAUAAAAAUAGAAUAUAAAACCUAAUGGAAACUAAGUCCUAGGUGAUGUGAGAAAAUAUUUUUGUUGGAGUCAAAUUGAUCCCUAAUUUUCUAUGCAAAUUAAUUUUAAUUAUUUAGUCAAAAUUUAGAUAUCAACAACUGCCCCUCUUUGAAUGUGAGCUCGCAGAAGUUGCUUUCAAAGACGAACCGAUACCUAAAUUUUCUUCAUGCAUAAGCAGUAGGUUAUAUCUUAUUUGGGAUCAGGUGUCAUAUGCAAAAAGGAGCAAUAUAACAUUAUACAUACUAAGACAGCUAAGAAGAUACUUGUUGUCACUUAUCGGGAACGAGUGAGAUAGGGCGUGAACCCCAAGUUUGGCAAGUAUCAGGAUACAAUCUAAUAUUGUAAGGAAGUCAUUUUUCCAAGACCUGAACCUUUUUUAAGUCUUCUUAAUAGGAAAUUGCUUUUCCAUGACCCGAACCAUUCUUCAAUCACCUAUUAGAGCAAUAAAUUGUUUGUCUAGGACAUGAACCUUUCUUCGGUCGCCUUGAUGGAGAUUUGCCUUUCUAGGACUCGAACUUUUCUUUGGUCGUCUGUUAGAGCAAUAAGUUGUUUACCCGACGUUACUCGGGGAUGCACCAACCUUUCUCGAGACAUCUGUUUGUUGGGUGCCUAAUCUUUGUCAAGGACACCAGUUGAUCACCCGACCUUUCUCGGGGGAUGCACCGACCUUUCUCAAGACAUUUGUUUGUUGGGUGCCUGAUCUUUGUCAAGGACACUAGUUGAUUACUCGACCUUUCUCGAGGUUGCACCGACCUUUUUCAGGGCAUUUGUUUGUUAGGUGCUUGAUCUUUGUCGAUGACACCGAUUGAUUACCUAACCUUUCUCGGGGAUGCAUCGACCUUUCUCAAGGCAUAUGUUUGUUGGGUGCAUGAUCUUUGUCAAGGACACCGGUUGAUUACCCGACCUUUCUCGAGGGAUGCACCGACUUUUCUCAGGGCAUAUAUCUUAGAGAAUACUUGGACAUUCACAGGCAUUGAAAUAGUACUUGGACAUUCACAAGUAUUAACCUGGAAGAUACUUGGAUAUUUGCAGGCAUCGAAGAAGUACAUGGUCAUUCACAGGCACUAAAAGAGUACUUGGAUUAUCGCAAGUACAAAUCCUGGAGGAUAUCCGUGAAGGUCUUUCACCUCUAGGGAGAAAGAAGUUGUGAUAUCAAGGAGACACCUUUGUGAAAGUCUCCUGUCUCCUUAAAAAUUUGUGAAGGUCUCCCACCUUCUAGUAAUUGGAAUAUUAAGGACGUGCCUGUGAUAUUCGUGAAAGUCUCUCACCUCCUAAUAUAUGAAACAUCGAGGACGCGCCUCGGAUAUUCAUGAAGGUCUCUUAACUCCUAGUAAUUGGAAUAUCGAGAACAUGCCUCGGAUAUUUGUGAAUGUCUCUCACCUCUUGAUAAUUGGAAUAUCAAGGAUGCGCCUCGGAUAUUCAUGAAAGUCUCUCACCUUGUAGUAAUUGGAAUAUCGAGGAUGCGCUUUGGAUAUUCGUGAAGAUUUUUCACCUCCUGGUAAUUGGUGAAGGUCCCCCACCUCCUGGUAAUUGGAAUAUUGAGGACGUAUCUCGAAUAUUCGUGAAUGUCUCUCACUUCCUAAUAAUUGGAAUAUUGAGGACGCGCCUCGAGUAUUCGUGAAGGUCUCUUACCUCCUGGUAAUUGGUGAAGGUCUCCCACCUCCUGGUAAAUGGAAUCUUGAUGUUAUACCUCGAAUAUUCGUAAAGGUCUCUCACCUCCUGGUAAUUAAUGAAGGUCUCCCACCUCCUAGUAAAUGGAAUAUUGAGGACGUCUCUCGAAUAUUCGUGAAUGUCUCUCACUUCCUAAUAAUUGGAAUAUCGAGGACGCGCCUCGAGUAUUCGUGAAGGUCUCUUACCUCCUGGUAAUUGGUGAAGGUCUCCCACCUCCUGGUAAAUGGAAUAUUGAUGUUAUACCUCGAAUAUUCGUGAAUGUCUCUCACCUCCUGAUAAUUAGAAUAUCAAGGACGCGCAUCGGAUAUUCGUGAAGAUCUCUCACCUCCUAGUAAUUGGAAUAUUGAGGACGCGCUUUGGAUAUUCGUGAAGAUUUCUUACCUCCUAGUAAUUGGAAUAUCGAGGACACGCCUCGAAUAUUCGUGAAGGUCCCUCACCUCCUGGUAAUUGGUGAAGGUCUCCCACCUCCUAGUAAAUGGAAUAUUGAGGACGUACCUCGAAUAUUCGUGAAUGUCUCUUACCUCUUGGCAAUUGGAAUAUUGAGGACGCACAUCGGGUAUUCGUGAAGGUCUCUCACCUCCUGCUAAUUGGUGAAAGUCUCCCCUGGUAAAUGGAAUAUUGAUGACGUACCUCGAAUAUUCAUGAAGGUCUCUCACCUCAUAGUAAUUGAAAUAUCAAAAACGCGCCUCAAGAAUUCAUGAAGGUCUCUCACAUCCUAAUAAUUGGUGAAGGUCUCCCACUUCCUGGUAACAUAAAUUUGAAUGUAGUAUGAAGCUUACCUAGAUGGCCACAAGCACUUAAAAAGGCUGGAGCACCUAGGUAGCCACAAGUAUACAAAGCAGUGGAAUACUUGGAUAAUCACAAGUAUUUAAUUAUACAAUCGGGGAUCACUCAGGCAGGUUCAAGUGUCAUAAUGAUAAGAGAGCAUACUUGGGUAACUGCAGGCACACAAAACAAUGGAAUACUUGAACAAUUAUUAGUAUUCAAUGAUAUAAUUUGAGGACAACUCGAACAAGUCGAGCGUCAUGGAAAGGAAGUACCUGGAUGAUGGCAAGUACUUGAAGACGAUGGGAUACUUGAUCAAUCACCAAUAUCCAUACUAUGAGGAUAAAUCGAAUAAGUCGAGUGUCAAUAAGAUGGAGUACUUGGACAAUGGUAGAUACUCAAAGACAAAGGAUACUUGGAUGGUUGCAAGCACCUAAACUCAGAAAACAACUCGAAUAGGUCGAGUGUCGAUAAGAGAGAGUACCCAAGCAGUGGUAGGUACUCGAAGGCGGAGGGAUACCUGGACAAUUACAAGUAUCAAUACUCUGAGGACAACUCGAAUAGGUCGAGUGUCAAUAAGAGGGAGUACCUGGACAAUGGUAGGUACUCAAAGACAAAGGGAUACUUAGACAGUUGCAAGCACCCAAAGUAACUUGAAUAGGUCGAAUGUUGAUAAAAGAGAGUACCCAAGCAGUGGUAGGUACUCGAAGGCAAAGGGAUACCUGAACAGUCACAAGUAUCCAAACUCUGAAGACAACUCGAAUGGAUCGAGUAUUGAUAAGAGGGAGUACCCGAGUAAUGGUAGGUACUUGAAGGCAAAAGGAUACCUGAACAGUCGCAAGUAUCCAAACUCUGAAGACAACUCAAACAGGCCGAGUGUUGAUAAGAGAGAAUACCCGAUCAAUGGUAGGUACUUGAAGGCAAAGGGAUACUUGGACAAUAGCAAGUAUCAAUACUCUAAAGACAACUAGAACAAGUCGAGUGUCGAGAAGAAAAAGUAUCCAAAUAGUGGCCAACACUCAAAGGUAAUGAAAUGUUUGGUUGGACAUAAGUUCUUUGGGAAUAAGGGUAGAGAUAUGCUUACCUGACAAUGCCUCCAAUCUUUGAGAGUAUGUCUACAACACACAAUAUGCAGACAUGAUUGUAUAUCCUAUAAAUUCAUGAGUUCAAAUGGGAUUCAUGCAUGAUAAUUUUGUCAACUUUGCAUCACCAAUGUUCCAUUGGAGAAAAUUUUUUAAAGACAAUCUUCAUUCGGAAUGUGGACGUCUUGAACAUGCCAAAUGAGGGACUUUCAGUCUGAAAUGACAUUUCACUCACUCUCAUGGAAAAGAUUGUUUUAUCCUAACCAUUAAUGUAGGAUUUAUAAGGACCACACUAUCUCACUGUCAUCAUAUCAGCAGGAGUCCGAGUAUUCUCGCAAGUAGUAUGACUUUGCCAAUAUGAGUGGUCUUUGCCGGGAUUGCAAUGUAGGCUUGAUCAACGGCUUAUCAAAGGGGACCAUCAAGGUCAAGGCUUAUGAAAGGAAUGCAACAUGAUCAUCUCCGGGUUUACAAGUCAAGAACCUUGCGAAAGGAGAUAGAAUAAUCUUGCUCGUACUUCUUUGAGCAAUGCUUAUAAACAUAUGAAGCUCUACAUUAAUUGAGAUGCCCUAGUCUGAAGAGACUUUUACAGUGGGACGCUAUCGCCACCUACCCUCGAGGGGAGGGAAUAGGUUUAGGAUUAUUACCUAAAGGACAGGCUUAUGGCCCAUGAUUAGACAUGGGCUCUCCCAAGCCUAUACCCCUUGUGAUAUUAGGAUAUUAGGAUAUUUUUUAUGAAUUUUGCACAAAAGGAGUCACCACUAGCCUAUUGGGGUCAACUAGAAACCAAGUGAAACAUGGAAGUGUACCUCACUUCCUAUGCAACUAGAGAGUUUAGGGUCUGGGACUUGAUUACACUAAUUGACCAAUUAGUGCCCUUUUGGCACCUAAUCUUGUUCAUUUUAGAAGAAAAAGAUUUUUUGUCAUGCAGUUUGAAUUGAUUUUACACUUAUCCACUAACAUGCGAGGCAAUCAUAUGAGUGCACAAUCAUUAAAGUAACAAUCAUAACUACUAAGAUCCUAAUUGCAAUAAAAAUGAGCAUGUACAAUUAAACAUACACAAAUGUAAUUAAAUAUGCAAAUUAAACGUGCUAUAUAAUCAAUAUACAAGAAAAUAAAGGCUUAAUUACACUAAAAAGGCAAUACAUAGCAAUUCCUAACCAAACCCCAUCAUUUUUGGAUUUUUGAAAUUUUUUUAUUUUUUUAUUUUUUAAAAUAAAAAAAAAUUUUAAAAAAAAUUCUGGCCAAACUGGGUCGGGUCAAACCCGGUCAGGGUGGGUUGGUCAAACCCACCCGAGUUCAGCCCGCCUAAAAUACAAGGCCCGACCAACCUUGGUGAGGCCUUCGUGUGGCUGGAUUGGGCCUAACUGAUGGGCCCAAUCUCUACUUCCCCCCACGCAGAAAAUAGAUCCACGCAGGCCCGCGACCUAAACCGGCCCACAAGCCCACAAGCCCAAAUCCGGCCCUAAUUCGCGCCCAACCCAGCUCCUACACCGCGACUCGAUUCCCAAGAAAACCCUACCCAGAUCCGCCUCGGCUUCAACCCGGCUUCUAACCUUCUUCUUUAGGGGCUCUAUGUUAAUAGUGACGGCGACGCGGUGGGCGGCAGCUGUGAGCAACAAAAGGCGACGACACUUGGGCGAGCUAGCACAACGGUGCUCAUGAUGCAGGCACUGCAGCAGCGUCGGGUUGAGGCGGGGCAACAUUCGAAGCUCCCUCAAGGGGCAGCAAGGUGGCAGCGAGCAGCCGGAGUUGCGGGUGUUGCAGCAGGGGCACGGAGGCAGUGACCGACAGAGGGAUCAAGCUGUUAGCAUUCAGUGACGGUAGCGACAGGUGCUACGAGUCGGUAUUCAAAGGGCAGUGGCGAUGUUACAGCUUCGGGCAGAGGAAGGCACGGCAGCAAGGGCAACAAUGCUUGGGUGAGCUAUUGCAGUGGUGUAUGCAGUGUCGACGAUGGAGGGUGGAAGCGGCGAUGGCAAGCGAAGGCGCAGCGUCAACGAUGCCUCCUCCGGUUUCUAUCCCCCUUUCCAUAUUUUCCCUUUUUCAGUCCCCUCUCCUCUCUCUCUGGAUCUCUCCCCUCUGUUGUGCCUCUGCUCUUCUCCCUUUUCGCUUUAGAUCUGAGUUCUGGGGAAGACUGCAAUGAACGACAUUUAUUGGGUGGCUCGUCGGCGACAAUAACGGUGGCCCAGAGGCUCCUUCUCCUCCUGCUCGCGUGCCCUCACUGUCUUUUUCUCUCUCUCUGUCCACUCUCACGUCUCUCUCACUUGUCUUCUCUGUUACUGUCAUUCCCCUCUACUUUUGCUUUUUGCUAUCUUUCCUUUUCUUUUGCUGCAGGUUCGUGCAAGAUAGGCUGGAGGAGGACGAAGGCUGGCGUGGGCCGAACCAAAAGGGAAACGGGCUUGGGCUGUGUAAGGAAAAGAGAGUCGGGCAAGGGGGCGAGCCAAUGCUAGAUCCAGCCCAACCCGACCUCUAGGCGUUUUCUUUUUCUUUUUCUUUUUUGUUGUUGUUUUGUUUUUGUUUUUUUCUCUCUUUUUCUCUUCUAUUUUUUUUUAAUGACUAAUUCCUAAUUUUGUAUGCAAUUGAGUCAUAAAUAAAAUAGUAAAAUUUAGGUGUUAACAGCUGCCCCUCUUUGAAUGGGAGCUCGAAGAGGUUCCAUUCAAAGACAUAAGACACCUAAAUUAUUUCGGCGGUAGAGAGACCCUAACUUCAUAGGCUCACACCUAGUCAAGCUAUGGAAGUGUGUCGUGUCAAUAAGAGGAAAAAAGACUUCAAGCUGCAAAGCACGUCGUGUCAUAAGAAUAAGGAAAACCGCGGGCUACAAAAGUACGUCGUAUCACAAGAAGAAAGAGAGACUCUGGGCUACAAAAGCACGCCAUGUCAUAAGAAGAAAGAGAAACUUCGAGCUACAAAAGCACGCCGUGUUAAAAGAAGAAAGAGAGACCCCGGGCUAUAGAAGCACGCCGUGUCAAAAGAAGAAAGAAAAACCCCCAAAAGCACACCGUGUCAUGAGAGGAAAGAAAAGAUUCCAGGCUACAGAAACACGCCAUGUCAUAAGAAGAAUAAGAGACCUCGGGCUACAGAAGCACGCCAUGUCACAAGAAGAAUGAAAGACCCCAGGCUAUAGAAGCACCGUGUCAUAAGAAGAAGGAAAGACCUCGGGCUACAAAAUCACGCCGUGUCAUAAGAAGAAGAAGAGACCUCAGGCUAUAGAAGCACGCCUUGUCAUAAGAAGAAAGAAAAGACCCCGGGCUACAAAAGCACGCUGCGUCCUAAGAAGAGGAAGAGAUCCCGGGCUACAAAAGCACGGUGUGUCAUAAGAAGAAGAAGAGACCUCAGGGUACAGAAGCAUGACGUAUCAUAAGAAGAAGAAGAGACCAUGGGCUACAAAAACACGUCGUGUCAUAAGAAGAAAGAAAAAUAAGAUAUCACCGUGUAACAACGGAUUUCAACCAGGUUUAAAAUACAUGAUUUAAGGAAAACUCAUGAACCUUCGUAGAUGAUAUGGUUUAAGGUUGACCAUGAACCUUUUGAAAAAUUGUAGUUUAAAGAUAGACUCGUGAACAUUUUAAAAGAGUGGUUUAAGGAUGACCCACAAAUCGGGUGGUUUAAGAAUAGACUCAUGAACCUUGUGGUUUAAGGAUAACCCACGAACCCCGUGGUUUAAGGAUGACCCACCAACCGUGUGGUUUAAGGAUAGACCCACCAAUCGUGUGGUUUAAGGAUAAACCCACUAACCGUGUGGUUUAAGGAUAGACCCACUAAUCAUGUGGUUUAGAUUGGAAAAAAGGUCUCACCGUGUAAAAAUAGGUUUCAACUAGAUAUGAUAGUCUCAUCGUGUACAAAUGGGUUUCGACCGGAUGUGAUAGUUUCACCGUGUAAAAAUGGGUUUCGACUAGAAGAAAUGUCUCACCAUGUACAAACAAGUUUUGACCAAAUAAUAGUCUCACCGUGUACAAACGGGUUUCGACUAGGAGAGAGGUCUCACCGUGUACAAAAGCUUUCGACCGAAUAAUAGUCUCACAGUGUACAAACAGGUUUCUACUGGGAGAAAGGUCUCACCAUGUACAAAUGGAUUUCGACCGGAUGAUAAUCUCACUGUGUACAAAUGGGUUUCAACUGGAUGAUAGUCUCACCGUGUACAAACAGGUUUUUAUUGAGAGAAAUGUCUCACUAUGUACAAACGGGUUUCGACCGAAUGAUAGUCUCACCGUGUACAAACGAGUUUUGACCGGAUGAUAGUCUCACCGUGUAUAAACGGGUUUCGACUAGGAGAAAGGUCUCACCGUGUACAAACGAGUUUCGACUAGAUGAUAGUCUCACCGUGUACAAACGAGUUUCGACCAGAUUAUAGUCUCUCCGUGUACAAACAAGUUUCGACUAGGAGAAAUGUCUCAUUGUGUACAAACGGGCUUCGACUGGGAGAAAGGUCUCACCGUGUAUAAACGAGUUUCGACCAGAUGAUAGUCUCAUCGUGAACAAAUGAGUUUCAACUAGGAGAAAGGUCUCACCGUGUACAAACGGAUUUUGACCAGAUGAUAGUCUCACCGUGUAAAAACGGGUUUCGACCGAAUGCGAACAAGCGUGGUUUAUGAAUGAACCCACAAGCCGUGUGGUUUAGGAAAAGCCACCAACCCCAUGGUUUUGAGGAUAGACCUACCAACCCUAUGGUUUUAGGAUAACCCAAGAACCGUGUGGUUUAAGGAAAAGCCACCAAACCCGUGGUUUUAAGAAUAGACCCACCAACCUUGUGGUUUAAGGAUGACCCAUGAACUGUGUGGUUUAGGAAAAGCCACCAACCCCGUGGUUUAAGGAUAAACCCACCCACCUUGUGGUUUAAUGAUGACCCACGAACCGUGUGGUUUAAGAAAAGCCACAAACCCCGUGAUUUAAGGAUAAAUCCACCAACCUUGGAAACGGCAUGGUUUAAGGCUGACCAUGAACCUUUGGAAAUGGCAUGGUUUAAAGCUAACCAUGAACCUUUGGCUUUAAGGAAGCACCCACUAACCCCUUGAAAUUGCAUGGCUUUACUGAAGAAUCUUGUCAAACUCAACUUGAGCAAAUGUCAUUAGAGACGUCAUCAAGAGACAUAUUGGCAAUAUUGCAGCAUUAAUUGAACAAGCUAAUCAAGCUAAAUCCGACUACUUUAGAAGAACAUUCGAUGUCAAUCAACAUCAUGUGGCACAAAACUAUCAUCUUGUUCGGGGAUAUAUCAUCAAUCAUCAAAUUCUUUAGGAGUCAAGUUCUUAUCAGAAUGGCUACGACUCGUGAAAAAGGCUCAUUAAGCAUGCCAAACCAGAGCUUCUUAGUCAGAAAGGGUUUCUCACACACUCUUGAUAAAAUAGCUGAUUGAUCCCAUCUAUUCACGUGGGAAGUAACUGAUUGCUUAGGGUAUCUCACAUAACCCAUGUCAAAGACUUUCAAAAACAUUCGCGAUGAGCACAAUCUGAUCGAUCAAAAGGACUUUUGAAUGGACCAUAAUAUAGGCUCGAUUAGGGCUUACACAAAGGAAUUAUUGCUUUGAGGCCAAUAAAGGAACAUUUAUCACUAUCUUCAUCGGGUUUACAAGUCAAGAACUCGGAAGAUAAGAUAAGAUAGAAUUACCUCCACUCCUUCAAGCAGUAGCUUCUUUGUUGCAUUCUCAUUUUCACUCAAACCAUCCCAAUUAGAAGAGACUGAAAGAGAGUUGUAAUGUUGGCUUGGGAAAGGCUCGAAAGGCUUAAAAUUUUCAAUAGGGUUUUUAAGAGUCGGUGAUCAUCAUGGCAUCAUGACCAGGUCACUCGAUCUUUCGAAAUCAUUUGGCUUUUAAAACACAACGCAUCUCGAAAGUCCCUUAACUAAUCAUUUCUACAUGGAAGCUUUGCUCCUUCCUCUAAUUUCCUUUGCACUUGCGAUGAUCUUUUUACGCACACAAUUGGACUUUGAUCAUUUUUCUUUCACAUAGGAUGCAGCCUUUUGGCUCUUUUUUUUUUUUUUUUUUACGGGCAUUGGCCUUACUUUUACCAAGCACAUUGCUAUUCAUGCCCCCUAAUUUUGUUGAACUUUUUCUCUUUGAACCUUUGAAGCUCUUUUGACUUUCGAAAUACUUUUCACAUUUUAGUAAAUGUCAAUUAUAUGUGGUCGAUCCUUAGCCCUUGCCCCAGUGAAGGGAGAUGAUCACCACUCGGGGUUCAGAAAUAAACAAUCAAGCCCAAAUUGGUUAAACCAACAGGUAUCAAUGUUUUGGUAGAGAAGGAAAUGUUCUUCUUCACCUUGGGAUGAGUUAAGCUCUGAUGAGAAUUCUUUUGAAGCUAUCAUUAGAAGAUUGAUGCAAGUGGAAGUAAUACAAUUUUUCUCAAUCUUUCUCUCUACAACACGACCGUAACCUCCUAUGCUGCCCCAAUGUAGGGUCGUUCUCCACAGGGGUACUUUGAAGGCUUAUCUUUAUUCGACCCAAAGGGUUAGCAAGAGAUUAAUGCAAUGCUUGGAAUUGAUAAAGGAAACGCCUUUACCACUUCGAUCUUUGCGCUCAAUGCGAAUGAAUCAUUUGUCCUAAGAGAAUGUCGCUUUUCACUCAACUCUCAAAAGUGUUUAAAGGACGUGUUUGGAAAUAGCUUACCUUUCUUCAUCCUAAGCACUUCUUGUUUGGCAUGGUUAACGUUUUACCUUUCACUCUGCCGAGGUCAUAUGAGUAGAUCAAUCUCCAUAGGGAAAUUUUAUUCAAAAUGAAUAACCCACCAAACAAGAAAACAAUUUUGAGAUAAAAAGAUGUUCAAAAAGUUUGUAGAAUUUUUUUUUCAAAUAUUCAUUUGUGUGCUCGUCUCUAGGAAAAUGCAAAAGGUUCUUUUUUGUAAUGGAAAUUCUCCGUUUUUUUUUUUUUUUUAAAAUUUGAGAAGAAGGGUACUUACCUGCGGCAUGGUGACCUGGUAAUCCUAUAAAGAAUGUAAAAGAAUAUGUUAGUGCAAAAAUCUUUAGGGAUUGAAAUGUUGGAAACAAUACAUUAUUACCCUUCACUCGCUUUUAUCCUUUGAGGGCUAACAUCUCUUGGAUUCACCAUCGUGGAUAUUUGGUAAUUUGGCAUUACCCUUCACUUGCAUUUGCCUUUAAGCAUUUGAUGUCUUCCUAUUAAAAGAAAGAAAGAAUUUUGUCAGAGACGCUAUCAAAAUGAGCAAUUGGAAUCAACACCAUUUACCCUUCACGUGUUUCCGUUCUUCAGGUAUGAACUUUGCUUGAAGUUGCUAGAAUUGAUUGGAAAAUGGCUAUGUGACCCUAAUUGUAUCCAUGAAAAGCACUUCUUUAUUGUAUACAACAAUUGACAAUGUUCCUUUCUGAAGAGACAUUUAACUGACAAGGAGCUUGAAAAUUUUAUAUAUGGAUCAUGAAAUGUGUUUUUCAAGAUCUUGCUUUGAAAAGAGAGUGGGUGCUCCCUAUUUCUACACUUGGGACAUUGUUCUUUAGAUGCUUUGCCCCAUUUAUUGCCUGUAAAGAAAAGAUUGAACAUUUUAUUUCCAUACUCGAUUGGAAAUCAUUUAGGAACUAUACACAUCCCUUUAUUUUACCUAUUUAACAAAAAUGGAUGAAAGAAUGAGUCGUUAUAUCAAAAGUUCCCACUGGAACGAUUACAACCUUACCAUCUCAAAGUAUCAUUUAUGGACCAACGCGAUAAAGCGACUAAAUGAAGAGAUAAAAUUUUACGCAGAUCCUUCUCAAAACUCUUUUUUUCAAAAAAUUUCGAAGCUAAGGUAUAACAACUCAGCUCUAAGGGUCCAUUUGAAAUACUUUAAGUGUUUUUUUUUUGGAUAAGUACACUAAUGGUGCCAUAAGUUGUGUACGGCGCUUACUUUGGUGCCAAAAGUUUCCGUCGGAUCACUUAAGUGCCAAAAAAUUUGAAAAAUGCUCACUUUGGUACCAACGCCGAUCUGAUUGGCUGGAAAUCUAAUGUGGCAUUUUUUAUUAAUUUUUUAGGCUGACGUGGCUUGCCGGAGAGCAUAAUCAACAUCUAAACCACAAAAACGACGUCGUUUGGCUUCUUUCCCCCAAAUCGAAACCCUAAAUCCCCAAAUUGAGAGAGAGAGAGAGAGAGAGAGAGAGAGAGAGAGAGAGGGGAGAGAGAGGAGGCACGUCGUCUUCUUCCUUGAAGAGCGACACUAGCAGCGAACGGCACCAACAGCAACACCAGCAGCGCACCAGUAGUAGCACCAACAAUGGCACCAGCGGUGGCGGCGGCGACGCACCGGUUGCGGCACCUUCAACCCCUCUUCUUCCUCCUCCUCCUCCGCCUUGCCUCCUAUUCUUUCUGCCACUUUUUGUUUGAGCAACAAUCUCAUUCCCUCCUCGUUCACCUAGUCGAGCAUCUACAAUGGUGGCCAAGCGACGGUGGCUGAGCGUUGGCGGGCGAACAACGGUGGCCGAGCAGCGAGGAGAAACCCUAACCCUAAUUUCAACCCAUGUACGAGCUAAACGGCAUCAUUUUUGUGAGGGUGUCCACGUAUAAGAGCAAAACGAUGUCAUUUCUUGAAGAGGAUGAAAAACGACGUCAUUUAAAAGCUGAGCAACUUUUUUUUUUAAAUAAAAAAGCCACGUAAUCAUUUUGGCCGGAAUUUCUCGCGCGGUGGCACCAAAGUGAUCGUUUUUUCUCCGAUUUGGCACUUAAGUGAUCCGGCGGAAACUUUUGGCACCAAAGUGAGCGCCGUACACAACUUAUGGCACCAUUAGUGUACUUAUCCCGUUUUUUUUUUUUUUUAAAGAAUGAUGUUUUUUUAUGAAAUCAAAUUUAAUUACUUAAAAAUGUGAGUUGCAUGAUUUACAAAAGUGCCGAUUAGGCUCACAUGCAAAACUCGAAACUAAAAAUAUAGUCUACCAAGAAUAAAGACAAUGAUAUCAUACAAAACACGCUUGCAUAUAUUAGCCUAUAAAUCCAUUCUUAUCCUAAUUCUAAAGUCGACUUCUUGGCAUGAUCAAGCGAGCGAAGUCAAGAAAUGUCAUCACGCAUGACCUACGAAAAGAAGACAAUUUAGUGUGUGAAUGAAAAAUUGAUCUUUCAAUGAGGUCGCCUCUGAUAGCAAAAUCAUGAUGACGGUACCUGCCCCAUAGCCCAUAUUAGGGGAUUUUGGAAUUUCACCAAGAUUUUUCAUAAGAGAAGGGGCAUAAUAAAAAGAUCAAUCGGCGGCUAUCAAUCGAAUGUCCAUUUUAUUCCAAAAGUUUCAUAUGCAAAAGUGGCAUUGAGUUUUGAAAGAUUAAUUUGUGAUUUUUACUCAUAGAAAAAUGAGAUGACUUUUGUUUUGAGAAAUCUAUACACAAAAUGGAGAGAACUUGAUUAAAAAUGCAAUUUCAAUUUUGUGCCCCAAUGUACAAUUGCAACUUGAAUUUUUUUUUUUUCAAAAUGCGAUUUUGAGCCCAUAAUUAGAAAUUUAAAUAAAACCAUACGUUCAACAAGGCCAAAUCAAAGUGUUUAGAACUUGCAUUCAGUGUUCACUUAUCAAGAGUGAUUGCUAGGCAUUCGAUUAAUUUCCACAAAUUUCAAGAUGAAAAUUUAAUUAAAAAAAAAGAAAAAAAGAAUGAUACUCACAAGGGAGACGACUUUACUCUCCUUUUUUUUUUUUGUUGCAAUUACAUAGACAUGCACAUGGGAUGUGGUUUGACUUCUACUCUAUACGGCUCAAAAUGAAGCCACGGGAUCACCAGACCGAACCCACAAGGUCACGGCCAAGUCGGGUUACCUAUGACUCCGGCUUCGUCAAAGAACUAACUCGUGUUGCACGGUUGCAGACUAGGGUGGGGACCUUUGACAUCAAGAAAGAAAUUUCAAAAUCAAGAUGGGCGACUCAUACUAUAUGGUUGUAGUCGGAGUGGUAUCCAUCUCGACACCAUCCUAAGAAAUCUUAUGUGGCCCCGGUCCGACAGUGGGUUGUGUGUGUUAGGGUGUAGUGCAAUGCAAAGGAUACAUGCACAACAAUUUAUAGGCAAACAACACUCCGUACAUGAAAUGUAAACCAUACACUCCUACACUUUUCUGCAAGACAAAGGUGAGCAAACACUUCCCUUUAUACCUCAAAACUGCAAAAACAUUUAACACUCGCGUUAGAGACGUACCUAAUAUCCCCCUUGCCAAACAAAAAUAUUUUUGAAUAGUUUAAAACCAAUUCCCCAACGGAAUCGCCAAACUAUCACGACCUAUCCUUGGGGGGGGGGGGGAAUAGGUUUAGGGGUAUUGCCUAAAAGAUAAGCUUAUGGCCCAUGAUUAGACACGGACUCUCCCAAGCUCAUACCCCGCAUGACAUUGGGAUAUUUUUUAGGAAUUUUGCACAAAAUGAGUCACCACUAGCCUAUUGGGGUCGGCUAGAAACCAAGUGAGGCAUGGGAGUGUACCUCACUUCCUACGCAACCAAAGAGUUUAGGGUCCGAGACUUGAUUACACUAAUUGACCAAUUGGUGCCCUUUCGGUACAUAAUCUUGUUCAUUUUAGAAUAAAAAUAUUUUUGUCAAGCAAUUUGGAUUGAUUUUACACUUAUCCACUAACAUGCGAGGUGAUCAUGUAGGUAUGUAAUCAUUGAAGUAACAAUCAUAACUACCAAGAUCCUCAUUGCAGUAAAAUUGAACGCGUGCAAUUAGACAUCCACAAUCGUAAUUAAACAUGAAAAUAAAACGUGCUAUAUAAUCAAUAAACAAGCAAAUAAAGGCAUAAUUACACUAAAAAGGCAAUACAUAGCAAUUCCUAACCAAACACCAUCAUUUUUGGAUUUUUGAAAUUUUUUAUUUUUUUAAUUUAAAAAUAAUAAUAAAAUAUAUUUUUUUCGGACUGGACCGGGUUCGAUCCGGUCUGAUCCGAUCAAGGUGGGUCAUUCAGACUCGCCCGGGUUCAGCUCGCCCAAAAUAUAAGGCCCGACCAGCCUUGGUCGGGCCUUUGUGCAACUGGAUUGGGCUCGGGCCUUCGUGCAGCUAGAUUGGGCCGAAUCGAUAGGCCCAACCUCUACUUCCCCCCACGCAGGCCUGUGACCUAAACUGGCCCACAAGCCCACAAGCCCAAAUCCAGCCCUGAUUCGCGCCCAACCUAGCUCCUAAACCGCAACCCGAUUCCUAAGAGAACCCUACUCGAAUCCGACCUGGCUUCGACCCAACUUCUAACCUUCUUCUUUAAGGGCUCUACGUUGAUGGCAGCGGCAAUGCGUCGGGCGGCGGCCACGGGCAGUGAGGGGCAAUGGCGCUUAGGCGAGCUGGCUCGGCGAUGCUCGUGACGCAGGCAUUGCAACAACGUCGGGUUAAAGCGGGGCAACGUUCAGAGCUCCCCCGAGGGGUAGUAGGGUGGUAGUGAGUAGCUGGAGUUGUGGGUGCUGCAACAGGGGCGCAAAGGCAGUGACCAGCAGAAGGAUCGGGUUGUUGGUGUCAACGGCAACAACGGCGGGCGCUGCGAGUCUGCAUUUAGAGGGCAAUGGCGGCGUCGCAGCUUCAGGCAGAGGAAGGUACGGCAGCAGGGGCAACGAUGCUUGGGCGAGCUGUUGCGGUGUCAGCGACAGAGGGUGGAAGCGGCGAUGGCAGGCGGAGGUGCAACGUCGACGACGCCUCCUCUGGUUUCUCUCCCUCUUCGACUUUUCCCUUUUUAGUCCCCUCUCCUCUCUCUCUCUCUCUCUCUCUCUCUCUCUCUCUCUCUCUCUCUGAAUCUCUCCCCUCUGUUGUGCCUUCGCUAUUCUCCCUUUCUACUUCAGAUUUGGGUUCCAGGGAAGAUGGCGGCGAACGACAUCAAUAGGGUGGCUCGUCAGUGGCGGUGACGGUGGCCCGGAGGCUCCUCCUCCUGCUCACGCCCCUGUUGUCUUUUUCUCUCUCUCUGUCCACUCUCACGUCUCUCUCACUUGUCUUCUCCGUUGCUGCCGUUCCCCUCUACUUCUGCUUUUUGCUAUCUUUCCUUUUCUUUUGCUGCAGGUUCGUGCAAGACAGGCUGGAGGAGGACGAAGGCUAGCGUGGGCCAGGCCAAAAGGUAAACAGGCUUGGGCCGAUGAGCUAACAUGCAGGGACGCACCGAGGCGAGGCGAGUAUGUUUGUGGUGCUUGUUUAGGCAACCUUUGGGCGAAUUUGCGUGGUCAAACCCUCAGCGAGUCAAACCCUAAGCCCCAAUUAGGAGAUUUGCUGAGUGCAGAUGUGGUGGGUGCGAGGUGCUUGUAUGGGAUUUGUUAUAACGGUUUGGCCUUAUAAUCAGGACUCAUGUGAUUAUUUGAUGGAUGAAUUGAUGUGUUCCGUUUAUUAAUUGCUCUGGUUGCAUUGAUAAUAGAAUAUGUGAUGAGCUAACAUGCAGGGACGCACCAAGGCGAGGCAAGUAUGUUUGUGGUGCUUGUUUAGGCAGCCUCUGGGCGAAUUUGCGUGGUCAAACCCUCAGCGAGUCAAACCCUAAGCCCCAAUUAGGAGAUUUGCCGAGUGCGGAUGUGGUGGGUGUGAGAUGCGACACAUUUUGGAUGGCUUUGCUGUUAGCAAAGUUUAGGGUGACCCUAGUCCCUAAAGGUCUUGAGAGGGUUGGUCAGAAGUUGCUAGUGUAAGGACUUGUAAAUCAUUAAACUUCCUAGGGACAACAGUGAUUGAAUAAAUAAGUUGUUUUCAGCAACUUUUGUUGUGUGUUUUCACUAUCUCCAUAUGUUUAUUUGUUUGUUGACCGGGGUUUAUUUAAUUUGUUUUCGCAUGUGCUUAAUUGAAAGAAUAAAAAAAAAGAAUGGGUCGGCAAUGCGUCUUGGGGCGUUGCAUUUUUAAUCAACCACGGAGGAAUGCACGCGCACUUGGAGUUUGGGGCGUGACACAAACAGGCCCUAACAUGAUAAAAUCAACGUAGUUAGACAUGAGCCUGCUAGAAAUCUAGCUCGUUCCGGUGGAUAACGGGCUGAACAAUUGUACAAGAGCAAACAAAAAGGCAAAAUUUUCGUCAAGGACACAUUUGAUGGGGGAGGAAGACGGAAACAUGAAGAAGAAGCUUAAUAUAUCGAGAUCAACACUAGUGUGACAUCCUAAAUUUUCCUUCUAUUUAUUACGUUGGCCAUUAUAGUGCAAUGUAGAAGUAUGAUUUCAUGUUAAAUAUAUAAGCUAAAACAUCAGUGACAAGCCAAAAAUAGGCUUUACGUGUAUAUGGUUGGGUACCUUUCCAAUAUUUAGGGGAGAUUUUUUUUUUUUUUGGAUAAUAUGUUAUUUUUUUUGUCUGUCUUUAUUGUUUUUAAUUUGUUUGAGAAUACCUUCGCAUCAUACCUCUAAAGCAUCCUUUUUUAUUCUUUUAAAUGCAGAUGGGUCUGCCAGAUGAAGACAUGGAGUCUUUUUGAUGUGUUCUUUGAACUGUUUAAUAAUAUUUGUGUGAAUAGAUUACCAUUUGGUUUUUUUUUUCUUUGUAAUCACUGAUAUAAAAGUUUACAAAUGACGUUAAUAUUUGAGAAGAAAUCCAGGACAGAAUCGAGACUUCACAGCAAUUUUUGUAGUUGGGUUUUGUCUUUGAUUUCAUUUGGAAUCCGUGAAUAUUUAGAUAUUUCGAUUAGAAUAAUAAUUCAUUGGCAAGAAAUCUGAUUUUCAUUUGAAAAAGGGAUACUUAGGUAGGGGAAACCACCAAUCCAUUCUUUCUAACUAUUUUUAUGAAAAUAGAUAUGUGUUUGAAAUGGUGAUCAAUACUUGAAGAAUAAAUAAGAACAUCAUCAAUAUAGACCAUGAAUUGAGAAUAUGGAUUGAAAAUUAAUUUAUAAUCCUCUUAAAUUCUGCAAGAGCAUUUUUGAAGUCCAAAUGACAUGACAUUCCAUUAAUUUAUAUCAAGAUUUGAGAAAAUUUUGGGAUCGUGAAAUCUACUGAGUAGAUCUUUUCUGUUUAGUAUCGGAUAUAUAACUCCAUUUAAGGGCUUUAAUCAAUGGUUUGUCUUUGAUGAUUUGACGACGAGUCGAGGGACUUUUCCGUCGAGUUUAGCAGUCGUAUACACGUUGAAUGCAAAACAACUCAGGGAGACUGACUUUUGUUAACGAGUUUUUUAUCUAGGAAAAAUCCUUUUGAAAAAUUGCAGAACUAGUUCAUUCACUCGGAAAGGUGUAGCUUUGCCGAGAAUUUGAUUUGCCGAAAGUCGGGUUCAUAAUGAAUGUAAGCAAUACGUUUCUUCCUUUCCCAGAAACACAGCGUCGGUGGGAAUUUGAUGCGUUAUUCUUGCAAAGAGAGCGUUCCAUGCCACACAAACAUAGAAAGGUAUUUACAAGGUCUUUGUUCAUAUAACAAUAACCAUACGGAGUUGCAGCUGUCCUGAAGAUUAUUUUUUGCACUGAGCUAAACCCUUUUGUGCUAACAUUAUAGCACUCCAACUCAGGGCGGAGCAAUUCUUCAUGCGAAAUAUAUAUAUCUCGAAUUACCUGACACACGAACCCAUUGAUCCUCUGGAAACAAUCUAGGCCACCACAGGGUAUGAUGCACAAGUAGCGACUCCUGCAAUUUAAGAACAUUAGAUGAGCACGGAGUAACUUACUAGGAAAUUAAUCAAAGAAUGAAUGGACAUGAACUGAAAGACUGCGAGGAUUUCAAAAGCGUAUAUUUUGGUUAAUACUACUAAAAUCAAAGAAUUUUAUAUAGGAGGGGACUUACCACACAUGUUCUUUCCCAUCUCCAUCUUGAAGUAUCCGUGGUCACCCCAGUCUGCUCCCCAGGAAUUCUUGAUGAGCCAGAACGGAACACCAUCUUCAACUCCAUAACCAACAGCGAGAACAGCAUGGUUCACAUCCUAAUAUAGGACAUUCAGCUUACAUUAGACGAGAGCAUGAACAUCGCCUUGCAUGCAAAACUUAUUCUCGACAAGAUAGGUACUCAAGUAAAUGUCAUGGUUGAGAUUUAUCGACAUAUAGAAGGCUCUCUAAUUCCUGCACACUGGCAUCCUUCAAACAUGAUCGAGAUGGAGAUAGUGCUCCUUUCAUUAUAUUAGUAAUGCUCACCAUGGAAGUGCUACCACAUGUAUCGCUUGUGUAGACACCCGACUUGUAGAUUCUGAACUCUCUCACGACCUGGAAUGCCACACUCACUGGCCGGACCACGGCAACUGCAUGCUUUAGUUCAUCCUCAGCACCCUGAAUCCACCAUGUAUGCAAAUUUAAACAGAUCAGCAAUUUGAAUCUAUCUUUAUGCAAUUUCUUUUCUUUUUCCUUUUCUUUUCGCUAACUCUACAGAUAGUCCACAAAACUUACCAAGGUGAUGUUAAGAGAGUCGGCCGAGAAUUUGCAGGUACCAUCCUCUGCGGUAUAAGGAUAUGCUUCCUCGGUAUCAAGGCCACCAUUGUACUUGAAGUACUCGAAGGCUUGGGAUGGCAGUCCACCACUACAUCCAAAGUUGUUGAAAGCCCCAGCGCAGUCCACGAGCUGCUGCUCAGACAGAGAGAUUUGUUUCCCGAAUGCUUGGUGAUAAGCAGCCUUAAGAGCUCCAGUGAUACUGCAAAAGUUCAAAUUAGAGGUCACCAGCAGCCUAGCAUAAUGACAUUUCAAUGAGUUCCAGAGCUAUAACUGUUGGGGAGAACCCGGGUACAACAAUUCACCACGGCCAAACUCAAUCCAGGAUCAAUUUCUCCCCCGAAGCUAAAUCAACUAAAAUUUUCUUAACCCCAGCAACAACCAGCAAUGUAUAGCCUCACAAAAUGCAAAUAUAACGCCGAAAUGAUAAGUAGACAAAGCAAAUAACGACACCAAGGAUUUAACGUGGAAAACCCGAUGCGGGAAAAACCACGGACCGCCCAAAAACAUCCACUAAUCACCAAGAAUAGCAGGAUACACAAAGUACUCUUCUCUAGUCACACACUAGAGUCUCAACAUCAACAUUACAAUCAUCUUCUUCUCACCACAUAGGUAGACAAACAAGUUUGGAGCAAGAAAACCUUAACCGCAACUGGAGAAUUUGGAGACGGUUCUCGACGAACAAAAACCAUCAACUCGUAGCCCUCGGUCUCACGAACAACAUACUGAAAUUUGAGCCGAUUCCGAUAAUAUUUGGCCUUCGAAUCAAAGCCGCAAAGUUGCAGCGCUCUUCCUCUCUUCUCUUUCUCCUUUGUGCAGUUUUUUUUUUGUUUUCUCUCUCUCUCGUCACUUUUCCGGGAGCACACACCACGUACGAUAACUCCCUUUCUUUUUAUUCUUUUUCUUUUCUUUUGUUCUUUUUUUUUUUUAAUGCUGGUUGGGCCCCACAUGAAGGUGGACCCAGCCAACAAAUCUCCCCCUCCACCUCAUGUGGGAAGAUUUGUCAUGCCCGCUUUUCUUCUACAAGCAUCAAGCUUCAUCACGGGCAAGGCUUUGGUCAUCAUGUCGGACUUAUUGUUGUCGGUAUGAACUUUCUCAAGUAGGAAGAGCUUCUCUUCUAGCUUUUCUCGGAUCCAAUGAUACUUCACAUCAACAUGCUUCGAUCUUGAAUGAAACACCGGAUUCUUGCUAAGAUGGAUGGCACUCAUGCUAUCGCAAUAUAGAACAAACUUCUCUUGCUUCAAGCCCAACUCUUGUAGGAAUUUUUGCAUCCACAAAAGUUCUUUACCUCCUUCGGUAAUAGCAAUAUACUCCGCUUCAGUUGGAGACAAAGCGGUACAUUUUUGCAAUCUCGAUUGCCAUGAAACAGCUCCCCCUGCAAAGAUUAUUAUAAACCCCGAUGUGGAUUUUCGGGAAUCAACAUCACCGGCAUAGUCCGCAUCUGAGUAGCCACUCAACUCAGGCUUUGCAUUUCCAUAACACAAGCAAAGUGUAGAAGUGCCUCUAAGAUAUCUCAUAAUCCAUUUAACAGCAAUCCAAUGCUCCUUACCUGGAUUAGAGAGAAAUCUACUCACAACACCAACUGCAUGAGCAAUAUCCGGUCUUGUACAAACCAUGGCGUACAUCAAACUACCCACGGCCGAUGCAUAAGGAAUUUUCAUCAUCUCAACCUUCUCUUUCUCACUUGAAGGACACUCAUUACUACUCAACUUGAAAUGGCCUGCAAGUGGAGUACUCACCGGUUUACAUGUGCUCAUGUUGAAUCUUUCAAGCACCUUCUCAAUAUACUUCUCUUGAGAUAACCACAGUUUCUUAUUCUUCCUAUCACGAGUAAUUCUCAUGCCUAAGAUUUGCUUAGCCAGGCCUAGGUCUUUCAUUGCAAAAGCUUUACUCAACUCAUUUUUCAAACUCUUGAUUUUCUUGGCAUCAUGCCCAACAAUCAAUAUAUCAUCCACAUAAAGUAGGAGAAUAAGAAAAUCAUUAUUUGAGAAUCUUUUCAUAAAAACACAAGAAUCGGAAUUUGUCUUACCGUAUCCUUAUUCUUCCAUGAAUGACUCAAACUUCAUAUACCAUUGCCUAGGCGCUUGCUUGAGACCAUAUAAACUUUUCCUAAAUCUACAUACAAGGUGCUCCUUGCCUUCAACUUCAAAACCUUCUGGUUGCUCCAUAUAUAUCUCCUCUUCUAGGUCUCCAUGAAGAAAAGCCAUCUUUACAUCAAGUUGUUCAAUUUCUAAAUUUAAACUGGCGGCCAACCCAAGAACAACUCGAAUAGAAGACAUCUUUACAACCGGUGAAAAAAUCUCUUCAAAGUCUAUGCCCUUCUUUUAACGAAAGCCCUUCACAACAAGUCUAGCCUUGUAUCGUGGUUGUAAACUAUUUUCUUCUGUCUUCAACUUAUACACCCACUUAUUUGUGAGUGUUCUUUUAUCCUGAGGCAACCUCACCAAUUCAAAUGUGUGGUUCUCAUGCAAGGAUUUAAGCUCCUCUUGCAUGGCUUCAUGCCACUCAUUCUUUCUUUCACAUGAUAUAGCCUCUUCAUAAGUUUCUGGCUCCCCUGCAUCAGUGAGUAACACAUACUCAUGUGGCAAAUAUUUUUGAGAAGGCCUACACUCUCUUUCAGAUCUUCUAACUUGAGGUAGGAUAAAUUGCUCUUCCUCAGCUAUUUCACUUGUGUCAGCUGAAGAAUCAACAUUAUGUGAGGACUCACCAUCUUCACGACUUCCUUGCACUUCUCCCCCAUAAUUUCUAUCAACAUUAGAAGGAUUUGGGCUGAAACUAAUUGAACGUUGAGCUGUAUUCUUUGGUCUCUCCACCUUGUCAAUGUCUUCAAUAGUUUGAUACUCACAAAACACCACAUCUCGACUUCUAAUGACUUUCUUUGCAACUGGAUCCCAUAACCUGUAGCCAAACUCUUCAUGUCCAUAACCUAAGAAGAUACACUGUUUAGACUUGUCAUUAAGCUUGGAUCUUUCAUCUCUUGGAACAUGCACAAAUGCCCGACAUCCGAACACUUUUAGAUGGCUAUAGGAAACAUAUUUGCCACUCCAAACUCUUUGCGGAACAUCCCCCUUAAGAGGAACCGAUGGAGAAAGAUUUAUCAAGUCUAUUGCUGUUCUUAUCGCUUCACCCCAAAAUGACUUAGGCAACUUCGCAUGAGAAAGCAUACACCGAAUUCGAUCAUUAAUUGUCCGGUUCAUUCUCUCUGCCACUCCAUUAUGAUGUGGUGUUUUCGGAACAGUCUUCUCAAGCUUGAUACCAUAAUCCUUGCAAUAGUGUUCAAAUGGGCCUCUAUAUUCACCACCGUUGUCAGCCCGAACACAUUUCAGCUUAUUCCCGGUUUCUCUUUCCACAUUGACAUGAAAUUGCUUGAAAGCCUCAAGCACCUGAUCUUUAGAUUUCAAAGCAAUAGCUCACACUUUUCUAGAACGGUCAUCAAUAAAUGUCACAAAGUAUAAUGCACCUCCAAGAGUUCUAGCAUCCAUGCAACAAACAUCAGUGUGAACUAAAUCAAGUACAUUUAAUUUCCUGUGUGGAGAGGAACUCUGAAAUGAGAAUCUAUGUUGCUUACCAGUCAGACAGUGAGUGCAUUCCUUUAGAUUUUUCUCUUUCAAAGGUAAAAGGUUCUUUCUAGCAAGAGUUUCAAGUCCUUUCUUGCUAGGAUGACCCAACCUCAUAUGCCAUAAAUCAACCAAUGAAUCCUCCACUGCAUUUACCUCUUCUUUAAUCAAGUCAGCUUGCAUGGUGUAGAGAGAGCCUGUCUUCUUACCUUUUGCCACUACCAUGGAACCUUUAGUCAACUUCCAUUUGCCAUCAAAGAAUGAAUUACAAUAACCAUCAUCAUCCAAGGCACCCGUAGAGAUCAAGUGAAGUUGAAUAUCCGGAACAUGUCUCACAUUUUUCAAAAGCAAAUUACAUCCGAUAUCGGUUUCCAAAUAAACAUCUCCCAUGCCAAUAACCUUGGAAACAUCACUAUUUCCCAUCCUUAUGCAACCAAAGUCACCGCUGCGAUAAGAAGCAAAGUAAUCACGCCGUGAGGUGACAUGAAAAGAAGCUGCGGAAUCAACAACCCACAUAGAGUCUUGGCAUGUAAAAUUCACAUAUCCGUCAUCACAUACAAACACAAUAUCGCCAUCGGAUGCAACCGCCGUUGUAGCUUGUUUCUCUUCUUUCUUUUGAUCUCCAUUUCUAUCAUGGAAUCUAUCUCUCUUUGGCAACCAACACUCUUUUGCAUAAUGUCCCAUUUUGCCGCAAUUAUAACACUUGACACUCCUCCUCGGUCUUGAUUUCGACCUUCCUCUUGACUUGCCUUGGGUAUCAUUUCUUUGAAACCUUCUUGAUUGACUUCUCCCCCUGUUUUCUAUAACAAGAGCAUCCGAUGUAGAGGCAUAAUUCAAGCCUUUUCUUCUUGUUUCUUCAUUGAACAAGCUUUCUUUAACCAUGCUCAUAGAAAGCACACCAAAAGGAGCCGAGUUAUUUAAUGCCACAACCAAGGUAUCCCAACUAUCAGGAAGAGUACCAAGUAAUAAGCAUGACUGCAAUUCAUCACCAAGAUCAAUCUCAAGAUUUGUCAAUUGAUUUACAAUAUCUUGAAAUUCACUCAAGUGUUCCGCCAUGUUACUCCCCUCAUUGUAUCUCAAAUUCACAAGUCGCUUAACUAGAAGAGCUUUGUUUUGUGGAAUUUUUCUCUCAUAAAGAUCUUGUAAUUUCUUCCACAAAGUAUCUGCCCUCGUUUCUUGAGCAACAUGAUGAAAAACACUAUCAUCAAUCCAUUGUCGGAUAAACCCAACUGUUUUCCGAUUCAUUCUCUCCCAUUCUUUGUCUUCCUUAUCUCCUUUUGCUUCAUCACCCUCAAUAGGAUCAAAUAAGUCUUUGCAAUAUAACACAUCUUCCAUCCAAGGCUUCCAAAUAGAAUAAUUCGAGGCAUUUAACUUAAACAUGGUGCUGCUGGUUUCUUCCAUUUAACACUAAAAUUCAACCUGGCUCUGAUACCACUUGUUGGGGAGAACCCGGGUACACCAAUUCACCACGGCCAAACUCAAUCCAGGAUCAAUUUCUCCCCCGAAGCUAAAUCAACUAAAAUUUUCUUAACCCCAGCAACAACCAGCAAUGUAUAGCCUCACAAAAUGCAAAUAUAACGCCGAAAUGAUAAGUAGACAAAGCAAAUAACGACACCAAGGAUUUAACGUGGAAAACCCGAUGCGGGAAAAACCACGGACCGCCCAAAAACAUCCACUAAUCACCAAGAAUAGCAGGAUACACAAAGUACUCUUCUCUAGUCACACACUAGAGUCUCAACAUCAACAUUACAAUCAUCUUCUUCUCACCACAUAGGUAGACAAACAAGUUUGGAGCAAGAAAACCUUAACCACAACUGGAGAAUUUGGAGACGGUUCUCGACGAACAAAAACCAUCAACUCGUAGCCCUCGGUCUCACGAACAACAUACUGAAAUUUGAGCCGAUUCCGACAAUAUUUGGCAUUCGAAUCAAAGCCGCAAAGUUGCAGCGCUCUUCCUCUCUUCUCUUUCUCCUUUGUGCAGUUUUUUUUUGUUUUCUCUCUCUCUCGUCACUUUUCCGGGCGCACACACCACGUACGAUAACUUCCCUUCUUUUUAUUCUUCUUCUUUUCUUUUGUUCUUUUUUUUUUUAAUGCUGGCUGGGCCCCACAUGAAGGUGGACCCAGCCAACAAUAACUGUGUCAUAUACUACGGAGAGACAAAUAUAAAUUUAAAAGAAAAUAAAGAAAAACCUGAAAGUCCAGCAAGAUCCACAGUGCCCCUGAUCUUUAAUUGGGCUUACAAUGCCCUUUUCUCUCCAGUCUUUCUGCACAUAUGAAGGAUUGGAAGAAAUUGAAUAUCUAAUAUUGACAUAGGUCUUAAUCUUCAAUGAUUAGCUAAUAGAUUCUACAGCAAUCAGCAAUCUAUUCCUAGGUCUCAUGGGAAGCGUUGAAACCCUGAGCGGGGGAAUGAUCGUUUCAGCAAGCAUUUUCAUUUGGCAAACAAGUGAACAAAAAAGUCCAGUCGACAUCAUGGAUGAAGCUAAUGGAUUUUUGGUACUAUAACUGAACCGUGUUUGACAAGAUGCUCUCUGUUGGUUGCUACCCUGAUGUUGCUACCUUUACUUCCUUAAUUGAUGGGCAUUGUCGAGUGGGGCAGGUGAAUGAGGGCUUGAAGCUUUGGCGGCUGAUGUCUGCUAGGAACAUAUCACCCAAUGCUUAUACCUUUUCAGUACUUAUCAACGCAUUAUGUAAGGAUAAUAGGUUGCACGAUGCUCGUGAAUGUUUAAAACAGUUGAGGUGGACGGAUAUUGUCCCAAAACCAUUUAUUUACAAUCCAGUAAUGGAUGGGUUCUGCAAAGCAGGUAACGUAGAUGAGGCAAACAUAAUAUUGGCGGAGAUGGAGGAGAAGGGAUGCAGACCUGAUAAAUUGACAUUUACAAUUCUCAUCAUUGGGCAUUGUAUGAAGGGGAGAAUGAUAAAAGCAAUGAGAAUUUACUAUAAGAUGCUGUCGGUUGGUUGUGCUCCUGACAGCAUCACAGUCAAUUCUUUUGUCUCUUGCCUUUUAAAGGCUGGGAUGGCUAAUGAAGCCUUUCACAUAAGGCAAACUGCCUUGGAGGGCCUGAAUUUGGGUCUAUCCUCUUUAAAUAGGGCUGUUCCUGCUACAAUGAAUGCAGACAUUCUUGUGGCUGUUUGAUGGAAGGUUGCCAUGUGCUGGGCUUCAAUUUUUUGCGGCUCGACUGAUUGAGUGAUGUCCUUCCACCGUCAUACAUCCUCGCAGUUGUAUAGCUUCUUGCACGAAUCAGUUAUGAAGCUGUAAGUAAUCUGGCCGACUCGUUAUUUGAAAUUAGUAAUAUAAUAAUUCUUGUUGUGCUAUUUGCGAAAGCUACCGAAUGUUCAUCAUUGUCGUUGUCGUCAUUAUGAUUAUUCUUCUUUGCUGGUGCUACAUUUAGAGAAUAUUGCGGUUUCUUAUUUGCAUUAAUGGAUGCAUGACAAUGGAUGCUACUAUCUGUCCUGCUUGCCUCCAAUCAUGUGCUGUCCUGAUUAAAGAUUUGGACACGUGUUUAGUUUCACUUUCCAUGCUCUUAAAACCAUGGUGCACACGAUCUCACUCCUUGCUUGGUUGAACCCACCUCAUUGCAAUCUUACUAUUUUUUCUCUUUUACUUAGCAUUCGACGGUCAGUUGCUCCAUCACAUCAUCGAUCUUGCCAAAGUCUUCACAUAAAUUGGCAAUAAGCAACUGGUGCCAUCACCUCCUGCUGGAUUAAUGAUCCUUGUGAUUUUGAUAGUGUGGAUGAUUCAAUUAGCGAACUGCUGACUAAGCUUGGAGAGUCGUUUUUCUCUUUUUAUUUUUGGGGAUGUUUAUCAGUAUUGAGGUGCUGAUGUUUUUCUUUGUCUGGAAAAUAAUGUGUAUACUUAUUGUGUGGAUGAUUGCACACUUGUUUUUAUGAAGAAUGAAAUGCACAGUAGGAUUUGCAGAAUAAUGUCCAUCAGUUUUUUUAGAGUGGACGUGCUUACCGACUUUGUUUUCAUCUUUGUUGGUUCUCAGGCUGGGAGGUAGUUCAAUCUGUCCUGGGGCAUGGAAAGUGGUUUGAUGUUGUGAAGAGCUUAUGCACAUCCAGUACAGCAACAUCAGGACUCGGGAGGUAAUACCUGGCAUCACAGCUCAAUUAUGCAGAGAGCUGGAGACAGUUGUUUCGUGUAUAGUAGAGAGAUUUUGAUAGCUAUCUAGAUGUCCCCAUGGAUCAGAAGUCCAAAAUGGAGACUUCUAGCAUCCAAGUCGAAAGUCUCUGGCUUAUGCAUCACUAAAGAGUGAGAUGAUCAGUAAUGAACAAUGCCCUCAGGAAAAAUGAAACGCAGCUGCUAUUGCAAGGCCUUAAUGGUCAUUAGCUUUCUAGAUCCUUUAAUCCUCUGCUCAUUUUAAAUGUAAAUAUCCGCUGUUUUUUAUCAUGCAAAAUAAUUUGUCGGCCUCCCAUUAAUAUGCAAAGGAGGAGAAAUUUUAGCAAGGUCUAGCGAAGGGAUCGAUUUUUGGGUUAUGUUUCAUCGUAAGCUAGAAGGGAAAGGAUCCAACAAUUUAUAUUCUUUUUUUGACCACAUUUAAUCUCACUCUAGGAAGUUAUUAAAUUAUCAAAGGUUUGGUACAAUUCUUUUUCCUUGGGUAAAAGAAUGAGGCAUAUUUCACCAGUCUCUCUCUCUCUCUCUCUACUCCCGAGCUGUAAUUUAUUUUGAUCGAUCGAUCGAGUGGAAUAUGAUAUAACAGAUGAAAAGAGAACUAUGAAGAUCGCGAUUUGAGAGCUUUCGAGGUUUGCAUGCGCCAACAGGGCCAUUACACCCUUACCUAUUGUUGAAUGGGAAGAUAUCACGAAGGAUAUUCAUGUAACGGACUUUAACCCGGUAUUUUGCCAUAAGUCAAUUUCUGUAAGGAUAUGAAUGUUAGCUAAUCUCCGUUAGUAGUUGGGGCUCGGGAAUGGCUGGCGGAGGUGGCCGGCCACAGGCAAAGGCCGUGAUGCCCUCGCCGGCCUUCAUCAGAGGGCCACACGAUCCACUGCUGGUUGCUAAUUUUCCUUUUCACGUAGAGACACUAGAAAAAACCUUUCUCCGCGAGCCAAGAAGAGGGCUUUUUUGUUCUGUCCUGCACAAGAAAAGAUCUUCGAGGGUCCCCACUUCACGGGCUUAUCGAGUAACGGUCGCCGGUUUCUGAAGGAAGGAACCAGGCUUACUCCAGGUUGUUAAAUGCCGAUCUCUUUGGGUCUAAGAAAAGUAUAAAAAAAGUUCUAAACCUAUUACAUUAAUAUUAGUUCAUUUUAAAAUUUUUUAAUUGGAGCAAAGUCCUAAACAUUUUCACAUUGAUAUCAAUUGAAUUAAUUAUAAAAGUAUGAAGAAAAGUUCUAAACAUAUUGCAUUAAAUAUUAAUUCAUUUAAUUUUUUUAAUUGGAUCAUAAUUUUAAACAUUUUCACAUUGAUAUCAAUUGAGUUAAUUCGAUUAAUUUAGGUAAAAAACUGUUGACGUGAAUGUCGGCCGUUCAACGUGACAUGAAUAAUAGUAAUGUAUACAUUUUUUCAAAAAAAAAAAUUUGAGAAAAAAAGAAAGAAAAAAGAAAUAAAGAAAUUCAAAAAUUAUUAAAAAAUUAUAAAAAGCCCAUUCAGUGUCAUCCGUGCAAUGUAGGGUGGGUGUCCACGUGAGCAAUUUCUAAUAUAAAUUGGCAGGAUAGACUUAAUUGGUAUUAAUGUGAAGAUAUUUAUGACUAAAUUAGUCUAAUUGAAAUGUUUAUAAUUAUAUUGAUACCAAUUAAAUAAGUUUAGGACUUUUUUGGUACUUUUUUUACCUUCAUUGUGUCCGGCAAAGGCCUGGGAGGGUUGACGAGGGCAUUCCAGCCCUCGCUUGUGGCCGGCGAUCUUCGUCAACCAUCGCCUAGGCUGGAUUGAUAGGGGGAAAUAUAUAAAAAAAAAAAAGGAAAUAAAAAAGACAAAAAGGGAAAAAAAUAGAAAAAAAUGUAGAAAAAUUUAUAAUUUUUUUUUUUAUAUAAAAUUUGUCUACGUUAGCGCUGACUAUCUUAAUAGUUGUAUCAUGUAGGAAGGCUAGCCUCUACUUCGGAGAUUGCCGGUUUAAAUUGAUUAAAAUGAUUAUAUUGGCAAAUCAUCAAAAUGUUUGAGACUAAAUUGAUCAAAUUGAAAUGUUUAUAAUUGAAUUAAGUCCCGUACAAUAAGUUUGAGACUUCUUAAAUAAUCAUCCCCCUUAUUUGCAUGCCCUGUUAUUAAUCACUCUAUCAACAUAUUAAAUUGGAAAAUCUUUGGUACUAUUCUUGUUUCUCUGGAGAAAGAAUGAGGCAUAUAUUAUGAGCUUCUCUCUCCGGCGCCGUAACCCUAGUCGAUCGAGCUCAUGGGAAAUGAUAAAUGCAAGAAAAAGAGGACCGUGACGAUUGCAAUUUGAGAGCCUCACAGUGUUUCCAGGCACCAAUAGGACAAGUCAAUUACUGUAACGGACGACCAAAAAAGAAAAGGAAAAAGAAUUACUGUUGUGCAACAUGUGCACAAUACGAUGUAAUUCGAAUUAGCAUGUUAAGGAAUGAGGAUAUGAAUGGCGGCUAAUCCAACUAUGAACUUUUGAUUAUCUUUGCAUGUGUAAUUUGCCCUGCGAAUAAAAGAUGUUGGCUACUGUCUCUUCUGGUGCAAUCAAAGCUAUUAUCACCUCUCCUAGGCUAUCUAAACAUCGCAUGGUCAGUGUUAGCAUGUGUGUAAGACCGUGCAUUCAAUCUCUACUGAGAAAAUAAGCGAGAGCGUUUGGUUCGAGUGAAAUUUUGCCCCUUCAAUCCCAUGCCGUUUUAAUGGCGGAAGAAUCAUAUUUUCCUUUGCAGCAAUGCGUUAUUCUUGCAAUGAUAGGGUUUCAUGCCAUGCAAACAUAGAUUGGCAUUUAUAAGGUCUUCGUUGACAUAACAGUAACCAUAUGAAAUUACAAUUGUCCCGAAGAUUAUUUUUGUUCGCUAAAGCAUAAACCCUUCUAUGCUACAUUACAGUACUCAACCUUGAGGUGAAGCAAAUAUGUCUCGAAUCACUUGACGCACGAGUCCAUAGGUUCUCUAAAAACAAUCUAGGCCACAAUAGGGUAUGAUGCACAAGUAGCGAUACCUGCAAUUUGAGAUCAUAGAUAGACGAGGACGGAGUAACUUAGUAGAAAGUCAGGCAUAGAAGGAAUGGACAUGGAGUAAAACAACUGCGAGAAUUUCAAAAGCAUAGUUAUCCUAGCACCGUUUUGUUCAAGUAGUUCUACCAAAACCAAAAGGGGGAACUUACCACACAUGUUCUUCCCCAUCUUCACCUUGCCGUAUCCUUUGUCGCCCCAGCUCUCUCCCCAGGAAUUCUUGAUAAGCCAGUAUGGAACACCGUUUUUAACUCCAUAACCAACAGCGAGAAUAGCAUGGUUCACAUCCUGAUAUAAUACAUUCAGUUUUCAUUAGGUACGAGCAUGAGUAUUGCCUUACAAGCAAAACUUCCUUAGCAGCAAGGAAUCAAAUUAUAUGGAUCUUGACAAGAUAGAAGCUCAAAAUUAAAUGUCAUGGUUGAGAUUUAUCGAUGUAAUUAAGAAUAAUAAUGCGAAAAAUAGAAGUGUGGAAUUUGCACGUAUUUCUAUAUAUAUUAAUGAAGAGUGAAACAAAUUAUUUAUAGGCUUUAUUAGAUAACUAUUCUAAAAUAAUAUCUCAAUCAAAAUAUGUACAAUCAAAGGGAGAUAGACAUGCAAUAUACAUGCCAUUUGGCUGCAGUAUUCGUGCAAUAUCUUGAGAGAUAUAAAUGAUGAACAAAAUUAUUAAAAUUUCUCCAAUGAUGGAAAUUAUACUGGAGAUAUCUCUAAUUAUCUCCGGCAGAUGUUUAGUGUCCAUAUCAGUGUUGGCAAAGUCAUGCAAGAUGACUAGUGAAUUUUCUGAAGAGGUAAAUCGUUGAUGGCAUUCAAGUACUCAAUUUUUCAAAUUUGUGGCCCUCAAGUGAGCACCGUACCAAGUUUAUGGUAGUGUUCCUUUGAUUUUAUUUGCAAAUGCUCACCAUGGAAGUGCUACCACACGUAUCGCUGGUGUAGACACCAGAAUUUUUGUGAUAAAACUGGAAGCCCUUCACGACCUGGAAUGCCACACUGACUGGCCGGACCAUGCCAACUGCAUGCUUAAGUUCAUCCUCAGCACCCUGAAUCCACCAUGCAUUGCAAAUAUAAACAUAUAGGCAAUCUGAAGCUAUCUUUAUGAAAUUUCCGGAGCUUUUUUUUUUCUUUUCUUCUCCUUUUCUUUUGGCUAACUCUACAGAUUGCCCAUGAAACUUACCUUGGAGAUGUUGACAGAGUCGACAACUCGGACAGCGACCCUGCGAGCCGAGAAUUUGCAGGUACCAUUUCGUGCAGUAUAAGGAUAAGCUUGCUCGGUCUCAAGCCCACCGUUGUACUUGAUGUACUCGAAGGCUUGCGACGGCAACCCACCUUUGCAUCCGUGGUUGUUGAAAUCUGUAGCGCAGUCCACGAGCUGCUGCUCAGACAGAGAAAUUCCUUUGCCGUGUUUUUGGUGAUAAGCAGCCUCGAGAGCUCCAGUGGCGCUGCAAAAGUGCAAAUUAGAGGUCACUAGCACUCCAGCAUCAUGACAUCUCAAUGAGUUGCCAAGUUAAUAAGUUUGUCAUGUACUAGGGAGAGUAACAAGUAUAAAUCUAAGAGAAGAGAAGGAGAAGAAAAAAAAAAAAAAAACCUGAAACUCCAGCAAGAUCCACAGUCCUGGCCUUGAUCUUUAACUGGGCUUACAAUCCCGUCUUUUCUCCAGUCUUUCUGCAAAUAUGAAGGAUUGGAAGAAAAAAAAGAUCUAAUAUUGACACAGGUCUCGCACUUCAAUGAUCAGCUAGUAGAUUCUACAGUAAUAAGCAAUCUAGUCCUAGAUCUCUUGAAAAGUGCCAAAACCUUGAGAUGGAAGAGAGAGAAUAAGUUGUUUCAGCAAGCACUUUCAAUCAGUAAAAGCGAGGACAAGAAAGUUUAGUUGUCAUGCAUGGAGCUAAUGGAUUUUUGUUGCUAUGACUCAAUUACAUAUGAAUGUUUCAAAGAAAACAAAGAGUGUGUUUGUUUCCUGCAACCCCAUUUUGUGGCGUUUGGUUUGCUUAGGAAAAUGAACUAAUAGAAUUAUAAUUUUCUAAUCAACGAAAAAUGUUUUCCUACUAAAAUUUAAAUUCAAGAAAACGAUUUUUCUUUUGAAAGAACCAGAAAAUAUUUUCCAAAAUGUUUUCCAAAUCUUAGACCCCUUGGUUAAUGAAAAUUUUAUUUUUAUAAUUUUUUGUAAAAAAAAAAAUCUAAUUUAUAAUAAUUUCAAAAACAAUUGAUUUUUUAUUUUUUAUUUGAUUUUUUCUUCCUCCUUCUUCCCCUUUCUUCCUCCACCGUUAGCAACCAGCCAAGACAUGGGCGGGUGAGCUCGAGGCUCAAGGCUUGGUUGAUCCAAGUGAGCCCACGCUUGGCCAAGAUUGGCAAACUCGCGACUCGGUCGAACCAAGUGAGCCCGAGCUUAGCUAAGGUCGGUGAGCUCGAGGUUUGGCUGAUCUUGACGAGCUCGAACUUUAUCGAGGUUGGCGAGCUCAUGCCUUGGCCAAUCCAAGCGAGCCUAAGCUCGCCAACCUAAGCUUCGUUGAGGUCAGUGUGCUCAAAGCUUAGCUGAAUUAGGCAAGCCCAAGCUUGCUUGGGUCGGGCAAGCCAUGCUCCGUCAUGACCGACAAACUCGCGACUUGCCCAGUCUCGGCGAGGCAAAGCUAUGGCUGUCGUCAGCCGGUAGGGGCGGAGGAAGGGAAAAAAAGAGAAGGAAAGAAAAGAAAAAUAAAUGAGAAAAAAGAAAAUUAAAAAUUCCAAUUUUUAAAAAGAAAAAUAAUAAAAGAGAGAAAUAAAUAAUAAAAAAUUCAAAUUUUAAAAAAUUUACAAGUUUGAAUUUCUUUGGCAUGAAAUAAAGUUGUGAGAUUAAAAUCAUUUUCCAAUAAUAUCCAAACAACAGAAAACAUUCUUGAUUAUAUAUCACUAAACAAAGAAAAACUAACCGUAUAUUAUUGAGUUUUUUCGUAAAACACACGCACCCAAAAAUAUGAUGCGGAUGCAAGGCAGCUAGUGGUAGCUGAGUAACUAUUUUGCUGUAAUUUAGCAGAGAAAAUUGCCAGUCGAUACAGAAGACACCACACAGCUAAAAGCAGUACAGCUGCUAGUCUAAGUCAAGUAGUUUUAUCUCAUUGACCGAAGGAUGAUACAUGCAAAAAGCUUCCGAUUGAGGCAUCGCCGUGAAAAAUACCGUUUCGGGAAGAACAUUGUCGGGAAGAACAUCGUCGGUGAGCAUGUGGCUGCCCUUGGUGGUGGCAGAGCACUUUUGAGCACCUCCCAGUUUGUGCGUCUUGAACUCCUCCCAACUCCAGUCAGCAUACUCUGUCAACCCAUCAAGCACAAAUCAAACUCAACGACGACAGCAACGACGACAGCAGCAACAGCUAAAAUAUACCAUCUCUUCGGCUUCGGGUUACGAAACAAGUCGAAACGACUAUGACCGAAUUGAUCUUCAGGUCUAAAACAAGAAAUAGAAAAGGAGAAAACGUCAAGAACUGCCACGUACGAUUAACAGCGAGAGUGUAAGGCAAGCCCUUCUGGUUGGUGGAUUGAAUGAGCUUGAGAUUCUCCCCGUAAUUAUGGAACCUCAACUUGAUCUCCUCCGCUGUCUCGUACGUCUUCCCGUGCCUAAACCAAACACCAACAACGCGGAUAAACGACACCAAUCUUUUAUAGAUAACAAAGGCGAAUUUACAAAUCAAGAACACACCCAGAUGAGUGUUAGAGACAAAAAGAAUACUUCUUGAUUUUCAAUAAGGUCAUGCAUGUAAUUAGGAUCAUGUAUUUUUUUAUUGUUUAACAUCAAAAUAGGCUUUUUCUUGAUAGCACUCUCCUAUUGUGACAACAGUCUUCUAUCAGAUAGCUUGCAUAGUCACCCUGACGUCAGCUAACUCUCUCUUUAUCAAGUCUCGCAUUUUUUGGAUCUCUUGUCUAAACUAAAAUUGAUGUCAUUUUUUGUACAUAUCCGAUAUUUCAACUUAGACGAUCAUCUAAUAAAAUUUAUAGGUUCAUGUACUCUUCAUUGUCUAACAUCCACAACUCUAUUUUUCGCAUUAUUCUUUUCUAAGUGGGGUGUUGAUAUCUAACCUUUGGGCAAAGUCUACGAAGGAGCGGGCGGGAUGGGCCUUGCCAACGGUUUGGAGGAUGGAGGACUCGAGGUCGGCGCCCUCGAAGCCAGCUGCUGCGGCGGAGCAAGCGGUCACGAGGAGGAGGAAGGAACACAGAAAUCUAGCACCAGCCAUUCUCUCUCUCUCUCUCUCCCCUAGUGGUUUCCACAAACUGUGUGGGAGUUCGGAGAUGGAACUGAGAGAACUGAGCGGAGAUGGACGGGGAUCUUUAUACUUACGGAGAAGCGACAGUAAGUCAAGAAAGACACCGAGCAGGCAAUGGCCCGAUUAGGGCUCAUCACGCGUGUAAACCCGACUGGGUCUGUGUCUCACAGCCCAAACGAAAGGAAAAGAAUAGGCGAUUUGUUCUCUUUUGUGCUUGUAUUUUCCAAAGCGUUUGGAGGGCCAUGACGCGGAGUCAAUCUCCUUCUGACAGAUUGUAUUGUCCAACGUGUCACGACAUAUAAAAAUGAAGUCCAAGAUCGUCCAUUGGGAAAUAUCUUGAAGGCCAUAUGCAUACAUGCAAUAUACUUUACGCAAGGAUUACCACAAGAUACACGUCUUCACGAGAUGAUUUUUACGAGUUUGACAGGAAAGUAAUCCAAAGCCUAGUCUCACAUAAGUUUGGAAUUCACUAUCACAUGAUUGAGUGGAGCUACAUAUAAGAAAAGAAAAUGCCAUAUCGAAUCGAGCUCGAGUUCAGUAUUGUGCCGUGAAUAUUACGUUGGAAAUCAAGUUGGAGCAGUGGACGUUGCCCGAUUCUUUGAUCGCAUAAUAUCGAAGUGGAUUACGACAGCAAGUCUUCGCAAGAGGAGACCAACUCAUGUCGUGAAGUCCAAGUCUUCGCAAGAGGAGACCAACUCAUGUCGUGAAGUCCAAGUCUUCGCAAAAGGAUCAUUUUCUCUUUCGUUUUCUUGGCCCAGGGAAUCUAAGAAUCGGUCAAAAAUCUAGAGAAGCAUACGGAAUUGAGCUCUCUUUGUUGAGAUGGUCCUACAAGUAAAGUCAUGGAGACAGGGAAUCUUUAUAUUUUCCCAUUUUUGGACUUUGAACGGGUCUGACACAUUCUUUUAGAAGACGCGAAAUAAAUAGAAGGAAUCCGGUUAAAGAUAAUAAUAAAUUUAAACCUUACCGUUGACAUCUAAAUUUUGACUAAAUACUUCAAAUUAAUUUGCAUAGAUAACUAGGGAUCAAUUUGACCCCAACAAAAAUAUUUUCUCGCAUCACCUAGGUCUUAAUUUCCAUUAGGUUUUAUAUUCUAUUUUUAUUUUUUAUGUUUGGAUUAAUUAAAAAAUAAUAACAAUAAUCAUAGUAAUAAUAAAAAAAAUUAAAAAACAAAAAAAGAAAAUGGUUUAUGGGGCUGGGCGUGAAAGCCCAACCCCUUCUUUUUGUUCUUCCCCGUGCGGGCCCCCAGGGCCCAGCCUUUUCCUUCCUGGCCCGGCCCCCUAAUCCCUUGUCUUCUUCCUCCCCAGUCUCUACAACGCACGCGUAGAGGAGUUCCGAUGCGCAUGAGACCGGGUGGAGGAGGAGACGGCGAUGUACGGCGCAGCAGAUGGGGACACGCCUUCAAUGCAAAGCAGAGCACACAAGUGGGCGGCUGAGGUGACGUCGGUUCGGCCGCACCAAGGUCGAUCGGCGUGCCAAGAACCGCCGGCCGAAGUUCUGUCAACCGACACCCUUCCGCCUAUAAAUAGGGCUACCGACGGAAGGCUAAGGACACGAGUGGAGAGAGAUCGAAGGCAGCUAGCUUCAAGGACUUCCCCCGAGAGACAUCAAGGGAGGACCGAGAGCCAGCAAGCCGGAAAUCGAAGGAAGGGAGGUCAGCCGGAGAGGGAGGGUAAGACAUGAGCGUGGGGGUUCCGGAUCUGAGAGAGAUCUGGAGAUCGGAGUCGAGAGAGGGCGGGAGAAGUUCAGUCCUAGAUCUGAGAGAAAGAGGGUCGGGAGUGUGAGCCCCUCUUCGCCGCAUGCAGCACUGGUUGCUUGGCCCAAUGCCUCCGCCACCAAUGACGCCAUUUGCUCGCAACGUCGUUGCUGGCAUUUGGAUCCAGUGAGCAGGGCCCUAUCCUCGCCCCUUUUUCGCACAUACCACGCCAAAGCUUGUGACCGUCCACCUUGCGUGAUCUCCAGCUUCGACCAUUCGUCGUAGGCUGCCAUGGUUUUUUCGUUGUCUACGCCAUGAGACUCGUUGCGAUCUUAGGUCUCGAUGAGGGCGUUCUUCUCUCCUCCCUGCUAGCGUUUCCUAGGUGCUCGGAGAAAUGUCCAAGAGAGUCCAUGCUUAGACCCUCGAGCUUGGUACCUACGACGAUGACGGGCGAUGUGGUCGGCAAUGGUGGCUGGUCGGGCGGAGGCUGACUUGUCGGUUUAGGGCUGGUUGAGGCAAUGUCGGCGGAGGCCCAAGCUCAGACUGAGACGAGCUCAGCCACCUUCACCACAGAUCGUCGAGAACAAGGGCAUGAGGGAGCCAGGUCUGCAAAGGGGAUGCCAAGUUGCCAAUCGACGGGCGUGGGUCGUCGUUCGGGUAGGAUUUGGUCAUAAUUGGGUUGCUAACCGGAUCGGACGCACGGGUUUUAGUCAGGUAGGGUUUUGGACAAUUUAGGUCAGACAUUUUUUUUGGAAUUUUAAGUGAGUUCUGGGCUGGGCCUGUGUUUUAGGCCCAUUCGGGCCAGUCGUUGGUGAUCUGAGUCGGUCCCAACUUAGGAAUUUGACCCGGGUCGUUUUUUUAUAAUAUUCCAUUAUUAUAAUAAAAAUAAUAUUUUAAAUAAUAAAAUCAAACUAUGCUAUGUUUUCCCAAAAAAAUAGAAAAAAGUAAAAAAAAAAUUAUAUUUUCAAAAAAGAUCAAAAAAUCCAAAAAUAUUUUUUAUUUUCAAAAAAUAGAAAAAUACCAAAAAAUAAGUUUUUCCUCCACAAAUGCAUGGAAAAUCCCUUGAAAAUCCAAAAAAGCCUUAGGAUUUAAGUAAUAUUAGGUACCGUAAAUGCAUUAGUGAUUAACUAGUGUAAUUAAGUCCCCGGACCUAGUUUUUCUAGUUGUGCAUGAGUGAAAUAUUUCUCCCAGUAUUUUGCUUGGGUUUCUAAUCGACCCACCCCAAAUCAAUUAGUGGCGAUUCCUAAUUAAAAUUAACUUACAGGUUAAAAACUUAGAUCAUAAGUCGUGAAUUGGUGGGUUUGAGAGAGCCCGAGCUAAGCCUAAUAGACUUAGUGAGCCAUUAGCCUCCGCCGUCGCCCGUGCGCUAGGGCACAGAUAAGGAGGUUGUGACAGCAUGACGACUUCGUUGAGGACAAUUUUUUUUGUGGACUUAGGUCUUUUUUAUCUUGUUUGAGCGCUUUAUUAACUUGGUUUUUUUUUUCUUUUGUGCAGGUUAGUAUCUUAGAAAUUAUUUUUAAUUUUAAAAUAAAAUGUCUUGUGAUUAUAAACUGUUAUGCAUGUUUUAAUGUUUUAGCACUGCACGUGGCACACACAACCAGACCACUUGGGCCGCCAUAGGAUAUUUCGGAUUGUGUUAAGAAAGAUACGGCAUUGAACGCGAGACUGCAAUGUAGAUGUUGCCUUUCUUUUCCCCGAAUUUCUUUAGAUAGAGCCGAGGUUAAGAAGAUAUGAUGCCAACGCGAGACUACAAUGGGUAGACACCUUCUUAAUUUCUCUAAACCUUCUUAGUUAGAUAUCGAGUCACACAUAUCAUAUGCAUGUCUAUGUGCUUGCCAUUUUCUUUAAAAGCAAAGUGAUUUCUUUAUCUUUUUUUUACUCAGUCUUUUUUUAUUGGCCCAUGGCAAUUUAUGUCGAUUUUUCGAGUCCCAGUUUAUAUGCGAUGGGAGGAGACGAUAUCUAGUUUAUUUUUGCCCCCAAAGCGAAGCUCUUCAGAUGGUGGGGCCAAUUGGACCAAUUUGCCCAAGAGUGCGUGAAACCCAAAGUUGGUCAUCUUCUAUUGUUGUUCCAAAUCCCUGUUCAUCUUGAAGUCCUACAGGCGAUAGCACAUUUUUGGUGCCCUAGGACAUCCGUUCUUAUGUUUGGUGGGUUCGAGCUAACCCCGACUUUGGAGGAAUACAACAUCAUUAUUAGAAUGCCUUUCGAGAAUAAGUUUGUUAGGCCACCAACAAAUAUUGACUUGUUGCAUGGGUUAACGCGACUUUUAAGAACUGAAGUUCAUGUUAUGAGACAAUUUUUUGAAACCAACCAUAAUACAUGCCCGCUAGUGUUUUUGAUUGCUUGUUUUGAAAAUCAGCCCAUGACUCAAAAAAGUGAGAUUUUCCUCAUAGCAUUUUUCGGAUUCAUCAUUUUCUCUCAAAAAAAAAGAUGCCAUAAGUCCCUCGAUGGCAUGGGUGGUUGAUAAGGUCUUAAGGGGGCAAAAUUAUAUCAAUAUGAUUUUAGCCGAAACAUUCUUGUCCCUCAAUCGUUUUAUAGAAAACAUGGAAAAAAUCACGCGGGCCUCCCCGGAAAUUUUACAGGUCUGGUUCUUUUCUCACCUAAAUGAAUUUUGAUGUCUUAUGCAAUUGUUUGAAAUAAAUGAUUUCGAAAAUCCAUUAUAGAGAUUUAUGGUUCUAGGACCAUACAUUCCUAACCAAAGCUGUUUUAAUUGGAUAAAUUUCCUAAGGAACCCUGCUCCUGACAUAUUCCUAUGGUGUGCUGGUUAGUUCCAUGAAAAGAGAGCUCGCUUUGCUUACAAACGUUGCAAUCCAAUCCCGUUCUUUGGCCUCAUCGGUGCCACUCCCUAUUACCUAUAUAGGGUGGCACGACAAUAUGGAGUCCUUCAGGAGAUCCCGCUGCCUUUCAUGACAAAUAUUUCUUCACUCUUUUUCACCCACCAAAGCCGUGACUAUGUAUUCGAGAUUUUCAUUAUCGAGGAAACAUGGAGCAAGUGCCAUCGCAAAAGGAUCGUGUUACCUGAAGGGCUUGAGGGGUAGGAAAAUGCCUAUCACUCCUCUGAGUCCUACAUCCAUAAUCAUCGUAUCCCGACAAAAUUACGACCAUUGGUCCCUAACCUGACCAACAAAAUCAGUCAACACAAGCAAGUAGGGCAUAUGCAAAGGGAUUUGGGAAUAAGCUAGGUACAUGUUUCAAAGCCAGUUCAAGAAAGCAAACAUUUUUGCAAGAACAAGGCUCCUCGUCGCAUAUAAAAUAGCAGUCAUAUGCCCUCAAGUGUUGAUAUUAUGAAAGUUUUAGUCCCAUUGUUUAGGGACUUCUGUUUAAUACCUAGUAUUUCGUUCUGUCAUUUUAAUUUCAAGUUUAGAUGUCUGAAGUAUGUUGUCUAUGAAGUCCUCUUUUGAUGAAUAAAAAUAGCUGGACUGUUGCCAUGGGUCAAUAUUUAUUUACUCCCGUGCUCAUUCAUUGUUUUUGCAACGUCUGGUAGUCAUGAAUCAUCGACCACCGAUCUCCCACAAAUGGCCUUAAGCUAUAGCAGCUGAUCGAAGCAAUGUACAAAAUCACAUCGCUAAUAUUGAAGACGGUGUCAGAUAAAUGUCCAUUGUCCUUCGACAACUCUCGAGGCAAAUGGAGUCCACUCAGGCUAAGCCCAACCCCGUAAUUGCUUUAAACGCACUUGUGACACCUACAAAUUUGCCAGAGGAUAACCAACAAGACAAACAAUUUGUAAAGAUCAUGAAGAAGCCAAGCCAGUUGUAGGGGUAAGAUCCCAUUGAUCUAUCUAAUUAUGCUUGUGUUAAGAUCUCGGAAGAACUCAAAAUGCCUAAAUGCGAGGGGUAUGCCAAUACAUCUCGCCCAGAAGCCUAUCUGCAUGCCUACCUGGUCCAAAGGAUGAUUUGAUUGUACCAAUCAAAUCUGAUUGGCCUCGCCUUGCGGUGGUACAUUGUAAGGAGGAUUAGUCUCCUUAAGACUUGAGAGAAACUGACUGAUGCUUUAUGCCAAGAAUAUGGCGUUGACAUUGACAUCGACAUUGUCCUGCCUCACAAAGAGCUAAUAUUCACGGAGAGGAAGGAUAAUAUGUUUUUAAGAACAAUUGGCGUGUCAAGGAGGAGCUCGGCCACCCAGUUUGACCUGCAGCCCAUAGAAGAAGAUAUCGAUGUAGCCUUGUAUGAUAAAUAGACGACCGAGUAGUAUCCUAUUACUGAGAAAUUUUCCACUAGGAAAGGCAAGGAGCCUACAGAUGAAGUCAACACCAUAAAACCUAUCUACAACCAAAGCACGGCAAGGCAACUUCCCAAGCUUACCGCAAGAGCUAGGGUCCAAAGAAUGCCGACCCCCAUCAACCUAGAAAGCGAAGCUCUGCCAUCUCCCAGUCCCCUUAACAAACUCAAGCUAGCAAAAUGAAGGGCUUUAUUCAAAAGAUUAGGACCCGGAGUUAAGAAAAGAAAGCCUAAGUAAUUUGAGCCAACACCUGCUGCUGAACGUAGGCAAAAUCAUAUAGCCAAUGAACUGUCACACCUAGAUUUCGAGCAUCCCCUAAGGUAUAAUCCCGAGAGCUACCCGUAUUAUACAUAUGAAAUCAUCCAUUCAUCGAAUGACUGCCUCUCACCCACGCAUAGGGUCCAAAGCCUGUUAGAAGGAGGAACAUUUGUCAUUCAUAGCUUAUCUCCCAAUGAGCUGCUAAACUUGUCACCCGACCAUGAGGAUGACAUAAACACCUUAUCCUUUGUUGGAAAUUUCGACCCGGAAUAAGGCAAUGAGAUGAUCUCGAUAGAGUCCGUUUUUCCUAAAGUAGGAGAAUUCACCACCGCAAUGGAUAUGUAAUGGGAAAACUAGCUGCCUAACCAAGACAUGGCGGGUCCAUCUUGCCUCCAUAGGAUUACGAUUCCCAGAGAAAUGGGGGUAUUUAAUCUCCGCAAGUAUAACGACACGACUUGUCCUAUGACCCACUUGUAAUAUUUCCACGCUAAAAUGAGUCGGCAUUGCAACUGGACGCCAUUCAUGACUCAAGCCUUCCAAGAAAGUCUCACAAGGCCAGUAUUGCAAUGGUUCUUCAUGGCAAGGAUUUACCUCAUGAGGGAUUGGAAUGAGCUGUUUUCCGCAUUCUUGCAUCAAUAACAAAGCCAUAUUGGAAUUGAACUGCCUUGCGAAUAUUUGGUUCGUAUCAAAAUAAGACCAAUGGAGGAUUUCCAAGCAUAUGCAGAAAGGUGGGAGGUCUUCAUGAUGCAAACCAACCCUCAACUGGCCGAAGAAGAAAUGAUGAAGCUAUUCAUAAAGGCUUUACCCUGCAAGCAUUGUUUUUGGUUGCAUGGAUUGCACUUCCGUAACUUCAAUGAAGUGGUCUUCUCAUGCGAAUAUUCAAGUCUACUAGAGACAAAGAACUCAAAGGCACUUGAUUUUAGGACCAACACUAUCAAAGUGCUCAUUUUCAUAUGAGUUUUCAUGGGUUUUGGUUGUUUUUAUGAUCUGUUUUCUAUCUUGUCUAGUAUGUUAUUGUUGCAUUUUCCAUUCCAGCAAUUUAACUUCACUUAGAAUGUACAUUUCUAAUAUUUUGAGAGCAUGAGGUGGUACUCCAAAUUGACCUGAUGAUGCUAUCCAACCAUGUGAAGAAAAUAUCUUCUAAGGAGAAUACUAAGGACUAGGCUUCCUCAUGCUUCCCCCCCCCCCCCCCAUAUAUAUACUUUUGAAAACAAAAAAUAUUUCAUUACCAAAAUUUUUUGUCAAAGCAAGAUCUUGUUUAUGUUUCUGACUUAUUCACUUCGUAUCUCAGAGCAUCAUCCCCUUUACUUGGCAUGACAGGGGGCAUUCGAAAUUGGCAUGUCAUGUGAACUUGUAGAUUCUAAAACACUUAUUCAAGAAAACAUGGACAAACAGAAAAGAUCAUCCCAUCUCAAAAAGGGUAUAUCUUAUUUCCUGAACAUAAUGACGUCAUUUCUCUUCUAUUUACAUGAAAUGAAAGAUAGGAUGUAAUAGGCACAAGCAUAUACUUUCCAAUCGUAAUAGCUUAGGGACAGGGCAGCCCGAGAAUCCUCCACCAUGUUGUUCUUAGCCUUUUGCGAACCAUCCCUGGAGCUCUAUUGCACUCCGCCUUGCAUCUGCACAACUCUGCCUCAAGUCUGAGCAAUGUCUCAUUUGCAAGACAUACCCCAAGAGGCUAGACAUUGCAGUCUCAUUGAUGGGAUAUUUAACUUUGACAAGCCUAGAAAUAUAGGGAAUGAAUUCUUUCUCUUCAUUUGAAUUGGCUACUAUCAACAGGGAGAAAAUCCAGAUAGUUGAAGCGAUCUCUAGCCCCCUAUUCCAAAUGAUGACUUUAGAAUUUGGAAAUCUCACUUCUUGUUCCAGACGCAUACUCUCCCGAGAAGUGAUUGCCAUAAAAAAACUGGAGGUUUUGAUUGUCCAUCUCAGAUUCCAUGAAAGUUUGAGGUACAUGACUUUGCCUAAGGCUACUAAUGUUCAUAUGAUUAAAGAUAGGAGAAAAAUUCCACAAUUUGAAGGCGUUAAAGAUUAAGCAACGACCAUCAAUCGUGCAUACAUGGCCGCGAAUGAGAAGGGCCAAUCAAAAGAGAUGUCGAACUGCGUCAAGACAAAAUGACUGUCAUCGACAUUCGAAUAUCCCUAGGAGUAAUCAAAUACAAACUUAGAAAAAGGGUAAUUUGGUAUUAUUUCCAAUAUUCCCCCUCUCUAACAUUGCUUUGACAUAGUUUAUUUGUUUCACAGAAAGCAUUGGGAUCCAAGAACCAAACUCAAUGGAAUAAUUUGAGCAAAUCAAUACUGGCCAAGCAGACACAUGAGAGUGACCUAUAUCGAAUUCACCUAAUUUAGUGUAAAAAGACAUGUCGCCCCUGAGUGGGUUUAGUUAAAUAAAAAAAGAAGUGCCCUACAAGCACCACCAGUGCCUCGGCCCGGUGGUAUGGGGAUUGAAGUGGUCCAGACGUGAUCGCGGGGUUCGAUCCUUGAAAACGGUAGCUAGUUGCCAUGUGUAAAAACUAAUUUUUUUUUUUUGCUUUCCUGCGAUUGCAAAAAUGAGAGAAUAAUUGACCUAACGAAAUGAAAGAUGUAGGACUUCGUGUCCUUCUCAAACUUCAAGUCUAUUAAAUCAUUAACCAAACCAAGGAAGGGUAAUGUUGUAUCGCUCCCAAUUGUUCAACUCCUCAAAGAGCCUUGACUAACAUGUUCCCUUUUAUCUGUUGUAGGAUCACCCGACAGUCAAAGAUACGGAUAACAAGUCAAUGAGAGGCACGUCGGACUCAGAUAAGCUCUCCUAAGUGAAAUAGCGUUCCAAGUAUCGCCAUGGUAAAUGACAGAAAUCCUUUAGGCCUUAACUGACAUUUGAUUUUGGCCCUAUUGAUUGAUCUAUUUUUGCAUACUCUUUUUUGCAUGGGCAAAAACAAAGGUGCUUGGUAAAUUAAUGAUUAGAUUCCUAACCCCCGCUGAUCAUUCUUGUGUCAUCUCCCUAUUAAAUAGGGACAGUUCGUCAACACUCAUUUGUGAAUAACUCCUUUGAUGUUCAUAAUUUAACAUAUUUAUAAAUACAAUUAUGUUAAAUAAAUAUCUCUAAUGCUGUUAAUAAAGUUUCUGAGUAAAAUCAAUUAUUUGUUUUAGGAGUACAAAAUUCCUCAUAUUUAAAAUACUCCAUGCCUUUUCCAAACAGAUUUUGCAUAAUGAUUUUGUUCGUCUAAAUCACUGAUUCUACUAAGGAUUAUCAAAAUAGACAGCUAACUGAAGGAUAUGAGAUUGAUCAAGCAUGCUAAAUGAGGUGCAUCAGGAUGAUGAAAGGCAAUCCAUAUCCUACACUCCAUCCCCUAUUUAUACACUUGUGAGAUGAGUGUAGAAAAUUCCAUGUCUACAAAGUAAAGGGUUCUCUCGUGAAUAGUACGAUAACCAAGGUAAUGAGGGGCAUUUCACUUCUCUACCCUAAACACCAUAGGUUAUCCAUUACUGAGCCCCAUACACUUAUGAAGUUUCUUUCAUACCCCUAUCAAGAACCACCCCACACUAGAGCAGAGUAGAGGCGAGGCGACAUCACAAGGUGAGAAAGGGGAUAGAUAUUUUUUCACUCGCAUUUGCAUCAAUCUUUGGGUGUCUUUAUUGCAUAUUGAACACUCACAAUAAUUUAAUUGCCAUAGAAUGAUGAAGAGCAAUUUUCUCUCUAUCCUAGGCACUUGUAUCCAUUGUACAGCCUAAUUGAGUUUGUAAUAUCACUCUCCCAUUAAGGUUGGGCAGAAAUUACUACCAUUUAAGCAGCAUGAUUUGGAGUGCUGACUGAAGAUGAAGACCCAAGAGUCUAGUAGCAGUGUUUUGUUUGAACUUGCCUAGGCCAGUUUUUCAAACAACAAGAAUGAAAAACUAGGGGCAUGAAAAAGUAGUGUACCUGAUAAAAGUAAGGUCAAUGUCUAUAGAUGAGAAAACUGGAAUUAAAAAAACUAAGGGCAUGAAAGCAGUGUGCUUGAUAAAAACAAGGCCGAUGCCCUAAAAAAGAAGAAGUGAAUUUCAGCCAUUUGUAUUCCCAAGUAAAGCUGCCGUUGUGGUUCAAUUAAUUGAGCCUCCAUUUGAUAGCGAGAAGAAAGACUGGUGACAAUGCUAAGGCAAUUACCAACUCUCACCCUUUUACACAUGAACCAACCCUACAUGGCGUCUAUUGACACCUCAAUUUUAUUAUUUUAUUUAUGACUCAAUCGCAUACAAAAUUAGAAAUUAGUCACUAAAAGAGAGAGAGAGAGAGAGAGAGAGAGAGAGAGAGAGAGAGAGAGAGAGAGAGAGAGAGAGAGAGAGAGAGAGAGAGAAACAAAAACAAAAAAAGAAUGUCUAGAGGUCGGGUCGGGCCGGAUCUGGCAUUGGCCCGGCUCACUGCCCGCCUCUCUUUCCUCUACGCAUAUUAUAUUAUCAAUGCAACCAGAGCAAUUAAUAAACGGAACAUAUCAAUUCAUCCAUCAAAUAAUCACAUGAGUCAUGAUUAUAAGGCCAAACCGUGAUGACAAAUCAUAUACCGUGUCACACAAUUUUGUCCCAUAAUCAAGCACAACUAUCUCUACCACUCAAGCGUGUUCCAGUUAUCAUGACCCAACGGCCACGACCAACUCAAAAGUUGGCCAUCAUCCAGCAUAACUGGGCAUCGUCUCACUCUGUUGGGCACGGCAUCAUCCCAUGUAUUCAUACACAUCAGAACGGCAUUCCUGAGAGUGCUAGUAUGAACAAAAUAAAGGAGUUAGGGAAGAGAAUAAGAACACAAGAUUUAUAGUGGUUCGGCUUAAUCCAAGCCUACGUCCACUCUCCCACGAUAACAGCCUUCUUGGCUGGAUUCCACUAUGCAAUCAACAAGAGAUUACAACUUCGAGUGCAAACACUUAGUAGUAGAUCACACUAUCUCACUAAGUCACUCUUUUGGUAUUUCUCUCACGAUUACAAACGUUUAAGCUCUCAAGAGACAAGUAUAUAAUUGAAAGUCGCUCAGACUUUGGAAUUAUAAAUUCUACGCUCCGUCUCUUACUUGCUCAUCGGUCCAUGAUCUCCUUAAAUACUCCUCCACUUCCAAACUACCGUUGGACAGUAUCCCGGAGAAUCGUCUUCCAAUAUACCCAUUGGACAGCUCUAUAUCUAGAAGAUUUGGUAGCCGUUGAGUGACAAAGGUAAAAUCCCAAAUUGAUUCCGAUCGCCCAUACAAACGAAAUCUUGGUUUCCAUAAGUAAAGCUUCUUCGUAUAGAAAGUUCUUGUCUUCAAGAUCCAAUCGUCAAUCAAAUAGAUUGAAUCAAUCAAAUCAAUCUUGAUGUGGAAUCCAAACCAGAUCACUAGCCGUUAUAUGAUUGGGCUUGAGUUACGUUCUGUCGAAUCUGGAUGUAAAGUCUGAUAGCCAUAGACUUUACAAUCUGAGUUUGUAGACUUUACAAUCUGGGUCUGAACAUAUCUGCUUCUGAACAGAUUUAGCUUUAAGGUCUGUACCCAGUUCAGCUUCAGCAUAGAGUCUGUCUUCUGGUUCAUCAUUCACGUUCAGUCUGGAAUUAGUCAGAGUGAGCAGACUUCUGAUGUAGAACAGACUUUGACACUAAAGUCUGGCAGUCUUCAAACUUUGAGUCUUGAGUCUGGCAGUCUUCAGACUUUGACACAGAAGUCUGGAAAUCUUCAGAAUAUAUUUUGGACAUGUGUUACGUUCAGUCUUCUGGUCGUCUUCUGACUUUGAUAAUAUCCUCUACAUGUUCUAACAUCUGCAUGGUCUAUUACUCAACCAUCAAACACGUUAGUAGCCUUUGAUUUAUUUUGUCAUCUUCAAAACAUCAUAAGGGAUUUCCCUAACAAUUCCCCACAAGAGCAUCGGCCCGGCCUCUACCGCGACCGGCAUCCAUUGACGUGAGGCAUCCGAACUUAAUCAAGCAUCGUCCUAUGUAAACACAUUAGGACAGGUUCACUACCCCGCGUAAACGCAUCAGGGUAUUUAGGUGAUCACAUGAGCACACCAUCAAUCAAACCCAUUUUUUAUCUUCCGUCAAUUAGUCCAAAAUACCAAAAUUUAUUUUCAAACAAUAAACCUUGCAACUCUCUUUUUUUUUUUGUUCAAAGCCUUUGGAAAUAAAUUCGUACGUGGUCACGUACUCAAAAUCAAACCGUCAAACUCUGCACGCUUCUACUAUAAAACCUCCUCAUUUUAUUGACACAUAAAAUUUGGCGUCCAAACCCGACACCUUAUUUAUUUUCUAUUUUUUUUCCCGACCAUCCUUUUUGGAACUAAACGUGGGUAAUCCCCCCCCCCCUUUUUUUUGUUCAAAGCUUUUGGAAAAAAAUUUGUAGGUGCUCAUGUACUCAAAAUUAAUCCAUCAAACUUUGCACAGACCUAGUUUAAAACCUCAUUGUUUUGUUGAGCAAAUAAGUUUUAGUGUCCGAACCCGACACCUCAUUGUUUUUUCUAAUCAAUUGCCCAUAAGGCCAUCUUUUGCAAUAAUAAUAAACAAUCACCAUAGAACAACCAUUCACAUAAUGCCACGCAUAAAUUCUCGGCAUACUAAAGCUCAACCAAAUCACAAAAUACACAUUAUCCAACAAGUAACACACCAAGAACAACCACCAAACCACAAUCGGUCCUAACUGGCAAAAACCGGGUCCACUCGCGCAUUUCCAAAAUUAAUUUCGUAAUCCUAACCAAAUGAGUUCAGAAAAUUUUCAAAUUUUAAUAUGUUAUAAAGGACACUUAAAUGAACACUUUUUAUUGGACACCUUUGACCCAAAUAUUUCUAGAAUAAUAGCAGUAAAUCGCUCAAGUUGUUACCAAAACUGUAUCCGUAUUCAGAAAUUUUGUUUUCUAAAGCCAGCUUGGUUUGAGGUCCAAAACUUAUCUGUUUGAUCUGAAAUUUGAAUACGUUAAACUACAAAAUAUGAUGAACAAGUUUUGUGAAGAAACCCUUAUGAAAAUCGAACCCUAAGAGUUUAUAAAAAUUCUUUAAACACCAAAAGGUCAUUGGUUUCAGCACCAACUGAGAUUCUGUUUUGCAUAAAACGAAGCUGAGAUCUUGUUCUUCUAAAUCUAUAAAAUCUUGAGUAAAAUAUAUGGCAUAGCUGAAGAUGUCUAAAAUAUUUUUCAAGAAUGGAGCAAUCCCAAAAUCGUAGCAUAUUUUUCCCCACGAAAAUAGCAAACGACGAGGGUCCAGUAACCAAAUCCGAGUUUAAGCUAAUCCAGCUUAACACUAAUUUAACCAGGCUAAUUAACAUUAAUCUAACCAGGCUAAUUAACACUAAUCUAACCCCUAAGCGCAAUUAACAUUAUAAUCAAGGAUUAAGGAGUUAACUCACCGGAUUAGGGCGGCAGCUGGUUCACGGCGACGGCAGCGCGACGGCUGUGACAACCCAAGACUACCGUGUCUCCGACGGUAGUCCAACGGCUGAGGAAAACAGUCCUACAAGUCUCAGCCAAAGGCUGAGAUACAGUCCUGCUUGAAGGCUGGUUCGGCUCUGCUUGGGGCUGAGGCGGGCUGAGGUCACUGGAGGCGCAGCUGUGAGGUCGGGACAGGGUGAUGCUAGGCACGGGGGCUGCUGGCCGGGCUGCUGUGUGGUGUCACUGAACUGAAGCAGGUGGCGCUGGUUGUGGAGCUGAAGCCGCUGGUGGUUGCUGGCUAAGGCGGUGAAGCUGCGGCUGUCUUGGCUGCUCGGUGGUGAGGUGAUGGAGUGGUGUUGGCGGUGGAUGGAGAUGGAGCAGCUGUCAAAAGGGAGAGGGAGCUGCUGGUGGGUGGAGUUGGCGUGUGAAGUUGCUGAGGUGGACGUGUGGAGUUGGGUCGCUGGUUGAGAUGAUGCAGCAAGAUGAAGGGGUUAUGUGGUGGCAGCUUGGUGGACGAUGGUGCUGGUGAUGAGGGAUGAUGACGAAGAUGUGGGGUUGCUGGCGGUGACGGUGCAGAGGAGAAAUGGAGAAUACGUGAAGGGGAAAAGGGAUGAGGCUGCUGGAGGCGUGAGGAAGAAAGAAGAAGGGUUGGCUGCAACAAGGGGUUCACGCAUGGGAAGAGACAAGGAGAGAGAGAGGGGAGGAAAGUCAACGAAAAAUAUCCUAAUUCACUCAUUGUAAUACCACAAAAGUCUAUGCCCGUCCAAGCUCACCCAAUCACCAAUUUUUCCUCUUAUUUCCCACAAAUAACUUCUUUUUGGGCAGCAAACUUCCCUUUUUCCUCUUAAUCCGAAUUUCAUUAUCCCUUUUUUUUUGUCCAAAAUUCAUUUUUCUGCAAAAUCCCGAACUCGAUGAAAUUUUUCCGAAAGAUGAGACAACGUUCUAAAAAUAAAUCGUGACACGCUCAAACGUCCAAUUUCCGAAACUGAAUUCAAUUUCGUGGUUAAAAUCGACUGAACGCAAUAGUACAUUCUAACCUACUGGUAGCUUUUAGAGAUUUUAGCGCGUUUGACCCGUGGUCGAUAAUUUUCGAUCCACAUUUGUGCAUCUCCGACUUGUAGAUGACUCUUGAUUGUCGUAAAAAUUGCGAGAUUUCAAUUACGGGUACCGAGUAUAAUAGCGAUAGAAAAUUAGGUUAGUGCCGUUCAACGCGAAUUUCGCAAUCACGCGGAAUCACCCGCAAUUCAAUUACGUGAUUCCGUCGAAUCGACCUAUAUCCGAUCACAAUUCAAUUAUAAUGGUGCCGUAUUGACCCUUGCCGAUUAUUAUGGUCGAGCAGUCGAUUUCCGAUCAAAUUCUCUAGUCCGUCACGUUUAUAUCCCUUAACGGCUUCACCUAAUAGGUUAGUUAACUCGUGAGGGGCUAGCUCAGAGAAAAAGGACCAUAGGCGCGUCGACGAAAUGUCCAUUUCAUAUUAUCGAGAUAGAGUUGAAUUUCGGGAUGUUGUUGGAGAAAUCUUUCCAGAAUAUUUUGAAGCUGACAAAACAUUUCUAUCAAUCUAAGUCUGGAUAUCGAUAGUUAAAGUCUCAAGACUUUAUAGUCUCAAGACUUUGUAAUCUCAAGACUCAAGACUCAAGACUCAAAAUUAUUCUCACUGACAGUCUUUCUAAUCCAGUGUUGAAGGAAAUCCAAAGCCGAGGUUUAUGGUUGAGGAUUUGAUCCUAUCCUCUGGAAUAGAUUCUUUGGUUGGAUAAUCAUUUCGGAUUCUUUAAUUCUUAUCUAAGAUCGAUUGAAGAUCCGAUGGUCGACGAAAUAAUCUUGGAUUAUUCUAUUCUUGGAAACCGAGAUCCUGAUUGUAUGGGCGAGCAGGAUUGAUGGGCUAUCAUCAGAUUCCUUAAAUAGCUCGGAUGAUCUUCUUGAUUGAUUCCGUCCAACGGGUAGAUUGGAGGAAUUCCUUUGGUAAGUGCCAACGGCUAUGAUGGCAUGAAGGAGUAUAAAAGGAAGACGUUCUAGUUGUCUUAAGUGUGUGAUCGAUAGAAAAAUUCCAGAGUCUGAAGAUCCUUGAUUGUUAGUUGAGACUGAGUGAAAUUGUAUACAGAGAGUGUUUAUACUUGGUGACGCCUUGAGUGAGUGUGGUAGAUCAUCUACACCUAGAAAUCAAGGAAGAUCAACACUGUAACAACUCUUUGAUCAUAGUGGAAUCCAGCCAAUCGGCUGUCAGUGCAGAAGAGUGGACGUAGGCUUGAAUCAAGCCGAACCACUAUAAACCGAGUGUUCAAUUCUCUCUUUCCCUUACUCAGUCUUGCGAUUGAAUUUUUAACUGUUGCAAAUUCUCUAAUUGUUUAAAUAUCGUGCAAGCUUCGAGAAAUUUUUUGUAUACCUAUUCACCCCCCCUCUAGGUACUCGUACUAGCUAUUUCAAUUGGUAUCAGAGCUCGUGUUCUUACUUUGUUUGAAGUGUUUUACUUCAGAGUAAAAGAUCCAUGGCUAGUAUGCUAGCACCGGGGCUGAUGGAGGGGCAAAGCAAUACCAGACCUCCCUACUUCGAUGGAAAGGAUUACAACAUCUGGAAGAACAAGAUGAAAGCUUUUCUACGAUCAAAGGAUCCUCUGGAAUGGGACGUUGUGGAAAAAGGAAUCACUCCUGCUGCUGCAUCAAUCUCUGAAAGAGGGAAAGAAACUGUUGAAACCAGCGGAAUGUCUCAAGAAGAAAUAAACAAGAGACAAGCACUCGAUGCUAAAGCAAUUUAUUCUUUAUAUUGUGCUUUGUUACCAACUGAAUAUAACAGAAUAUCUUCUUGUGUUACAGCAAAAGAAGUCUGGGACAGGUUACAUAUCACUUAUGAAGGGACAGAUCGAGUGAAUGAGACCAGAAUUAACAUUCUUCUUGGUCAAUAUGAAUCCUUCAAAAUGAAACCAGGAGAAUCUAUAACUGACAUGUUUAGUCGUUUUACAGAUAUUGUCAAUGGUCUUGAGAACCAAGGACAAAAAAUUUCUGAUCCCAUGAAAGUGAACAAGCUUCUACGUGGACUCUCCAAGGAUUGGAAUCAUAUAAAGACUUCAAUAAGAGAGACGCAAAGAAUCAUGCCAUUAUCUGUAGACGAACUGAUUGGAACUCUUCAGUCUUACGAAGUGGAACGAAUUAAUGAAGACGAAGAUCCAAGAGGUAAGAAAUCUAUUGCACUAAAAUCAAAUGAUGAUUCUGAUGAUGCAGAUUCUGAAGAUGAUAUGGAUGAUGAGGAGCUCGCCCUCAUGAUAAGAAGAUUCAGAAAACUGAAUAGAAAAGGCAGAAGGUUCAUCCCAAAGAAACAAAGUUUUCAGAGACAGCAGACCAAGUCUGUUGAUGAUGAGGAACCAAACAAAGAUGUAGUUUGCUUCGAAUGUAAAAAGAAGGGACACAUCAGACCCAACUGUCCUCUUCUGAAAAAGAAAAGAGGAAAAGCUGAGAAAUCUCGAAAAGCUCUUAAAGCCGAAACCUGGAGCGAUACAGAGUGUGAAGAGAGUGAUGAGGAAUAUGCCAACCUGUGUCUAAUGGCGCAAUCAGACACAGACUCUGGAUCAGACUCAGACAGUGAAUUUGAGGUAAGUGACUAUAAAAUCCCUGUCAAAGUCUCUAAAUAUAUUGAUGAGUUAUGUUUUAGUCUUAAGACUUCUCUUAAAAAGAUUUCCGAACUCAAAAAGGAAAACUCAAUUUUAAAACAAAAGGAAAACAUUUUAGAAGAAAAGGUAAAAAAUUUAGACUUGAAUGUUUCUACUCUUAAAGAGAGUGAAGACAAUCUUUCAAAAGAAAAUGCUUUCUUAAAAACUGAUUUAUCAAAUAUUUCAAAGAAAUUUUCAAUAGGGUCCGAAAAAUUUGAAAAAGUCCUUUCAAUCCAAAGACCUUACUUCAAUAAGUCGGGUCUAGGUAUGACAGCUGAAACAAUCCCUUUGAUUGAUUUUCCGAAAGUAAAAGAAAGAAUUAAGAAAAGACCAUCGAGAGAGGCUUAUAAAAAUCAUUUCAAAAGAGUUUUUGUAAAGCGUGUAGGUCGAAAUGCUUUAAGGUGUUCUAAGUGUAACAGUCAGGAUCAUUUUGAAAAAGAGUGUCCUAUGGUUUGGAAGCCUGUUAAGAGAGUAUGGCCUAAUAAUGCUCAUCCUACUAACACCAAAGGACCCAAGAAAAUUUGGGUACCAAAGAAAGCUUGAGACUCUUUUUUGAAUGCAGGUCUCUGUCAAAAAGAAGGUAAAGUGGUAUCUUGACAGCGGAUGCUCAAGACACAUGACAGGAGACUCAAAAUGUUUCAUAAAGCUUAUUAAAGUAAAUGGUGGAAAAGUUUCAUUCGGAGGAAAUAGCAAAGGAAGUAUUGUGGGAUUCGGAACUGCGAAAAUUGGAAAUCUCACAAUAAGCAAUGUCUCUCUAGUGGAAGGACUCAACUACAAUCUACUCAGCAUUAGCCAAUUGUGUGAUACUGGUUACAAGAUCUUCUUUCAAGAAGGCAUAUGUUCUGGAAUUAGCAAAGAUUCGACUCAGUCUUUCAUGGGUCGAAGGCAUGGAAACAUCUACCUCCUUGAUGUAAAGCCAAAUGAAGAACAAUGCUUAAUCUCAAUUCAAGAUGAAGCAAUUCUAUGGCACAGAAAACUUGGCCAUAUCAACAAGAAGCAAUUAGCCAAAAUCUCUUCAAAGCAGCUUGUUCGAGGUCUACCUAAACUGCCAUACCAAAAGUCUGACUUAUGCACUCCAUGCAUUCUGGGAAAGCAGGUAAGAAAUUCAUUUAAGCAAAUAAAUCAUGUAUCUACUAAUCAUGUAAUGCAGUUGCUUCAUAUGGAUCUCUUCGGACCAACAAGAACCCAGAGCAUUGGAGGUAAGAAAUAUUGUCUAGUAAUUGUAGAUGAUUACUCUCGUUUUACCUGGGUAUAUUUUCUUGCAAAUAAAUCAGAAACCUUUUCGUACUUUGAAAAGUUUGCUAAAAAGGUUCAAAAUGAAAAAGGAUGUGCUAUUUCUAGUAUAAGAACAGAUCAUGGUAGUGAAUUUGAAAAUCAAGAUUUUACGAGAUUCUGUGAUAAAUCUGGUGUUAAUCACAUGUUUUCCUCUCCGUAUACUCCAGAGCAAAAUGGAGUUGUGGAAAGAAAGAAUAGAUCUCUUCAAGAAAUGGCUAGAACACUUUUAAUUGAAAGUAAAAUUUCUUCACGAUUUUGGGCUGAAGCUGUUUCAACUGCUUGCUAUAUUAUAAAUAGAGUCUUUCUAAGACCUAUUCUUGAUAAAACCCCCUAUGAAUUGUUCAAAGGUAAGAAGCCUAUUGUUUCAUACUUUCAUGUGUUCGGUUGCAAAUGCUUUAUUUUGAAAAAUGCAAAUGAUCGAGUUGGUAAGUUUGAAGAAAGAUCAGAAGAAGGCAUCUUCCUUGGAUAUUCUACAUCAAGCAAAGCCUACAGAGUCUACAACAAAAAAAGCCAGUCUGUGGAAGAAUCAAUGAAUGUCAAAUUCCAAGACUCAGUGCAAGAUGAAUCCAGCCAGACUCAGUACGAAGAGACUGAAUCCGCUCUAGAUCUUCAAAUGUCUACAUCUCAAGAAGCAUCUCAGAUUCUGGAAGUCCAUCAUCAAGACGCUCAUGGAGAAUCAAAUAAAGAAAAAGAUCAUCAACCUGGUAACUGGAAGCACAAAUCCAGUCAUCCCAAAGAUCUUAUUAUUGGCGAACUUAAUGAAGGAAUCCGCACCAGAUCAAAAAGGCAUGAAGAAUCUAGUGAUGUGGCUCUCAUCUCUGAAAUUGAACCAAAAAGCAUAGAAGAAGCUUUAUCUGAUGAAAGCUGGAUCGAAGCUAUGCAAGAAGAGCUCAGACAGUUCAACAUCAAUGAUGUCUAGGAAGUGACAUCUAAACCAAAAGGUAAAACUGUUAUUGGAACCAAAUGGGUAUUCAGGAACAAAAUGAACGAAAAAGGAAAAGUCGUACGAAACAAAGCAAGACUCGUGGCCAAAGGGUAUACGCAAGAAGAAGGAAUAGACUAUGACGAGACUUACGCACCCGUUGCAAGGUUAGAAGCUAUUCGUCUAUUACUUGCGUUUGCUUGUUACAAAAAUUUCAGGUUAUUCCAAAUGGACGUCAAAAGUGCUUUCCUAAAUGGAUUUAUCCAUGAGGAAGUUUAUGUGGAACAACCACCUGGAUUUGAAGACCCAAAGAAGCCAGACUCAGUCUUCAGACUGAAAAAGGCUUUGUAUGGUCUAAAGCAAGCACCUCGAGCUUGGUACGACAGACUAAGUAAGUUUUUAUUACAAAAUGGUUUUGUCAAAGGUAAAGUAGAUACUACUUUGUUUAUCAAAAAGGAAAACAAAAACUUUUUACUUGUUCAAAUAUAUGUUGAUGACAUUAUUUUUGGAUCCUCUAAUGAAAGUCUUUGCAAGAAAUUUUCUAAGUCUAUGCAGGAUGAAUUUGAAAUGAGUAUGAUGGGAGAGUUAACAUUCUUUCUUGGACUCCAAGUGAAACAAAUGAAGGAAGGAACUUUCAUCCAUCAAGAAAAAUAUGCGAAUGAUCUUGUCAAAAGGUUUGGAUUGGAAAAGUGCAAAAAGAUCGACAUACCAAUGUCAUGUUCUCAGAAGAUAGACAAGGAUGAAGAAGGGAAGAAAGUAGAUCAAAAGCUGUACAGGAGCAUGAUCGGUUCACUUCUUUAUCUUACUGCUUCUAGACCUGAUAUUUUGUUUAGUGUUUGUAUCUGUGCUAGGUUUCAAUCAGAUCCUAGAGAAUCACAUCUCAUUGCCGUGAAACGAAUUAUCAAAUACGUUGCUUCAUCUUCAAGCAUCGGUCUUUGGUAUCCAAAGAGGGGAGACUUUAAUCUUCUAGGAUACUCAGAUGCAGAUCUGGCCGGUUGCAGAGUCGAUAGAAAGAGCACUUCUGGAACUUGUCAACUACUUGCAAACAGAACGGUGUCUUGGUUUUCAAGGAAGCAAAGCACUGUAGCUCUCUCAACAACAGAAGCAGAGUAUGUAGCUCUUGGAAGCUGCUGUUCGCAAAUUCUAUGGAUAAAACAACAACUACAAGACUUUGGCAUUGAAGACUCAUGCACAGAAAUCAGAUGUGACAACACCAGUGCGAUAAAUCUCACCAAAAAUCCAAUCCUUCAUUCAAGAGCAAAGCAUAUUGAGAUUCGACAUCACUUUAUUAGAGAUCAUAUUCAAAAUGGAGAAAUCUCGAUUCAAUUUGUUGAUUCAAAAAGUCAACUAGCGGACAUAUUCACAAAGCCUUUGGAGAAGAAUCAGUUCGACUUUAUCCGCUCGAGACUCAACAUUUUGAAGCUUGAAGAAAUUAAAGUCUAGAGACUCACCAACUCUAAGACUCUGAUCUCUUAGACUCUAAAUCCUGAGACUCAAUCAUCCAUGGCUAUAGACUGUAAGUUGUAUUUCAUCUAAAAAGUACUAAUAUUAACUCGAAAAGGUACGAUCCUUCGUUUAAUAAUUUUGGCAGUUAUUGAUUUUGAAAAGAAGUGAUCGUUCACUUUCCUUGCACCGAUUGAACUUCCUUUUUCAAAACUGAGUUAUAUAUAUACAGUUUUUCUUUUCCCCAAUCUUCAAAACCCUAAAAGGCACUCUCCUCUCUAUACUGUUUUACUGCUUAUUCGUCGUCGAGAAAGUGGUCAUUUUUCUUGGGAAAGCAAGUGAAGGAAUCCUCCAAUAGACAAAGAAAGAUGUCGUCUUCGAGGAAAUCAUCAAGAAUCGCAAACAGGGGACCACAAAGAAUGAAGAAGGGACCGACUCAUUUCGAUCUCACUGAGGAAGAAGACUUAUCAAGUCAGCGACAGAGUCCGAUUCGCUCUCCUCCACGUCAUUCAGCAUCUCCUGCCCCACAAAGUGCAAGUCAUAAUCUGGAAGAAGAGAUAAUCGAGGAUGCCGACCCAGUAAGAGUUCAAAAGCCCUCCUUUUUGUAUAAACUUUAUCGUGCAUUGAAAAGCACAGGUACUCCAUUGAACUAUAUAGAUGACUUCCUUAAGGACAAAAAUUAUGGGAAUGAGUAUCUUUUUCUGAAGAAAAUGGAGGAAUGGGGAAUUGCCCUGAAAGGAAAAGCAGAGGAAGCACUUGCGAAUAUUCCAAGAGAUCCUCGUAUGCCAGGACAAAAUCUGAUUGACGGGAACGAUGAUGACAAAAUGUUCCUUGAAUUUAAACCUAAAAUGGGUGUGGCAGCAAAGGUGAAAGGAAAUCGGAUGGAUUUGUUUAAAUCCAAGGAUCAGGAAAAAGUGUAUUUCAGUCUGUUGAAAAGAGGGGUAAUCAACCCUAGAAGUGUCGAUUUUGACUUCCUGGAUUCCAUCAACUUGAACCUAAGAGAGAAGUUGAAUUUGCUUCAACUUGAGACUUUCUGCUCUGACUCUACAGACGGGUAUGAUCAUCUGACCGCUUAUUUCUAUUCAAAUCUUAGCUUUUUGGAUGCGAAUAGAAUUUCAUUCAGUGUUCGAGACAAAGUCUAUGUGGUAGAUGUGAAUAUGUUGGCGGACAUAGUUGGAGUUGAACGGGGACGCUAUCUCCCAAUCAAAGUCUCACCUGCUCGAACUACUCUGGAUCUUGUCAAAGAUAGGGAUGUAGAUAAGAAAAUUAUCUAUUCCAGGAUGAAUGCCAUCAACAUUGUGCUUCACAAGAUUGUGAUCAAUUGUCUCAGACCUAAGUCUACUUCAAAGACUUCUGUGUCUCUUUCUGAAGCAAAAUUGAUGUAUGCGAUCAACUCAGGACGGAAGUUUUCUCUCCCGCACACUAUUCUUUUCCAUAUGUACAGAGCAGUGUCAAAAGACAAAGGACAAUUGCCUUAUCCUGGUCUGGUGACCAAGAUCUUCAGACAUCUGAAUAUUGAACUGCCACAUACUUUUUGUGUUCGAACGUGUGAUAAGAUGGUGGUAGGGUUGAAAAUGUUAAUGAAGAUGCGUCUGCAAGAACUCUCUAAGGCAAUGGAGAAAUUCAAAGUGAAAUCUCCAGUCCAGUCUGCUUCAAAAAGGAAAGGAAAGAAGGACAUUGGUGCUUCAUCGAAAAAGAGGAAAAGAACUUUUAUCCUGGAGGAUGAGGAUGAGGAUGAAGAUGAUGAAGAUCCCACUAUUCCAGCACUGACAAGAACAAGAUGUUCUGUGUCUUAUCCGACAGAACUUCAGCAGAGCAGAGAAGAAGAAGAACAGAGAGAGAAGGAGAAAGAAGUUGAGGAAGAAGGAGAAGAAGAAAAAGAAUAGUCUGCAGAUAACUCUGGAGAGAAGGGAAAUCAAGAGCAUGAUCAUCACUCUUCCCCUUUCGAUGUCUUAGAGACAGGGGGAGUUAGCGAGCAAGAGAGGUCUCCACCUCAUGCUGCUGAAGAUCCAAGACAAUCUCCAGAAGACCCAGAGGAAGUUCAGGUCUCUCAAUUGCCUGAAGAAGGUGAUACGUUGAUUCCAAAUCUGCCAGACCGUUCAGAAGCGCCAUCGUCUGCAUACACACCAUCUGAGAAAGCCAAUGCCAGUACACAGACGGAUGAUUCUGCAGAUCUUCGUAGUAUCAUGAAUAUUCUUCUGGAAAUGCGUAACCAGAUAUAUAUUCUGGACUGUGAAAUCCAAGCUUUGAAGCAUGCUGGACAAGCAUCUUCAGUCUCUCUGGAAGAUAAAUUCAAAGACCUCGCUCUGCAACUUCAAGCCAAUGCCAAGAGAGAAGAGGUAGCUCAUCUGCGAGAAGAUCUGAAGAAGCUCGAAGGAGUAGUCCAGUCCAUUGGGGAUUUCCAGAUCGUGCGCAUUCCCAAGCAGACAUGACUCCUUUCUCACCCUCUUUUUAAUGAUGACAAAAAGGGGGAGAACCAAUUUGAACAAACAUUAUUUUAAAACUUUAUUUGACUUUUGUGUUUAUGUUUAUUUUUGAGUAUGACUUGAGAACUUGAACUUGAGUGUUAGACUGAAUUGGCUGUGGAUUUUGAUGCUUGACUAGUUGCAUUUAUAUCAAGUAUUGUUACAUGGUAUUACUCAUGAAAGACUAACCAAUUUGCUGUGGAUGCAGAGUCUGGUUGUUUAUUAAUCUUUAUGAGUUAGCCAUAUUGCUUGAGAAAUGUUUUUGCAGGUCAAAGUUGUUCAAAUCUUCAAGAAAGUUUUGUCACCAUCAAAAAGGGGGAGAUUGUUGGAGAAAUCUUUCCAGAAUAUUUUGAAGCUGACAAAACAUUUCUAUCAGUCUAAGUCUAGAUAUCGAUAGUUAAAGUCUCAAGACUUUAUAGUCUCAAGACUUUGUAAUCUCAAGACUCAAAAACAUUCUCACUAACAGUCUUUCUAAUCCAGUGUUGAAGGAAAUCCAAAGCCGAGGUUUAUGGUUGAGGAUUUGAUCCUAUCCUCUGGAAUAGAUUCUUUGGUUGGAUAAUCAUUUCGGAUUCUUUAAUUCUUAUCUAAGAUCGAUUGAAGAUCCGAUGGUCGACGAAAUAAUCUUGGAUUAUUCUAUUCUUGGAAACCGAGAUCCUGAUUGUAUGGGCGAACAGGAUUGAUGGGCUAUCAUCAGAUUCCUUAAAUAGCUCGGAUGAUCUUCUUGAUUGAUUCCGUCCAACGGGUAGAUUGGAGGAAUUCCUUUGGUAAGUGCCAACGGCUAUGAUGGCAUGAAGGAGUAUAAAAGGAAGACGUUCUAGUUGUCUUAAGUGUGUGAUCGAUAGAAAAAUUCCAGAGUCUGAAGAUCCUUGAUUGUUAGUUGAGACUGAGCGAAAUUGUAUACAGAGAGUGUUUAUACUUGGUGACGCCUUGAGUGAGUGCGGUAGAUCAUCUACACCUAGAAAUCAAGGAAGAUCAACACUGUAACAACUCUUUGAUCAUAGUGGAAUUCAGCCAAUCGGCUGUCAGUGCAGAAGAGUGGACGUAGGCUUGAAUCAAGCCGAACCACUAUAAACCGAGUGUUCAAUUCUCUCUUUCCCUUACUCAGUCUUGCGAUUGAAUUUUUAACUGUUGCAAAUUCUCUAAUUGUUUAAAUAUCGUGCAAGCUUCGAGAAAUUUUUUGUAUACCUAUUCACCCCCCCUCUAGGUACUCGUACUAGCUAUUUCAGAUGUCACAGUUUGAAUCAUGGACAAAAGCCGAUGAUGAUAUUGAUCUUACUCUUUAUAAUUUGGGAGGAACUACUUUGUCGGGAUUGAUAAUGAAGUUUUCUUUUUAUUUUUUCAUUUUUUAAUGGUCGGGAAGAAAAUUUUCAUUUCAUAUCAAAGAGGUACAUAAUUUCAAGACAAAGAUGCAAUCUCGCAGAGCAAGUAAAUCUGAAAAGCAAAUCAACUUAGUACAACUUGUAGAGACUAAGCUCAUUCCACAAAAAGGGAUCUAUUAAAGCAUCAAAGCACAACCAGUGGCCGAUUACCAAAUCUCACAUUAUUAUCAGUGAUGAGCACAUACCAAGAAAUCCCUUUGUAGUAGCUACAGCUUUGCUAAAAGACGGUACGCGCCUCGAUUUAGCGUCCCUAGCACCAUCACCAUAUAAAGACCACGACAAUACCAAAAGGUAGAAAGACCACUGAAAAGUUAAAAAUAAGCCAAUUCCCAAAGGCAAUAACAAAGGAGCCUUGGAGACUUGUGGAGUACUCAACUAUCUGGAAGCAAGCACCCGAAGUCGGAGUGAGCAAGCAAAUCCAGAUAGAGCACAUUCUUCUGAGGCACUCGCACUUUGAUCCUCAAAGCUAACUUCCAUGGAGGAUGUCGACAGCAUCAUCCAUGAAAUCAACAAAGAAAUCUAUGAGAGAGAGAGAGAGGUCCCUCACGGGAAAUCCUAAGAGAGACACUCAAGUGGAAUUCUAACCGAUAGAAAAGGUUCACGAAUAGGAAUGAUCAUCGAUCACUUUAUCAACUCAUGUAAGCCCUUGAAGUUUCUAAUUUUGUUGGAAAAUUACCCAAAAAAAGUUAUCCUAUUGCACUUGCAUCAAUUCAAUUUUAAACAUUUUAAUGAUUCGUUAGUUACCCAAAAAUCUAGGAUAACGCUCAAUUUAUCUCAUUGUUAAAUAUGUCUCGAGUUUGAGUCCAAUGCGAAAUUCCGAAUAUUCUGAAUUGGAAAUUUUGUGGAUAUUCAGAAUUGGCCUCAAAUAGGAAAGUCCAAAUGUUAACUUGGACUUGGAUUUAUUUAAAUAUGUGUAAAUAUAUUUUAGGCUGAAGUCAGCAAGAUAACACAAAGGAAGAAAAAAAGGCGAAGGAAGCAGCGUGGGCUUCGUGGAACCAAAAACAAGAAAGGUGGGGCCCAAGGUCAAACUUUUGACCUUGGGCGCACACACACACAUAUAAAAGGGAAUCAUAGAGUAUUGCUUUGAUGCUGCACGUACAAGCCGAAGAUAAGAGGGAGCCGCUCAACGUACGUCUGCCGCUCAAACCCUACGUAGAAGUCGCAGAAAAAAAAGCCGCGAAAGAGGUCCUUUUUCGGGGUGUUGCUGCUGCACCCGUACGAGAGAAAAGGAGGAGCCGCAUGUCUUCAAGCUGAAGCGCUAUCAAGAAAAAGAGUUCUUUUUCAGCGUUUGUUUUGAGCUUGUGUGAUAAUUUUGUGCCGUGACUUGGGUUUGGAUUAAAUUGGGGUUUGGGAAACACCGAGAGAGUGUUUGAAUGACUUGAGUGUGUAAUUUCCUUGUAUCGCUUGAUCUAUAGUGAAAUUCGCUGCUGCUCUCCCCGUGGACGUAAGUCUUUACGACUGAACCACGUAAAUCCGGUGUCCGAUUUAUAUUUUUUCUUCUUUUGUCUAUAUUUUGUUCGAUCGCUCGCCUUAUCGCAACAAGUGGUAUCAAAGCUAGGUUUGGCUGAGUUGAAGCGAAUCGAUGGCGACCGAAGAAGUAAAAAUGAGAAUCAACAAAUUUGAUGGGAAUGAUUUUAGUUUCUAGAAGAUGCAGAUUGAAGAUUAUCUUUACCAGAUGAAUUUGCACUUGCUUUAUUUGGGGAGAAACCAGAGACGAUGAAGCAAGCUGAUUGGGAUUUGCUGAAUAGACAAGCUAUGGGUGUUAUUCGGCUAACGUUGGCUCAUAACGUCACGUUUAACAUCCUAAAGGAGAAGACCGUUGCUGAUUUGAUGCAAGCCCUGUCGAAUAUGUACGAGAAGCCAUCUGCGAUCAACAAGGUCUGUUUGAUGCGACGUCUAUUUAACUUGAAGAGGAAAGAAGGUGCAUCAGUUGCAGAUCAUAUCAAUGAAUUCAAUGUGAUUGUUAGUCAAUUGAGUUCAAUUGAGAUUGAUUUUGAAGAUGAGGUACAUGCUUUGAUUCUAUUAUUCUCAUUGCCUGAUAGUUGGAAUACUACCGUUACUGCUGUUAGUAAUUCCUCUGGGUCAACAAGUUUGACGUUUGAUGGGGUUCGAGAUUUGAUUCUGAGCGAGAACAUUCGUAGAAGAGAAUCUGGCAAAUCUGUAUCUACUGCUCUAGUAGGUGAAAAUAGAGGAAGAUCGAUAACACAUGUGGGUAAUGGUAGUACUAAUAUAAACAAACAUAGUCAAUCUAGGACUACUAAUGUUGUCUGUUGGAGCUGUGGCAAGAGGGAGCAUCUUAGAAGGGAUUGCCUUAAGCUGAAAAAUGAUAAGGGUAAGGGAAUUAUGGUUGAUUCUGCAGAUAAUGUUGCAGCUGUAGCAGAUAAUGUCGAUUAUGUUUUGUCUGUCACUAAUGAUUCAUUACUUGAUGGAUGGGUUAUGGAUUCCGAUUGUUCUUUUCAUGUCACACCAAAUAGAAACUGGUUUAUCACUUAUCAGUGCACGGGUAGUGGUAAAGUCCAGUUAGGGAACAAUGUUGAGUGCGAUAUUGUGGGUGUUAGUAAUGUUAAAAUUAGAAUGCAUGAUGGUAUCGUGAGGACAUUGACUAAAGUGAGGCAUGUUCCAGAAUUGAAAAAGAACUUAAUUUCCUUGGGUGCCCUAGAUUCAGCUGAUUGCAGGUAUUCUUCAAAAAGUGGAGUUCUGAAGGUUGUUCGAGGUGCCCUGGUGAUAAUGAAAGGAAUCAAGCAUGAUGGCCUGUAUAAACUUCAAGGUGAGACAAUGACAAGUUUCGCCCUGGAGACGUCGGAUGCAUCUGUUCGAGAGUCUUUUGACUGCUCAAGGAAGACCUGGGUGUUUGUGCUAAGGCACAAGUUUGAUGCUGGUGUCAGGAUCUUGCAGUCAAAAGCUUUGAUCGAGACGGAGACUGGUAAGUCGAUCAAGCAUGUGCAGACUAACAAUAGCAUGGAGUUUUGCUCGGAGCUGGCAAAUAAAUUCUGCAUGAAAGAUAGCAUAGUGAAACACCGCACUAGUGCCAAUAAAUCACAACAAUUUGCAAAAUUGACGAGCAGAACAUUACUAGAGAUGGCCCGAAAAAUUAUCUCUAGUGCUGGUAUAGCUAGGAGAUUCCUGGUUGAUGUGCUAAGUACGAUAGCUACCUGGUGAAAAGAUCCCCAUCAAUUGCUAUUGAAUGGCGGACUCCUGAAGAAGUGUGGUCAAAUAACGUUGCUGAUUAUUCUAUUCUUAGAAUGUUUGGUUGCCCGUGUUAUUUUCGAGUGAGUGAUGGUAAGCUUGAUUAGAGGGCAAUGUGUAUAUUCCAUGGCUAUGCACAAGGUGAGCGGGGCGAUCAGUUGUGGUGCCCAAAUAUAAAUUCACCUGUUAACAGUAGAGAAGUUACCUUUGAUGAGUCUCAAGUACUUCUACCUAGGAGUGAUUAUAGCAAUGUUAAUAUGGAUCUGAAUGGUGUUCAGCUUGAGGUGGAGUUGCAACUAGAAACUCCUAAGGUAGCAAGUACGAGUACUAGCAAAGUAAUCGACACAGAUGGUGCUCAUAGCGAGGUGGAGCCUAUAGAACCAAUGGUUGCUGUAACUGCUUAAAUUAAUAAGGUACGUUUUCGAUCUCCUGAUAGAUAUAGAUGUAACAAUGGUUUUGCUUUAUCUGCGAUUGAGGAGGUUGCGUCGGAAAAUCCUUGCGAAGCAGUUAAAGGUGCAUGUAGAGUUGGUAUUCUGAUGAGAUCCUCGGUUAUAGCAAAGUUCAAGCGAGGCUUGGACUUGGACAAUAUUUGUGGCGGUUGAGCCCAUCGGGGGCUAUGGGAAAGUAGCAACAGAAUUUGAAUUUUUGCGAAGCGAUUGCAACUUGGCUCAAACAUCGAGCCAAUGUGGAGAUUGUUAAUUAUGUCUCGAGUUUGAGCCCAAUGCGAAAUUCUGAAUAUUCUAAAUUGAAAAUUUUGCGGAUAUUCAGAAUUGGCCUCAAACAGGAAAGUCCAAAUGUUAACUUGGACUUGGAUUUAUUUAAAUAUAUGUAAAUAUAUUUUAGGCUGAAGUCAGCAAGAUAACACAAAGGAAGAAAAAAAGACGAAGGAAGCAGCGUGGGCUUCGUGGAACCAAAAACAAGAAAGGUGGGGCCCAAGGUCAAACUUUUGACCUUGGGCGCACACACACACACAUAUAAAAGGGAAUCAGAGAGUAUUGCUUUGCUGCUGCACGUACAAGCCGAAGAUAAGAGGGAGCCGCUCAACGUACGUCUGCCGCUCAAACCCUACGUAGAAGUCGCGGAAAAAAAAGCCGCGAAAGAGGUCCCUUUUCGGGGUGUUGCUGCUGCACCCGUACGAGAGAAAAGGAGGAGCCGCAUGUCUUCAAGCUGAAGCGCUAUCAAGAAAAAGAGUUCUUUUUCAGCGUUUGUUUUGAGCUUGUGUGAUAAUUUUGUGCCGUGACUUGGGUUUGGAUUAAAUUGGGGUUUGGGAAACACCGAGAGAGUGUUUGAGUGACUUGAGUGUGUAAUCUCCUUGUAUCGCUUGAUCUAUAGUGAAAUUCGCUGCUGCUCUCCCCUUGGACGUAGGUCUUUACGACUGAACCACGUAAAUCCGGUGUCCGAUUUAUAUUUUUUCUUCUUCCGUCUAUAUUUUGUUCGAUCGCUCGCCUUAUCGCAACAUGAAUAUGGUAAGAUGCCAUCAAGUUCCAAAUGAACGAUCCAAACGCGACAUUAUUUGUGUUUGAUAACAUGGAAUAUUUGAUGACGUGGACUACGAAGAUAGCCUUCAUAUGGUAUUCAAUAGAGGAACACACAUCGGGGGCUCGCGAAGUGAUAAUGCUUGUGUUUAUGUAAAGAUUCUUCACGUAGGGGGGCAUUAUUUCCGAUGAUAAAGACAAGGUGUCUCCCUCUUUGGCCAGCCAAAAGUAGGUUUCGGUCGACCCAUCCCAACGUUAAACUUCCAGGAAACCCCACUUAUGGGGACAACAUCUCAUUCAUUGAAUGUUAUCCUCACUCGUCGUUAAUAAUGCAAGUAGUAAAAUACUGCCGCACGCACGAAGCGGCGUGAUUCGGUCGUGGGCACUGAAUAUGUGACAUGACAAGGGUGAAGAAACAGAUCAGUCUUGGUUGACGAUGACUCGGCCACUUCGUUGGACCAACAUGCGCACCUACACUCCCCAGUGAGUGACCACAAAGAUUUUAGAAGAAGAGCAGUUAAAUCUAAUUCGAUCUGAAAUAAAGUAGUGUUUAGAUUUAUUAUUAUCUUUAACCGGAUUCCUUCUAUUUAUUUCGCGGCUUCUAGAUGAAUGUGUCGGAGCCUUUCAAAGUCAAAAAAUGGGAAAAUAUAAAGAUUCCGUCUCCAUGAAUUUUCUUGUAGGACCAUCUCAAGAGAGCUCAAUUCCAUCUGCAACGAUUUUUGACCGAUUCUUAGAUUCCCUGGGCCAAGAAAACGAAAGAGAAAAUGAUCCUUUUGCAAAGACUUGGAAUUCACAACCUGAGCUGACCUAAUCAAGUUCAAUAUGAUGGGAUCAAAGAAUCGCGCGAGGUCAACUGCUCGAACUUGAUUUCCAACAUAAUAUUCUCGGCAUAAUAAUGAGCUCGAGCUCGAUACGAUGUGGCAUUUUCUUUUCUGCGUGUAGCUCUACUCAAUCAUGUAACAGUGAAUUCUAAGCUAAUGUGAGACCAGGCUUUGGAUUACUUUCCUAUUGAACUCAUAGAAACCAUCUCGUGAAGACGUGUAUCUUGUCGUAAUCCAUGCAUAAAGUAUCUUGCAUGCAUGCGUAUGGCCUUCAAGAUUUUUCCCCAUGGACGAUCUUGGACUUCAAAUUUUUUAUGUUGUGGCACGUUGGACAAUACAAUCUGUCAGAAGGUGAUUGAUUCCAUGUCAUCGCCCUCCAUACGCAUUGGAAAAAACAAGCAACAAAAGAGAAAAAAUCGCCUGUUCUUUUCCUUUCGUUCGGACUGUGAGACACAGACCCAAUCGGGUUUACACACGUGAUGACCCCUAAUCGGGCCAUUGCCUGCUCGGUGUCUUUCUUGACUUACUGUCGCUUCUACGUAAGUAUAAAGAUCCCCGUCCAUCUCCGCUCAGUUCACUCAGUUCCAUCUCCGAACGCCCUCACAGUUCGUGGAAACCACAGGGAGAGAGAGAGAGAGGGAGAAUGGCUGGUGCUAGAUUUCUGUGUUCCUUCCUCCUCGUCGUGACCGCUUGCUCCGCCGCAGCAGCUGGCUUCGAGGGCGCCGACCUUGAGUCCUUCAUCCUCCAAACCGUCGGCCACACCCGUCCUUCCCUCUCCUUUGUAGACUUCGCCCGCGGGUUAGAUAUCAACACCCCACUUAGAAAAGAAUAAUGCAAAAAUUAGAGUCGUGGAUGUUAGACAAUGAAGAGUACAUGAACCUAUAAAUUUUAUUAGAUGAUUGUCUAAGUUAUAAUAUCGGAUAUGUACAAUCGAUGACAUCAAUUUUAGUUUGGACGAGAGAUCCGAAAAAUGCAAGAGUCGAAAAAGAGAGAAUUAGCCGAUGUCAACAUGACUAUGUAAGCUAUCCGAUAGAAAGCUAUUGUCGCAAUAGGAAACUUCUAUCAAGAAAAAGCCUAUUUUGAUAUUAAACAAUAAAAAAUACAUAAUCCUAAUUACAUGCAUGACCUUUUUGAAAAUCAAGAAGUAUCCUUGUUGUCUCUAACACUCAUCUGGGUGUGUUCUUGAUUUGUCAAUUCGCCUUUGUUAUCUAUAAAAGAUUGUUGACCUUUUCGAUUGUUGUCGUUUAUCCGCGUUGUUGGUGUUUGGUUUAGGCACGGGAAGACGUACAAGACAGCGGGAGGAGAUCAAGUUGAGGUUCGAUAAUUACAGGGAGAAUCUCAAGCUCAUUCGAUCCACCUACCAGAAGGGCUUGCCUUACACUCUCGCUGUUAAUCGUACGUGGCAGUUCUUGACAUUUUCUCCUUUUCCAUUUCUUGUUUUAGACCUGAAGAUCAAUUCGGUCAUAGUCGUUUCGACUUGUUUCGUAACCCGAAGCCGAAGAGAUGGUAUAUUUUAGCUGUUGCUGCUGUCGUCGUUGAGUUUGAUUUGUGCUUGAUGGGUGGACAGAGUAUGCUGACUGGAGCUGGGAGGAGUUCAAGACGCACAGACUGGGAGCUUCUCAAAGCUGCUCUGACGCCAUCAAGGGCAGCCACAAGCUCAGCGACGAUGUUCUUCCCGAAACGGUAUUUUUCGUUGGUUCAUUUUUCUAAGUGAACCAAAUGUCAAAAAAUGGGGUUCCGUGAAACAAACACAUUCUUCGUUUUCGUUGAAACAUUCAUAUAUAAUUGAGUUAUAACGACAAAAAUCCAUUAGCUCCAUCCAUGACGACUAAACUUUCUUGUCCUCGUUUUUACUGAUUGAAAGUGCUCGCUGAAACAACUUAUUCUCUCUUCCAUCUCAAGGUUUUGGCACUUUUCAUGAGAUCCAACACUAGAUUGCUUAUUACUGUAGAAUCUACUAGCUGAUCAUUGAAGUGCGAGACCCGUGUCAAUAUUAGAUCUUUUUUUUCUUCCAAUCCUUCAUAUUUGCAGAAAGACUGGAGAAAAGAGGGCAUUGUAAGCCCAGUUAAAAAUCAACGCGGCUGUGGAUCUUGCUGGAGUUUCAGGUUUUUCUUUGUUCUCCUUCUCUUCUCUUAGAUUUAUAUUUGUCACUCACAUUAGUACGUAACACACUUAUUAACUUGGCAACUCAUUGGGAUGUCAUUACGCUAGACUGCUAGUGACCUCUAAUUUGCACUUUUGCAGCGCCACAGGAGCUCUCGAGGCUGCUUAUCACCAAGCACACGGAAAAGGAAUCUCUCUGUCUGAGCAGCAGCUCGUGGACUGCGCUACGGCUUUCAACAACUUUGGAUGCGAUGGCGGGUUGCCGUCGCAAGCCUUCGAGUACAUCAAGUACAACGGUGGCCUUGAGACCGAGGAAGCUUAUCCUUAUACUGCACGAAAUGGUACCUGCAAAUUCUCGGCUGGCAGGGUCGCUGUCAAUGUUGUCGACUCUGUCAACAUCUCCAUGGUAAGUUUCAUGGGCAAUCUGUAGAGUUAACCAAAAGAAAAGGAGAAGAAAAGGAAAAAAAAGCUCCGCAAAUUUCAUAAAGAUAGUUUCAAAUUGCCUUUAUGUUUAUAUUUGCAAUGCAUGAUGGAUUCAGGGUGCUGAGGAUGAACUGAAGCAUGCAGUUGGCAUGGUCCGGCCAGUCAGUGUGGCAUUCCAGGCCAUGGAUGUCUUCCAGCACUACAAGUCGGGUGUCUUCACCAGCGAUGCAUGUGGUAGCACUUCCAUGGUGAGCAUUUCCAAAUAAAAUGAAAGGAACACUAUCUCCAUCUCAAUCAUGUUCAAAGGAUGCCAAUGCGCAAGAUUCAUGUGGCUUUCUAAACAUCUGUUGGAAUUAAUUAGGGAUUUCUCUAGGAUAAUUUCAAUUGUUAGAAAUAUUUUAAUAAUUCUGUCCAUAUCUCUCAAGAUAGCACGUAUAUUACACAAAUAUCGCAGGCAUAUAACACAUAUAUUGCACUUAUAUCUCAAUUUGAUUGUAUAUAUUUUGAUUAAGAUCAAACCUAAAAAUAAGUUGUUAUAUUCUUCAUUGAUAUAUACAUUGAAAUAUGGGUUAAGAAUAGCACAACUACCAUAACCUUGGUACGGUGCUCACUUGAAUGCCACAAAUUUGAAAAAUUAAGUACUUAAAUGCCAUCAGUGAUUUAUCUCGUCAGAAAAUCCACUAGUCAUCUUGCAUGGCUUCGCCGACACUAACAUGGACACCAAACAUCCACUGGAGAUAAUUAGAGAUUUCUCCAGGAUAAUUUCCAUCAUUAGAGAAAUAUUAAUAAUUUUGUUAAUUAUUUAUAUCUCUCAAGAUAUUGCGCGAAUACCGCAUGAAAAUGGCACGUAAUGUAUAUCUCCCUUUGAUUGUACAUAUUUUCAUUGAGAUAUUAUUUUAGAAUAGUUAUCUAAUAAAGCCUAUAAAUAAUUUGUUUCACACUUCAUUAAUAUAUAUAGAAAUACAUGCAAACUCCACAUUUCUAGUUUUCGCAUUAUUAUUCUUAAUUACAUCGAUAAAUCUCAACCGUGACAUUUAAUUUUGAGCAUUUAUAUUGUCAAGAUCCAUAUAAUUUGAUUCCUUACUGCAAAUAAAGUUUUGCAUGAAAGGUGAUACUCAUGCUCAUGCCUAAUGAAAACUGAAUGUAUUGUAUCAGGAUGUGAAUCAUGCUGUUCUCGCUGUCGGUUAUGGAGUUGAAAACGGUGUUCCAUACUGGCUUAUCAAGAAUUCUUGGGGAGAGAGCUGGGGCGACAAAGGAUACUUCAAGAUGGAGAUGGGGAAGAACAUGUGUGGUAAGUUCCCUCUUUUGGUUUUGGUAGAACUACUUGAACAAAACGGUGCUAGGAUAACUAUGCUUUUGAAAUUCUCGCAGUUGUUUUACUCCAUGUCCAUUCCUUCUAUGCUUGGCUUUCUACUAAGUUACUCCGUCCUCGUCUAUCUAUGAUCUUAAAUUGCAGGUAUCGCUACUUGUGCAUCAUACCCUAUUGUGGCCUAGAUUGUUUUUAGAGAACCUAUGGACUCGUGCGCCAAGUGAUUCGAGACAUAAUUGCUCCACCUGAGGUUGAGUACUGUAAUGUAGCAUGGAAGGGUUUAUGCUUUAGCGCACAAAAAUAAUCUUCGAGACAAUUGUAAUUCCAUAUGGUUAAUGUUAUGUCAACGAAGACCUUAUAAAUUCCAAUCGACGUUUGCAUGGCAUGAAACCCUAUCGUUGCUAGAAUAACACAUUGCCGCAAAGGAAAAUAUGAUUCUUCCGCCAUUAGAACGGCAUGGGAUCGAAGGGGCAAAAUUUCACUCGAACUGAACGCUUUCGCUUAUUUACUCAGUAGAGAUUGAAUGCACGGUCUUACACACAUGUUAACACUCACCACGCGAUGUUUAGAUAGCCUAGAUGUGAUACUAUCUUUGAUUGCACCGGAAGAGACGGUAGCCAACAUAUUUUAUUCGCAAGGCAAAUUACACAUGCAAAGAUAAGCAAAAGUUCAUAGUUCGAUUAGCCGCCAUUCAUAUCCUCAUUCCUUAACAUGCUAAUUUGAAUGAAAUCGUAUUGUGCACAUGUUGCACAACAGCAAUUCUUUUUCCUUUUCUUUUUGGUCGUCCAUUACAGUAAUUGCUUGUCCUAUUGGUACUGAAACACUAUAAGGCUCUCAAAUUGCAAUCGUCACGGUUCUAUUUUUCUUGCAUUUGUCAUUUCCCAUGAGCUCGAUCGACUGUAGUUACAGCUCCAGAGAGAGAAGCUCAUGAUAUAUAUGCCUCAUUCUUUCCCCAAAGAAACAAGAAUAGAACCAAAGAUUUUCCAAUUUAAUAUGUUCAUAGAGUGAUUAAUAACAAAGCAUGCAAAUGUGGGGGAUAAUUGUUUAAAACGUCUUAAAUCUAUUGUACAGGACUCAAUUCAAUUCUAAACUUUUGAUUUAUUCAAUAUGAUCCCUAAACUUUUAGUAAAUACUAAAUUUAGUCUAUAAAUUAUAUGAAAACGUCAAUGUUAUCCUUCCUUUAAUUUAAGUAAAUAGAAUUUACUAACUUGGUUUCCGAUCUAGUACUAUUGAAUGGUGGACAAAAAAAAAACAUUAUACGUGAAAAAUUCAUGUAAUUAUAAUAUAAUAAUCAUUUUAAUCUGUUUAACUUGAAAAAAAAUGAUUAUCUAUGUUACUUGAUGAUGUGGAUUAUUAUAUCAUUAUCUCAGUUGAAUAUCUUACAUGGAAAAUUCUCCUGUAAUUUUUUUUUUUUUUUGGUCUAUCGUUCAAACUUGCUAAAUUGGAAGCUAAAUCAAUAAACUCCUUUUAAAUUAAAUUAAUGAAAUGAUAACAUUAGAUAUCUUCAUAUAAUUUAGAGAUUAGAUUAAACAUUUAUCAAAAGUUAAUAUAUUAUAUUGAAUAGAUUAUUCAUCUGAAUUAUAUCAUUUGGAAUUUUGAGAUUAUGAAAAUAAAAUUAGUUUAUGAUCAUGAGGGGGAUCUUAUGCUUGCGAAUGUUGCUUUCGCCGAAUAAAUCUUUGGCUUUUUCCUUGAUAAUCCCUACAAGUGUUUAAAAUAAAAUAACAAAUAAAAAACGCGACAAAGCACCCUUUUAGAGACAUUCUAGAAGCUCCAUUCAAUAGAAUAGGAUACUUGUGUGCUCCAGUCUGUUCCAAUCACAAAAUAAUAAUUUUUUUAUAAUUGGAAUGAAAAAGUUCCCCCCAAUAGCUGUUCAUCAGGACACAAAAUUAAAUAAAAAUAGGGCUAUAUAUUUAAUGUCUUGAUUUUGUAGCCAUGACUAAGUUUAUAUUGUGGGACAAGGCCAGCUAAGGCAAAAUGCCAAGACGAGAGUUUUGUCCUAAGAAGCACUGACACUCUCCGGAAGCUUUCGUGUCGUGUCCGACAUUCCAACACGCUCUGACAUGCUCCAACACGCUCCGACACGUUCUGACACGCGGUCAACAAGUGUCAGAAAAUCCGGCACGUGAUCAACUCUUUCCGACACGCGAGUCCGAAAUUCUGACGCGCGAUUCCGACACACACGGGAUCAAUUUUAAAAAUUUUCAAUACUUGAUGGGUCAAAAUAUAAAUAUAUGAAAAAAUAAUGAAAAUAACAAAAAUAAAAGGGAAAGAAGAAAAUUCUUACUUUCAAAUUUCUCACUUAAAAGUCUUGAUCUUCCCGUGAGUGACGAUGGAACACCCCUCUUCUCGUCGGCGUCGUUUCGUUGCCCCCACAUACUUAAAGUUAUAAUUUUUUUUUUGCUUCUUUUCGCCUCUCGCAAGCAUCGCUUGCGAGUUAUCUCUUUUGGUCUAUGUUAUUGGCUUGUGAGUUAUCUCUCACAUUUUCCAUGGCGAAUAUAGUGAUUUCCUGUUCUUUUGGUCAUACUUCGAGAGUUCUUGUCCUCGAUUUUCACUUUUCUCGAACCUUGUUUUGCAAAGGAGCUCCAAGCUAGUCUAUAUCAUGAACUCUAUAAACUCUGUCUAAGACUAUAAGAAAUCUCACUAAUCUCCGACAAGUAUAAGAAAACAUGACAUGUUCUUUCAAGUUUACUCUUUCAUGUUUGCAAUUUUUGAAUUUCUCGUUCAACCUCUGUCAAAUUAAAACAAUGAAUGAUAUUAACAAAUGUUUGAUUAAUAUUUUUAGUACAAAUUAAUUCUAUGCUCUUUUAUUAUUAUUUAUUUAUUUAUGCAUUUAUAUAUAAAAAUAUAUAUUUAACAUAUAACUUGUUGGAACAUGUCAGAAUUCUUUAUUUUUUUUAAAAAAAUGACGUGUCGGCAUGUCGUGUCGUGUCGUGUCGCGUCGCGUGUUGCGUGUCUAUGUCGAUGCUACAUAGGUUUUGUCUACCUCUGCCAAGCAGACCCCAAUUUGCAACUUGCAUUUCAGUGGAUAGCUCAAUUUGCUAAAAAUUCCUAACAAAUUUUGACUGGAGAAUCAAAGCAUUUAUCAAUUAAGCUGUUUCCUUAAGAAGGAAAAAAAAGAUCUUAAUACUAUAUAGCUGAAUAAAUUAUUGAAACACGACUUCUAAAACUUUGCAUAGUAUUCAUCUUCUUUCGGAAUUCAAUCUACCAUCAAUAAUUAAAACCGAAGCAAAUAUUGUGCACAUUAUAAAAGUGAAGUUGUCGAAUUGAAAUUCAAAAGAAUUCUAUAAUGCAUUGUAUAUCCUAGAAUAUGUCCCAUUCUUCUACUCUUUCCCGAGAGUCAAUGACUAUUCAUAAUUUUACCUUGACACCAAUGAAUUUAGAAAUUAUUAUAUCAUAUCAAUAACUAAUCUUUUUUUAAUAACUCCAAUUAUAACAUUGUUUUCAUUAUUUACUGAACUCUCUCUCUCUCUUAAAAAAACAAACUUUGGCUUAGUUGGAAGAUCACAAAAAAACUACAAUUUGAAAAAUGGAAGAGGCAGAUUAUAUACUGCAUUAAGGAUAAGUAAUAUUUGGUCCAUCUAUAUAGUUUUAUUUCCCGAUUUUCAUUUCUCGAAAAAUGUUGCUAAUUAGAUCUUUUAGAAUUUGCACAUGAUCAUCUAGUUCUAAUGGUCAAAAGAGGGUGACCAAAUGCUACGAACGUUCCUUGCAAUUGCAACCACCUCACCUAGACUUAUGGAAUUUCACCGAACCACCUAAUAGUCAAUUUUCUCAUUCAAAAACAAUGCUAACCAUGUCACCCAUUGACCACGUUAUUCGUUUUCCUUAAGGAUUGCCAUCACGGCACUUUGGCCCUUUUAUUUCUUCCUAAGAUCAAUAGAUUAGUGGCGGCCGUGGUAGAAACUAGAGAAUUGCAUAGGAGAUGUCAUCACGGAUGACAUACGGAACGAGGUGAUGUGCAAAGGCGAAGAACAUUAGUAGGAGAGCAAGCUUCAUUGGGGCAUGGGAGGCUUAAUUUCUUAAUCAUCUUGCUGAAAAGUAUAAUCUUGCGUACUAAGCAAACAAAGAUGCAACAAUUUAUCAUUAAAAAUAUGGCGCUUAAGUUUAAAUGUAUAGAUUAUUUUUAUGUAACAACCUUUUCUAUGUGCGAUCAUCGUGCCAUGCUUCAAUGGAGCACGUUGUUCUCUCUCACACACGCGCAAUUAAUUCAAACGCAUGAGGAAAUUAUACUAUGGCCGCCAUUAAAAUGACAGGGAAAAUUUCAAUUAAGGGCCUGAAAUGAAACCGUUUUCUCAAAAAAUGGCCUAAAGUGGACAUUGUAUCAAAUAAGGGCCCGAAGUGACUGACUUAGUCUCGAGUAAGGGUUUCAACUUAAAAGCCAGUCAAAUCUUAUUUGCAACUAGGGGUAUUUUCGUCUAAAGACUUUUUCUCUUUUUCCUUUUUGUUUUUCUUUUCUUUCUUUUUUCAUCUUGCUCACCUCCUUCUUGACAAAUGCAUCAAACUCCUGACGCACAAGCUUGAACAAGUGCAAAACAAUUUGAACAAUUUAGGAAAAGAAGAAAACAAAAACAUAUUCAAGAAGUUAUGCAGUUUUGCAAAACUGCAAAUUGCGUGCUUCAGUUCUGCAGCCUCCCCAUCAGCAAACUUCAAAGCGCAUGCUCUACAUUAUGCAAUUUUGCAUCCUCACCCAAGAACUCAUCAAUCUCGGCAUGAGCCGUUUUUUAAGUUAUUCGCCACCACUCACCUUCUCUGAUGACGAUAAUGAACUUGAGAAUCAAGAAAUAUCCAUAAGUGAGUUUUGUUUUUAUUCAAUUUGCUUGUAAAAACUUAUUAUGGCAAUCAAAGUAACAGUUUCAUGCUCUCCCCACCAAUGAAAUUGCCUAUGCCAUGAUAACUUUCCCUCGUAGCUUCUUGGGAAUGUUUUAUUGGGUCUAGGUUGGAUUAUUCAUAACAUUCAUGAACGUAGCUUGCAUUGAGGUGAACUAUGUGGCUUCAUGAGAGGGUCUAAUUGUGUCGUGCAUGCUGGUUAUUUUCAAAGGCUGCUGAAUCAUUCUGACCCGUGAUUGAAGAUACUCACCUUUGGUGGCGAUUCGAAUCAAACAGCACUCAAUCUAAAAAACAAAUGACUCUGGUCUACACAUGUUCAAACAAAUUUGUCUCUCUAACUAUGAAAUAUUAUCUAUAGAGAUUUGAGAGAAAAUAACAAGAUGAAAAAAGUGCAAAAUCGCUUAGAAAUUCCCAAAACCACGUAUUUCACUAAACAAAUUAAUGCACAUGAGUAUCACAAAGAUUUCUCAAAAACCUCUAAUAAAUUGGGCUUAGGCACUUCAAUCUGGCUUCUCCUCGCUAAGAUCGAUCAUAGCUUGCGUGAGCACCGAUUUGAAUUCAAGCAUUGAUGACAACGAGGGUAGCAAGCUAAUGGCUUACAUCUCAUCAUGCUUCGUGCUUGACCACGACCACAAGAUGUGGGGAUCGAAUCGAGCUAAGCGUCACAUCUUGGUCCACUCAUACUCGAUCUAGGGCUUGGAUUGACCUCUUCUUUCAACAAAGGUACUGGAAUUGCUAUUGAGGGCAAUGACAAAUGAGGUUGAGGGCGUUGAUGGCUAAUUCAGCAAGGAAGAUAGAGAUGGACUUUGGAGAACGUGAUCUAAAGAGUGAAAAAGGUGAAGGCUCGAUGAUGAUGAAGAAAAGAAAGAGAAGGAGAAAAUAAAUUAAGAAAAGAAGGAAAAGAAAGUCUUUAGACGAAAAUAUCCCUAGAUGCAAAUAAGAUUUGGUUGGUUUUUAAGUGAGGCCCUUAUUUGAAACCAAGUUGGUCACUUCAGGUUCUUGUUUAAGACAAUAUCCAUUUUGGGUCCUUUUUUGAGAAAACGGUUCCACUUUAGGUUCUUAAUUGAAAUUUUCCCAAAAUGACGUGAUCUUACCUUUUGCUUUAUGGCAACUUUGAUCCCCAAAACGUGUCCAACAAUCAAAACAUAGACGGGGAUUGUAUAAGCUCGUGCGGAUACCAAAAUCAGUUGUCCUUAUUCGUGUAUCUAUCUUCCGUUUCUGUAUCGUCUCUCACACGCCACACGCCAUAGCGUAAAAUAGAAAUGAACCAAGCCAACUCAUCCAUAGCUCAUCAAGCAUGAGAGCUCAAGGAACACACGGAGUCAUCGAAUGAGAUCGCAUCCAUAUUGCUAGACGCGAGAACACCAAUAUCUUGUUCGGGUCGUGGAUUGAUAGCGCGUGGCUUGUUCAUUCAUGCCCAAGGCACAAUCUCGUCUUAUCGAAAAGACUCAUAGAUUCAUCAAUUCCCAAGUAACUCAGUCACCGAUUCAUCAUCUAUGGCCACUUGGCUUGAAAACAACCCAUGCACUGAGCCAUGAUCCUUCGUGUGGGGAGCCACGCGAUACAUCCGUCUUUGUCUAGAGACGCUCUUUUCGAUCGGUCGAGACCGAGGAUUAUUGAACGUUAUUAUGACUCAUUCUUGAUUCAUUCAUGUGCCUCUGACAUGAGUCAUGCAUCGCCCGAUGAUCGCCCAAACGAGAUCGUGCCAUCUUUCCAACUUAUUUCGAACCUUACCGGACCAUAUUAUUGUUUUUCUCAAACCCAAUUCAUCCCUGCCCCUUUCUCUCCAUCUCUGGGCACAACCCCAUGAACGGCUACGUCCCUCGCCUUGCUUGAUUACCACGGCGACAGCGACCACCACCACCCUUGCCGGCGCCAACGAUGGGGGCGUGCGUAUAUCGCUCUCCUCUCUCUCUGGUCGUGUCUUUGUCUUCUCUCUCUCUCUCUCUCUCUCUCUCUCAUCUCUCUUCUUCGUCAAAGGCCGAGCUCAGCGGCGUGAAUUGUCGACAUCAAGCCCAGCGCAGCAUGACGACAGGGUGAGCAGAGAUGGGCUAUUGGAUAUCUGGACAACGAUGAUGGACACGAUGACAAACCGGUGGCGGCGCUCGAGUGGUUUAGUGGGCGACGGAAGGCGGCUGCAGGUUGAGGUGCAUAGGAGAUGGAAAGAGGCUGUGCUUGAAUUCGUGCGGGAUUGAAUCCGAUGCGGUGAACGCUCAAAAUGUGAUGGACAGGCGACACGGUCUCGUGAUGAGUGACAAAGAAAUGCAAACAUAAAUGGAGAUAGCCGACCUGCAUCCAGCAUGUGGACAUGCACGCUGGCGAAAAGCUCCAAUCAUAUUAACUUUCAUUAAAACUUGUGUUCGGAGAUAAGAAAAAAUUUGUCAAAAUACAUGAAUCUCUUGCUAAAUGACGUUGCAGUAUUUUACGAUGUAAACCCACUUUAGAUAAGCUUAAAAACUGAAAGCUAGACGCAGUUGGCCUUUUUUUCCCCCCAAGUAUAGUGUUGAUCAAGCAACAUAAACCUUCUUUUCUUUUAUUUUUUGCCAUCUUCCCUCCUCAGGAGAUGCGUCCUUCUCGAACGAAAAUUCCACAUUUUAUAUAUUGUUGUGCGAUUUCACGGCCCGUUAUCAACCGGAACGGGCUAGUUUUCUAGUGGGCUCAUAUGUUGGUUUUGUCAUCUUAGGCCUCGUCUGAAUCUUGGACAGAGUCGAUGGUGACAAUUCGUCUUGCUCUAUGUAAUUUUGGGAGGAAUUGCUUUUGUCGUGAGUCGAUGGCAAAGCAUCGCGAGUAGGAAUCUCAUUCAGGCCCUUUGAAGUUUUGAAUUCCGAGAUUUUCUUGAAACUAUCAUGUGAGCUCUUUGCGAGACUUAUCGUGACAGUACUUUUUUCGCCUAAAGCAUCACGAGUAGGAAUCAUCAUCUAUCACUUCACCAUUCUCAUUCAGGCCCUUUGAAAAUUACAAGAUUUUCUUGAAACUAUCAUGUGCUACUCUUUGCGAGACUUACGUGACCGUACUUUUUCCGCCUAAGAGAUAGGUUAAGUUCUAUUACAUAGGAUCGGAUGGAGUUUUAACUCCUUUCACAUGAAUUGUGGGAUCCAGUAAUCUCUCAUUGAAUUUCAGUGGGUUCGUCCUAAACCAUACAAGUCAUUUUCCACUUGCCUAGCAAAUUGUUAUGAAGAAAGCCUAUAGAUAAAGUGUUGAGUCCAUCAAGCCCUCAACUUACCUCACGAACAAGGUCAAAUGCAAGCCUAAUCCCAAUGAAAGGCUCAGGCCAAGCACGACGCCAUCAGCCGUAUCCGAUGACGUUGAAAAUCGAAUCUAUACCUAGAGCUCUUAGAAUAAACGCAAGAGCAUCCUAUUGCCCAUCAGCUCUCUUGAUCUCACAUUCAUCAAAUGGUUCACAAAGUGAUAAGGUCGUGUGUUUUUAUUCGUAGAUUCUUGUCAUAGGAGCAAUAUCGCCAUCAAUCAAGACAAGACAAGGCGUCUCUCUCUGUCAAUUUUCUUGGGCUGAAGAAAUAUCUCAUCUCUACAAUCGAUCUCAUGCUUCUUGUUAUUUUCUAAAUAAUAAUUCAAGUGGUCGAAUAAUACAACACAUACAAGGCAGAAUAAUCUGGUCAUGUGCGCUCCACUAACAUAUGACAAAAAGGGAUUGUACACGUUGAACAGACUCUUUUGGUGAUCAUUUUGAAUGACCGUGGAUGGCAAUUUAGAAAAAAAAAAUGAAGAUCUAAUUCGAUCGGGGAAUUGAGUGGGAUCGAGAUGUACUUUUUGAGUAGAUUAUCCAUGCUAAACACUUCAAUUUAGCUCUAAUCUUAUUGACCAUGUCACAAAAAAUCUCCAACCAAUAAACUUGUACUAUAUUUGUCUCUAAUUAGUAUAUACCUAUGCUAGUUUUACACCAAAAUUGUGGUAAAUUCGAGAUUUUUAUAGGAUAAUUAUAAUACAGGUGUAAUGAGUUAAAAUGAAUAUAGUACGGAUAUACCAAUUUAAAAAAUGUGGCACAAAUCUAUCAAUUCAAAAGUUUUUAUGACGUAAAAAUUAAUUUGACAUAAAUGUGAUAUGAAUAUACCAAUUUAAGUUUUUUUUUGGUUUUAUCCUUUCAAAAAAAAAAAUCAAGACCAAUCAUUUGAAUAAUUAUUGCAUCAUUACAUUUAUGAUGUCCUUUUUUCUGAAUUCAUCGGCACAUUUCUCGAUAUAGUCGACAAGACCUAUAAACUCAAGAUUUCGAAUUGCGCUAAAUGCUUGAUUUCAUUGAUUCCUCAUAUUCCUUUUUUUGCAUCUCCUUAAUGAACAUAUUCCAAGCCGUUCAUCAUCAAAAUGGGGAAAGGUUGAAGCUUUCCAUCUCCAUGACUUUUCUACGACUUUUCGUGUAGGAUCUCAAUUUUAUCACCAAAUCUAGAUUUUUGGCCAAAAAAAUCUCCAAUUCUAGAUUCUUGGGCCAAUCAAGAAAGAGAGAAUAUUUCUUAAGCGAAGUUUAUGGAUCACAUGACAUUAUCUGGCCUUUGUCUUGGUGUGACUAAGUUCAAUAUACUCGAAUUGAAUAGAAGGGGUGAAGUCAAUUAUGCGAGCUUGAUUUCUCACAUAAUGUAUUUAUUAUAUUCAUCACGUGCGAUGCCUAACUUUAAUUCAAUAUAGUAUUUCUUUUUUCGCAUGUAACUUGACUUAAUCACACAUCAAAAGUAAAUUCUAAGCUCAUUCGAGUUUGAACUUUGCAUAAAUCCCAUCCUAUUCAUAGAAAUCAAAGUAAACAUCAAUAACAUGUUUCUUACUAUAGUGAAUGUAUGAAUAGAACUAAGAUUUUAUGAGAAUCCAAUUAAUUAUAUUAGAUUCGCCAACCCAUUCAAAUCACGAAUUUCCAAGCUGGACUUCCAACUCGGAGCAAGCCCAAAAAAGGAGGGGUCUUGCUAAUGACUAUAUCUAGGCAUUUGUUAAAUUAUGCCUAAGGAGGAAAUAUGCAAUUUUUGAAGCAACGGCUGUGCGCAUUAUGAGUACAAUCGGCAUUUAUGCACUGUUUCCUCAUUUAGUUGUUUGAUAAGUGCCUUGAAAGCCCUUUUAAACAAAAUUCGUGAUAAAAAAGAACUCAAUCUCCCAUAAUUGACGUACUCAUAUCGAAAAAGGGGGAUUGACUCCGCGUCAUCGCCCUCCAAACGCUUUGGAAAAUACAAGCACAAAAGAGAAAAAAUCGCCUGUUCUUUUCCUUUCGUUUGGACUGUGAGACACAGACCCAGUCGGGUUUAUACACGUGAUGAGCCCUAAUCGGGCCAUUGCCUGCUCGGUGUCUUUCUUGACUUACUGUCGCUUCUCCGUAAGUAUAAAGAUCCCCGUCCAUCUCCGCUCAGUUCAUUCAGUUCCAUCUCCGAACGCCCACACAGUUCGUGGAAACCACUGGGGGGAGAGAGAGAGAGAAUGGCUGGUGCUAGAUUUCUGUGUUCCUUCCUCCUCCUCGUGACCGCUUGCUCCGCCACAGCAGCUGGCUUCCAGGGCGCCGACCUCGAGUCCUCCAUCCUCCAAACCAUCGGCAACGACCUUCCCGCCCGCUCCUUCGUAGACUUUGCCAACAGGUUAGAUAUCAACACCCCACUUAUAAAAGAAUAAUGCAAAAAUAUAGAGUUGUGGAUGUUAGACAAUGAAGAGUACAUGUACCUAUGAAUUUUAUUAGAUGGUUGUCUAAGUUAAAAUAUCGGAUAUAUACAAUCAAUGACAUCAAUUUAAUUUUAGUUUGGACAAGUGAUCCAAAAAAUGCGAGAGUGGAUAAAGAGAGAAUUAGCUAAUGUCAGCGUGACUAUGUCGAGGCUACUAUGCAAGCUACCUGAUAGGAGGCUGUCGUCACAAUAGGAGAGUACCGUCAAGAAAAGGCCUAUUCUGAUGUUAAACAGUAAAAAAUACAUCUUUACCAAAAAAAAAAAAAAACAGUAAAAAAUACAUGAUCCUAAUUACAUGCACGGCCUUAUUGAAAAUCAAGAAAUAUUCUUGUUGUCUCUAACACUCAUCUGGGUGUGUUCUUGGCUUGUAAAUUCCCCUUUGUUAUCUAUAAAAGAUUGUUGACCUUUUCGAUAGUUGUCGUUUAUCCGCGUUGUUGGUGUUUGGUUUAGGCACGGGAAGACGUACCAGACAGCGAAGGAGAUCAAGUUGAGGUUCAACAAUUACAGGGAGAAUCUCAAGCUCAUUCGAUCCACCAACCAGAAGGGCUUGCCUUACACCCUCGCUGUUAAUCGUACGUGGCAGUUCUUGACAUUUUCUCCUUUACUAUUUCUUGUUUUAGACCUGAAGAUCAAUUCGGUCAUAGUCGUUUCGACUUGUUUCAUAACCCGAAGCCGAAGAGAUGGUAUAUUUUAGCUGUUGCUGCUGUCGUCGUUGAGUUUGAUUUGUGCUUGAUGGGUGGACAGAGUAUGCUGACUGGAGCUGGGAGGAGUUCAAGACGCACAGACUGGGAGCUUCUCAAAGCUGCUCUGCCACCACCAAGGGCAGCCACAAGCUCGCCGACGAUGUUCUUCCCGAAACGGUAUUUUUCACGGCGACGCCUCAAUCGGAAGCUUUCCGCUCGUAUCAUCCUUCGGUCAAUGAGAUAAAACUACUUGAUUUAGACUAGCAGCUGUACUGCUUUUAGCUGUGUGGUGUCUUCUGUAUCGACUGGCAAUUUUCUCUGCUAAAUUACAGCAAAAUAGUUACUCAGCUACCACUAGCUGCCUUGCAUCCGCAUCAUAUUUUUGGGUGCACUUGUUUUACGAAAAACUCAAUAAUAUAAAAAAUUGCUUUCCAGUAAAAUAUUUUCUAAGAAUAUGGUUAAUUUUUCUUUAUUUAGUGAUAUAUAAUCAAGAAUGUUUUUUGUUGUUUAGAUAUUAUUGAAAAAUGAUUUUAAUCUCACAAUUUUAUUUCAUGCAAAAGAAAUUCAAACUUAUAAUUUUUUAAAUUCGAAUUGUUAAUUUUUUUAUUUCUCUCUUUUUUUAUUUUUCUUUUUAAAAUUGGAAUUUUUAAUUUUCUUUUUUCUCAUUUAUUUUUCUUUUCUUUCCUUCUCUUUUUUUCCCUUCCUCCGCCCCUACCAGUUGACGACGGCCAUAGCUUUGCCUCGCCGAGACUAGGCAAGCCACGAGUUUGUCAGUCACGACAGAGCACAGCUCGCCCAACCCAGGCGAGCUCGGGCUCCCCUGGUUUAGCUAAGCUGCAGCCACAUUGACCUCGACGAAUCUUAGGUUGGAGAGCUUAGGCUCGCCUAGAUUGGCCAAGCCGUGAGUUCGUCUGCCUCGAUGAAGCUCGGGCUUGCCUAGAUCAACCAAGCCUCGAGCUCACUGACCUUAGUUGAGCUCGGGCUCACUUGGUUCAAUCGAGUUGCGAGCUUGCCGAUCUUGACCAAGCUCAAGCUCACCUGGAUCGACCAAACCUCAAACUUGCCAGCUCGUAUCUUGGCUGGUUGUUGACGGUGGAGGAAGAAGGGGGAAGGAGGAAGAAAAUAAAUAAUAAAUAAUUAUUUUUUAGAAAUUAUUAUAAAUUAGAUUUUUUUAAAAAUAUUUUUUAUUUUAAAAAUAAAAUUUUCAUUAACCAAGGGGUCUAAGAUUAGGAAAAAAAUUUGGAAAAUGUUUUCCGGUUCUUUCAAAGGAAAAUUAGUUUUCUUGAAUUUAAAUUUUGAUAGGAAAACAUUUUUCGUUGAUGAGGAAAAUAUUUUUCUGUUAAUUCAUUUUCCUAAGCGUACCAGAAAAUGGGGUUCUGGGAAACAAACACACUCUUUGUUUUCUUUGAAACAUUCAUGUAUAAUUGAGUUAUAACGACAAAAAUCCAUUAGCUCCAUCCAUGACGACUGAACUUUCUUGUCCUCGCUUUUACGAAUUGAAAGUGCUUGCUGAAACAACUUAUUCUCUCUCUUCCAUCUCAAGGUUUUGGCACUUUUCAUGAGAUCUACGACUAGAUUGCUUGUUACUGUAGAAUCUACUAGCUGAUCAUUGACGUGCGAGACCUGUGUCAAUAUUAGAUCUUUUUUUUUAUUCCAAUCCUUCAUAUUUGCAGAAAGACUGGAGAAAAGAGGGCAUUGUAAGCCCAGUUAAAGAUCAAGGCACCUGUGGAUCUUGCUGGAGUUUCAGGUUUUUCUUUGUUCUCCUUCUCUUCUCUUAGAUUUAUAUUUGUUACUCACAUUAGUACGUAAUACACUUAUUAACUUGGCAACUCAUUGAGAUGUCAUUAUGCUAGACUGCUAGUGACCUCUAAUUUGCACUUUUGCAGCGCCACAGGAGCUCUCGAGGCUGCUUAUCACCAAAAACACGGCAAAGGAAUCUCUCUGUCUGAGCAGCAGCUCGUGGACUGCGCUACGGCUUUCAACAACUUUAAAUGCGCUGGCGGGUUGCCGUCGCAAGCCUUCGAGUACAUCAAGUACAACGGUGGCCUUGAGACCGAGGAAGCUUAUCCUUAUACUGCACAGAAUGGUACCUGCAAAUUCUCGGCUCGCAGGGUCGCUGUCCAAGUUGUUGACUCUGUCAACAUCUCUAUGGUAAGUUUCAUGGGCAAUCUGUAGAGUUAGCCAAAAGAAAAGGAGAAAAAAAACAAAGCUCCGGAAAUUUUAUAAAGAUAGCUUCAAAUUGCCUAUAUGUUUAUAUCUGCAAUGCAUGGUGGAUUCAGGGUGCUGAGGAUGAACUGAAGCAUGCAGUUGCCAUGGUCCGGCCAGUCAGUGUGGCAUUCCAGGCCCAGCAUGACUUCCAGCACUACAAUACGGGCGUCUACACCAGCGAUACAUGUGGUAGCACUUCCAUGGUGAGCAUUUCCAAAUAAAAUGAAAGGAACACUAUCUCCAUCUCAAUCAUGUUCAAAGGAUGCCAGUGCGCAGGAUCCAUGAAGCUUUCUAAACAUCUGUUGGAAUUAAUUAGGGAUUUCUCUAGGAUAAUUUCCAUUGUUAGAAAUAUUUUAAUAAUCCUGUCCAUAUCUCUCAAGAUAACACGUAUAUUGCACGAAUAUCGCAAGCAAAUAACACAUAUAUUGCACUUAUAUCUCCAUUUGAUUGUAUAUAUUUUGAUUAAGAUAAAACCUAAAAAUAGGAUGUUAUAUUCUUCAUUGAUAUAUACAUCGAAAUAUGGGUUAAGAAUAGCACGACUACCAUAACCUUGGUACAGUGCUCACUUAAAUGCCACAAAUUUGAAAAAUUAAGUACUUAAAUGCCAUUAGCGAUUUAUCUCGUCGGAAAAUCUGCUAGUCAUCUUGCAUGGCUUCACCGGCACUGACAUGGACACCAAACAUCUAUUGGAGAUAAUUAGAGAUUUCUCCAGUAUAAUUUCCAUCGUUACAAAAAUUUUAAUAAUUUUGUUGAUUAUUUAUAUCUCUUAAGAUAUUGCGCAAAUACCGCAGGAAAAUGGCACGUAAUGUAUAUCUCCCUUUGAUUGUACAUAUUUUGAUUGAGAUAUUAUUUUAGAAUAGUUAUCUAAUAAAGCCUAUAAAUAAUUUGUUUCACACUUCAUUAAUAUAUAUAGAAAUACACGCAAAUCCACAUUUCUAUUUUUUGCAUUAUUAUUCUUAAUUACAUCGAUAAAUCUCAACGGUGACAUUUAAUUUUGAGCAUUUAUCUUGCCAAGAUCCAUAUAAUUUGAUUCCUUACUGCUAAUGAAGUUUUGCAUGAAAGGCAAUACUCAUGCUCGUACCUAAUGAAAACUGAAUGUAUUAUAUCAGGAUGUGAACCAUGCUGUUCUCGCUGUCGGUUAUGGAGUUGAAAAUGGUGUUCCAUACUGGCUUAUCAAGAAUUCUUGGGGAGAGAUCUGGGGCGACAAAGGAUACGCCAAGGUGGAGAUGGGGAAGAACAUGUGUGGUAAGUUCCCUCUUUUGGUUUUGGUAGAACUACUUGAACAAAACGGUGCUAGGAUAACUAUGCUUUUGAAAUUCUCGCAGUUGUUUACUCCAUGUCCAUUCCUUCUAUGCUUGACUUCUACUAAGUUACUCCGUCCUCGUCUAUCUAUGAUCUUAAAUUGCAGGUAUCGCUACUUGUGCAUCAUACCCUAUUGUGGCCUAGAUUUUUUUUAGAGAACCUAUGGACUCGUGCGCCAAGUGAUUCGAGACAUAUUUGCUUCACCUCAAGGUUGAGUACUGUAAUGUAGCAUAGAAUGGUUUAUGCUUUAGCAGGGUUUAUGCUUUAGCGUACAAAAAUAAUCUUCGGGACAAUUGUAAUUCCAUAUGGUUACUGUUAUGUCAACGAAGACCUUAUGAAUUCCAAUCUAUGUUUGCAUGGGAUGAAACCCAAGCGUUGCAAGAAUGACGCAUUGCUGCAAAGGAAAAUAUGAUUCUUCCGCCAUUAAAACGGCAUGGGAUUGAAGGGGCAAAAUUUCACUCGAACCAAACACUCUCACUUAUUUACUCAGUAGAGAUUAAAUGCACGGUCUUACACACAUGCUAAACACUGACCAUGCGAUGUUUAGAUAGCCUAGGAGAGGUGAUACUAGCUUUGAUUGCACCAGAAGAGACAGUAGCCAACAUCUUUUAUUCGCAGGGCAAUUUACAUAGGCAAAGAUAAUCAAAAGUUCAUAGUUCGAUUAGCCGCCAUUCAUAUCCUCAUUCCUUAACAUGCUAAUUCGAAUUACAUUGUAUCGUGCACAUGUUGCACAACAGUAAUUAUUUUUCCUUUUCUUUUUUGGUCGUCCGUUACAAUAAUUGACUUGUCUUAUUGGUGCCUGGAAACACUGUGAGGCUCUCAAAUUGCAAUCGUCCCAGUCCUCUUUUUCUUGCAUUUGUCAUUUCCCAUGAGCUCGAUCGACGGGAGUUACAACUCCGGAGAGAGAAGCUCAUGAUAUAUGCCUCAUUCUUUCCCCAAAGAAACAAGAAUAGUACCAAAGAUUUUCCAAUUUAAUAUGUUCAUAGAGUGAUCAAUAACAGGGCAUGCAAAUGUGGGGGAUAAUUAUUUAAAAAGUCUCAAACCUAUUGUACAUGAUAUAAUUCAAUUCUAAACUUUUCAAUUUGAUCAAUUUAGUCUCAAAUAUUUUAAUGAUUUGCCGAUAUAGUCAUUUUAACCAAUUUAAACUAUCAAUCUCCGAAGUAAAUGCCAACCUUCCUACAUGAUAAAACCGUUAAGAUAGUUGGUGCUAACAUAGACAAAUUUUAUAAAUUUUUCUACUUCUCUUUUUUUUUUCCCCCUUUUUGUCUUUUUUUCCUUUUUUUUUUUUCUAUUUUCCUUUGUCGAUCCGGCCUAGGCGAUGGUUGACAAAGAUUGUUGGCCACAGGCGAGGGUUGGAAUGCCCUUGUCAACCCUCCCAGGCCUUUGCCGGACACACUCGUCAACCCUCCCAGGCCUUUGCCGGACACAGUGAAGGUUAAAAAAGUACCAAAAAAGUCAUAAACUUAUUGAAUUGUUAUCAAUAUAAUUAUAAACAUUUCAAUCAAACUAAUUUAGUCGUAAAUAUCUUCACAUGAAUACCAAUUAAGUCUAUCUUGCCAAUUUAAAUCGGAAAUUGCUCACGUGGACACCCGUCCUACGUUGCACGGAUAACACUAAGUGGACUUUUUUUUUAAUUUUUAAUAAUUUUUUGAAUUUAUUUAUUUAUUUUUCCUUUCUUUUUUUCUCAAUUUUUUUUUUAAAAUCUACAUUAGUGCUAUUCGUGUCACAUCGAACAACCGGUGUUCACGUCAACAAUUUCUUACCUAAAUUAAUCGAAUGAACUCAAUUGAUAUCGAUGUGAAAAUGUUUAAAAUUUUGGUCCAACUAAAUUUUUUUUAAAUGAAUUAAUAUUAAUGCGAUAGGUUUAGAACUUUUUUUCAUACUUUUAUGAUUAAUUCAAUUGAUAUCAAUGUGAAAAUGUUUAAGACCUUGCUCCAAUUAAAAAAAAAUUAAAAUGAACUAAUAUUAAUGUAAUAGGUUUAGAAAUUUUUUUAUACUUUUCUCAUACUCAAGAGACGAAUAUUUUCUCCAAAAUUAGACCUGAAGAGAUCGGCAUUUAACAACUGGAGUAAGCCUCAUUCCUUCCUUCAGAAACCGGCGACCGUUACUCGAUAAGCCCGUAAAGUGGGGACCCUCAAAGAUCUUUUCUUGUGCAGGACAGAACAAAAAAGCCCUCUUCUUGGCUCGCGGAGAAAGGUCUUUUCUUGUGUCUUUACGUGAAAAGGAAGAUUGGCAACCAGCAAUGGAUCGUGUGGCCCUCCGACGAGGGCCGACAAGGGCAUCACAACCUUAGCCUGUGGCCAGCCACCUCCGCCAACCAUUCUCGAGCCCCAACUACUAACGGAGAUUAGCUAAUAUUCAUAUCCUUACAGAAAUUGACUUAUGGCUAGACCCGUUAAACAAGUGAGUUGGGUCGGGUUUGGAUCGGGUCAUAAAUGGUCCGACCCAAAUAGACUCAUUUAACUCGUUUAUGACCCAUUUAUUACAGUGCAAAAUUUUUUACUCAUACCCAACCCGACCUAUACUUAACCCAUAUCUGACCUAUUUAAUUAAACUUAAGAAAGUUUAUUUCUUAUAUAUAUAUAUAUAUUAGAAAUUGUAUUACUAAAAUAGUUUUAUACAACACAAAUUUAAUGGAAAAUUUUUAUAAUUUUUAAAAUAAUUAUUUUAAAAAAUUCGAAUUUUAAUUAUUUUUAUAUUUAUUUUUUAAGUAUAUAAUUUUUCUUUUUCUUUUUUUUUUCUUUUUUGUUCUUCUUCUUCUUUGGCCGGUCUCUGGCCAUUGCCGUGCCAGCCACCAAAAGGAGGAAGAAAAAAGAAAAAAAAAAGGAAAAGAAAAAAGAAAAAAGAAAAUAAAAUUAAAAUAAUUAUAAUUAUAAUUUUGAUUUUUAUAAAAAAAAAUAUUUUUGUAAAGUUAAAGAGGGAAGAAAGAGAUUCUGAGGUUUUGGUUGAAAAUGGAUUCUAAAUCUAACCCAUUUAAGACCCACUUAAGACCCACCUAUCUUAAGUUUUUAAUUGUUAAACCUAUUUAACAAGUUUCUUCAAAUAAAUAAGUGACCCAUAUAUGACCCAUUUAUGAUUUAAAUGGGUCAUGUAUGGAUCUAAAACCCAUUUUUCCACCUCUACUUAUGGCAAAAUAUCGGGUUAAAGUCCGUACAUGAAUAUUCUUUGUGAUAUCUUCUCCCAUUCAACAAUAGGUAAGGGUGUAAUGGUCCUGUUUUUUUUUUUUUUUUUUUUUGGUAAAGGUAAUAAUAUAAAGAGGAAAUGUCAAAAGUAUAAAAAAUCAUGGCACCGAAACUUACACUCAAGAUGAAUAAACAUAAUGAGUGGAAGUAUGCCAUGAUGUAAAACACAAUGCAACGCCUAAAAUAAGGCAAACAACAAACUAGAAGGUGUAAUAGUCCUGUUGGUGUGUGCAAACCUCGAAAGCUCUCAAAUCGCUAUCUUCAUAGUUAUCUUUUCAUCUGUUAUAUCAUAUUCCACUUGAUCGAUCGAUCAAAAUAAAUUACAGCUCGGGAGUAGAGAGAGAGACUGGUGAAAUAUGCCUCAUUCUUUUACCAAGGAAAAAGAAUUGUACCAAACCUUUGCUAAUUUAAUAACUUCCUAGAGUGAUAUAAAAUGUAGUCAACAAAAGAAUAUAAAUUGUUGGAUCCUUUCCCUUCUAGCUUACGAUGAAACAUAACCCAAAAAUCGAUCCCUUCUCUCGACCUUGCUAAAAUUUCUCCUCCUUUGCAUAUUAAUGGGCGGCCAACAAAUUAUUUCGGAUGAUAAAAAACAGCGGAUAUUUACAUUUAAAAUGAGCAGAGGAUUGAGGGAUCUGGAAAGCUAAUGACCCAUUAAGACCUCGCAAUAGCAGCUGCGUUUCAUUUUUCCUGAGGGCAUUGUUCAUUACUGAUCAUCUCACUCUUUAGUGAUGCAUAAGCCAGAGACUUUCGACUUGGAUGCUAGAAGUCUCCAUUUUGGACUUCUGAUCCAUGGGGACAUCUAGAUAGCUAUCAAAAUCUCUCUACUAUACACGAAACAACUGUCUCCAGCUCUCUGCAUAAUUGAGCUGUGAUGCCAGGUAUUACCUCCCGAGUCAUGAUAUUGCUGUACUGGAUGUGCAUAAGCUCUUCACAACAUCAAAACACUUUUCAUGCCCCAGGACAGAUUGAGCUGCCUCCCAACCUGAGAACCAACAAAGAUGAAAACAAAGUCGGUAAGCACGUCCACUCAAAAAAACUGAUGGGACAUUCUUCUGCAAAUCCUACUGUGCAUUUCAUUCUUCAUAAAAAAAAAAAAAAAAGGUGUGCAAUCAUCGACACAAUAAGUAUAGACAUUAUUUUCUAGACAAAGAAAAAACAUCAGCACCUUAAUACCGAUAAACAUCCCCAAAAAUAACCGCGAAGCGGCGAACAGAGGUUCCCUGGGUCACCCAAAAAAAAAAAACAUCCCAAAAAAAAAAAAAAAACGACUCUCCAAGCUUAGUCGGUAGUUUGCUAAUUGAAUCAUUCAUACUAUCUGUUGGAGAAAACUUUUAUAUUUGUUUUGAAGUUGACAAAAUGUUUCCAUCAGUCUAGUAUGAAGACUUGUAAACUCAAGUAUUAAAGUCUGACAAGUUCUAGACUCUGUCAUCAAAGUCUGAAGACCUCAAGACUCAAGACUCAAGACUUAAGUCUACCCUCACUGAUAGUUUCUAGACCGACGAAGGAAAGAUUUAUCCGAUGAAGAAGACUUGUCCAGAUGAGAGUAUAUCUUUAAGAAUUUGGUUCGUACGGUUGAAGAAAAUCUCACGGCUAGAGAUAGCAUCUCAUGAUCAACUAUUCUAAUUGAUAUCAAUUCGGAUAAUUGGAUCUGUUGAUUGACGAAGUAUACUUGGAAAAUUCUACUUAUGGAAAACUAGAUCCUGAUUGUUUGGGCGAGUAAGAUUGGUGGGCUAUCAUCACAUUCCUUAAAUAACUUAAGAUCUUCCUAAUUGAUUCUGUCCAACGGAUAGAUUGAAAGAACUCAUUUGGAAGGUGCUAACGGUUAUGAAGGCAUGGAAGAGUAUAUAAGGAAUAUGCUCAAGUUAUUCGAGUGUGUGCGUGAAAGAAAAAUUCUAAAGUUUGAAGCUCUUAAUUCUUUGUUGUUUCAUUUGUCGAGCUCAAAUUGUACUAAAAAAAGAGAUUAAAUACUUGUGAGACCUUGAGAAAAUGUAGUAGAGUUUUUACACUGUAAAAUCAAGAACGUAAGACUGUAAAAUCUCUUUUAGUUCUUAGUGGAAUCCGUGCAGGAGAGUGGACAUAUGCUUGGUCUAAACUGAACCACUAUAAACCUCGUGUUUCAAUUCUCUUUCCCUAAUAUCUUUACUUUAAUUCGUAGCAUUAUAUAACUAUUUAUAGACUUUUACAUCUUUAGUCUAUUAUUCUCAGAAGUCAAAUUAGUUUGUUAAAUUUUGCAAAAACUUCUUUGAUCACCUAUUCACCCCCCUCUAUGUGCUCUUACUAGCCUUAUCAAUUGGUAUAAGAGUUUGUGUGCUCAUUUAAUUGAAGUAUUUUUACUUCUGAGUUAAAGAUCUAUGGCUAGUAUGUUGGCUCCAGGUUUGGUUGAAGGCCAGAACAACACCAAACCACCUUACUUCGAUAGAAAUGAAUAUAGCAUAUGGAUAAACAAGAUAAAGACAUUACUAAGAUCGAAAGAUCCUCUAGAAUGGGAUGUGGUAGAAAAAGGAAUCAUUCAUAAAGUUACAUCUGUUUCAGAAAGGGGAAAAGAAGUUGUAGACACUAGCGAGAUGACUCAAGAAAAAAUAACCAAGAGACAAGCUCUUGAUGCUAAAGCAAUUUACUCAUUAUAUUGUGCAUUAUCUCCUACUGAGUAUAGCAUAAUAUCUUAUUGUGAAACAGCCAAUGAAGUCUGGGAUAGGCUGCACAUUACAUAUGAAGGAAUUGAUCGAGUAAAAGAAACAAUGAUCAAUAUUCUACUCAGAUAGUAUGAAGCCUUCAAGAUGAAGCCAGUAAAAUCUAUUACUAACAUGUUUAGUCGUUUUACAGAAAUUGUAAAUGGUCUAGAGUAUUAGAGACAACCAAUCUUAGAAUCAAUAAAGGUCAACAAAUUGCGGCAUGGACUUUCCAAAGACUGGAAUCACGUAAAAACUUCAAUAAGGGAAACACAAAGAAUCGUGCCACUUUCGAUAGAUGAACUGGUUGGGACACUUCAGUCUUAUGAAGUAGAGCAAAUCAACGAGGAAGAAGAUCCCAAAGAUAAGAAGUUAAUUGCCUUAAAGUCUAACGAUGAUUCUGAUGUUACAGACUCUGAAGAGGACAUAGACGAUGAAGAGCUAGUACUUAUGAUAAAAAGGUUCAGGAAAUUGAACAAAAAGAGAAGAAGGUUCAAUUGGAAGAAACAAAGCAUUUAAAAGUUUCAUAACAAAUCAAUUGAGGAUGAUAAAAUCAACAAAGAUGUGAUCUACUUUGAAUGCAAGAAAAAUGGACACAUUAGACCUAAUUAUCCUCUGUUGAAGAAAAAGAAGGGAAAAGCUUAGAAAUAUAGAAAAGCUCUCAAAGUAGAAACAUGGAGCGAUACUGAAUGCGAAAAAAGUGAUGAAGAUUAUGUCAAUAUUUGUUUGAUAGCAAAAUCAGAAUCGGACUCAGACUCUGAGACAGACACAGACUCAAACUCAGACUUAGAUAGCGAAUUCGAGGUAAGUAAUUUAAAAAUUCCUACUAAAGUCUUAAAAUACAUUGAUGAGCUUUGUCUUAGUCUCAAAACCUCUCUUGAGAAUAUUUCCGAGCUAAAAAGGGAGAAUUCUACACUGAAGUAACAGGAAAUUUCUUAGAAAAGUUUGAAAAUUUAGACAAAAGUUUUGCUUUUUAAAAAGAAAAUGCAGAUUUUCUUUCAAAAGAAAAUUCAUUUUUGAAAAAUGACAUCUCAAACAUUUCAAAAAGGUUUUCAAUAGGAUCUGAAAAGUUGGAAAAGAUUCUUUCUAUACAAAGAUCUUAUUUCAACAAGUUAGGCUUCGGAAUAACUUUAGAAACUAUUCAUUUAAUUCAUUUUCCAAAAGUGAAGGAAAGAAUCAAACAAAGGCCUACAAAAACUUUUUACAGAAAUCAUUUUCAAAAAGUAUUUGUAAAACCUAUUGGGCGAAGUGCUCUCAAAUGUUCCAAGUGCAACAACUCAGAACACUUUGAAAAAGAAUGUCCUAUGGUUUGGAAACCUGUUGAGAAAGAUUGGGCAAAGAUAGUAUAUUGCACUAACUCCACUGGACCCAAGAAAAUGUGGGUACCAAAGAAAGCUUGAGUUUCUUUUUUAAUUGCAGGUUACUAUCAAGAAAAAUGUUAAAUGGUAUUUGGAUAAUGACUGUUCAAGACACAUGACUAGAGAUUCAAAUUGUUUUGUAAAGUUUGUUCAAAUAAAUGGUGGAAAAGUCUCUUUUGGUGGAAAUAGCAAAGAAAGAAUUGUUGGGUGUGGAACUAUAAAGAUUAGAAAUCUCACAAUCAACAAUGUUUCCUUGGUGGAAGGACUAAAUUACAAUCUACUCAGUAUAAGUCAACUGUGCGACACUGGAUUCAAAGUUAAUUUCCAAGAAAGAGUAUGCUCGGGAACCAAUAAAGAUCUUUUUCAAUCUUUUACUAGAUGAAGACAUGGGAACAUUUAUCUUCUAGAUAUCAAACCAGAAAGGCCUCGAUGUCUAAUUUCUAUUCAAGAUGAAGUGAAUCCUUGGCAUCGUAAGCUUGGCCACAUCAACAUAAAGCAAAUUCCCAAGAUCUCUUCCAAGAAACUUGUUCGCGGACUAUCCAACCUGAAGUUUAAAAAAUCUGACUUAUGCAUGCCAUGUGUGUUGGGAAAACAGGUGAGAAGUUCUUUUAAACCAAUAAAUCAAGUUACUACUAAUCGUAUUCUGCAGCUUCUGCAUAUAGAUCUCUUUGGACCAACCAGAACUCAAAGCAUUGGUGGAAAGAGAUAUUGCCUAGUGAUUGUAGAUGAUUAUUCAUGAUUUACUUGGGUUCACUUUUUGGCAAGUAAGUCUGAAACAUUUUCUUACUUUUCAAAGUUUGCCAAAAAAGUACAGAAUGAGAAAGGAUAUGUCAUCUCAAGCAUACGAACAUAUCAUGAAAGUGAGUUUGAAAAUCAAGACUUUGCCAAAUUCUGUGAUGAAUCUGGAUUUCAGCAUGUUUUCUCCUCUCCAUACACUCUAGAACAGAUGAAGUUGUGGAAAGAAAUAAUAGAUCUUUGCAGGAAAUGGUAAGAACCCUUUUAAUUGAAAAUAAUAUUUCUUCUCGUUUUUGGGCUGAAGCAAUUUCUACAGGUUGUUAUAUUUUUAAGAGAGUAUUUUUAAGGCAUAUUCUAGAGAAAACUCCUUAUGAGUUGUUCAAAGGAAAUACGCCAAUUGUUUCUUACUUUCUUUUAUUUGGUUGCAAAUGUUUUGUUUUGAAAAAUGCAAAUGAUCAAACUGGUAAGUUUGAGGAGAAAUCAAACAAAUGAAUCUUUCUUGGAUAUUCAACCACCAGCAAAGCUUACAGAGUAUUCAACAAAAAGACUCAGUCUGUAGAAGAAUCCAUGAAUGUCAAAUUUCAAGACUCUUUGUAGAAUCAACUGAUUCAGACUUAGCCUGAAGAAUCUUAAGUUACUCUAGACUUUACAAAGCCUAACUCCCCUGAAGUGACUCAAACUUCUGGAUAAAAUCAACGAACGGAAGUUGAAGAAUCAAUUGAAGUAGAAGAACAACAUUCUGUCAGACCAACCAGCAACUGGAAGCACAAGUCUAGUCAUCCUAAUGAACUCAUCAUCGGUAACAUUAAUGAAGGGAUUCAUAUCAGAUCCAAAAAGCAAGAAGAGUCUAGCGUUGUGGCACUUAUUUCUGAAGUAGAACCCAAAAGCAUAGAAGAAGCUUUAACUGACAAAAGCUGGAUUGAAGUUAUGCAAAAAGAGCUCAGAUAGCUCAGCAUCAAUGAUGUUUGGGAAUUAACUCCUAAACCUAAAGGUAAAUCCAUUAUUGGAGCUAAAUGGGUUUUCAAGAACAAGAUGGAUGAGAAAGGAAAAGUGAUCAGGAACAAAGUAAAACUCGUGGCCAAAUGAUAUACACAAGAAGAAGGGAUAGACUAAGAUGAGACCUAUGCACUAGUAGCAAGAUUAGAAGCUAUUAGAUUAUUACUUUAUUUUGCCUGUUAUAAAAAUUUCAGGUUAUUCCAAAUGGAAUCAAAAGUGCAUUCCUAAAUGAAUUUAUUCAAGAAGAAGUUUAUGUGGAACAAUCUCCCAGAUUUGAAGACCUAAAAAGACCAAACUCAAUAUUCAGACUGAAAAAUACUCUAUAUGGUUUAAAGCAAGCACCUCGAGUAUGGUACAACAAGUUGAGUACGUUUUUAAUUCAAAAUAGUUUUGUCAAAGGAAAAGUGGAUAUUACUUUGUUUAUUAAAAGAGAAGGUAAAAAUUUUAUACUUGUUCAAAUUUAUGUUGAUAAUAUCAUAUUUGGAUCACCUAACGAAAACCUGUGCAAGAAAUUUUCUAAGUUUAUGUAGGAUGAAUUUGAGAUAAGCAUGAUGGGUGAAAUAUCCUUCUUUCUCAGUAAAACAAUUGAAUGAAGGAAUUUUCAUUCACCAGGAAAAAUAUGCAAAAGAACUUGUUAAAAAGUUCGGAUUAGAGAAUUGCAAAAAGACUGAGAUACCAAUAUCUAGUUCUUCGAAGCUGGACAAAGAUGAAGGAGGAAAGAAAGUUGACCAGAAGCUCUACAGGAGUAUUAUUGGUUCACUUCUUUAUCUUACUGCUUCUAAACCUGACAUUUUGUUUAGUGUUUGCAUUUGUGCUAGAUUUCAAUCUAAUCCCAAAGAAUCUCAUCUAAGUGCUGCAAAACGCAUCACCAAAUACGUUGCAACUACCUCAAAGUUAGGUCCGUGGUAUCCCAAGGAAGAAGACUUUACUCUCCUUGGAUAUUCAGACACAGAUCUAGUAGGUUGCAAAAUUAAUAGAAAGAAUACUUCCGGUACUUGUCAAUUGCUGGGAAACAGGACAAUAUCGUUACUCUCAUGGAAGCAAAGCACUACAGCUCUUUCAACAGCAGAAACAGAGUAUGUGGCUCUUGGAAGUUGUUGUUCUCAAAUCCUAUGGAUAAAACAACAACUGAGAGACUUUGAGAUCGAAAACUCAUGCACUGAGAUCAAAUGUGACAACACCAGCGCAAUUAAUCUCACAAAGAAUCAAAUUUUUCACUCAAGAGCAAAGCAUAUGGAAAUUCAACAUCAAUUUAUUAGAGAUCAUAUUCAAAAUGGAGAAGUUAUUAUUCAAUUCAUUGACUCAAAGAAUCAACUGGCGGACAUAUUUACAAAGCCUCUAGAGAAAAGUCUAUUUGAGUCUAUUCGCACCAGACUGAACAUCAUAUCUUUUAUCUAGUAAAGUCUGGAAAUGCUCCAGACUUAGAGGUAAAGUCUGAAGUUGUUCAAACUCAGAAUAACUAAGAAAUUAUGACUAUAAGUUAUUUUUAUUUCAGUAUUUUAAUUUGAAAAGGUACGAUUACUUUUAAUCGCUAAUUGAUUAUUAUAUUUAGAAGUUAUCUUUUCCAAGUUUUUAAAUUUAUGGAAGUUAUUCUUUUUCAAAAAGGCAAUUAUUCAAAAAGGCGAUUAUUCUUUUUUGAAAAGGUAUUUUUAUUUUUCCUAUUAUGUCAUUUCGAUUACCUCACUUCACUUACUUUAUAUACAGCCGAGAUUCGUCUUCUUCGUUUUUACUUUGAAACCCUAGAAUACAAAAUUCACAUUUGCUUUCACUUUCACUCUCGUUUUGUCCAAAAGUUUUCACCUUUUUCGAGCAAACUUGUGAAUUUCUCCCUUGAAGCGACAAUGUCUUCAAGAAAGUCUUCAAGGAUUGCAAGCAAGGGACCACGACAUAUGCCUGAGGGUUCUAUGCAUUUUGACUUGAUCGAGGAAGAAGAUUCUUCUCCACCACUGCGUCCAAGUCAGCAACAACCCUCUCAGUAGCAUCCAUCUUUUACACCAACUCAACCAGAAAAAGAAGUUAUCAAAGAGGCUGAACCUGUAAGAACACUAAAUCCAAAGGUUGCUUUCAAACUUUAUUCUAAUUUGAAGGAAGGAGGAACAUCGAUGUCUUUGAUCGACGAGUUCUUAAGAGAUAGGGGAUACAAGAACAAAACCUUAUUCUUGCGAGAGUUGGAAAGGUUAGGAGUUCUAGAGAGAGAAACGGCUGAAAGGACUUUCGCAAAUUUCCCGAGUGACCCUUUAUAUGGCACUGCAACACAACCUCAAGGACUGGACAACGAUGAAAGGAUGUUUACCCAUUUUCAACCUAGAACGGGAGUGGCUGCUAAUAUUGCUGAUGGUUCCAAUCUUUUAGAUCGAAAAAUCAUAAGAGGGUUUAUUCAAAUCUGCUAAAGAGAAGGGUUAUGCACCCUAUGAAUGUCAAUUUUGAUUUCCUUGAUUCGGUAAAAGUCAAUCUGCGAGAGAAGCUUGCUCUACUAUAAUUGGAGUGCUUUUGUUUUGAAUCCACUACUGUUUAUCCGAAACUCACAGCUUACUUUUACUCGAACUUAUCUUUCGUGGAUGCAAACAGCUUUUCUUUCACAGUGAGAGAUGAGGAGUUCUUGGUGAAUAUGGACACAUUGGCUGACAUAAUUGGGGUAGAAAGAGUGAGUUUCCAACCAAUUAGCGUGUCUAUUGCUCAUGCUACUCUGUCAUUGGUGAAAGAUCGGGAUAUUAAAGACAAGAUUUCCUACUCCAUGAUGAAUGCCUCAAACAUCUUGCUGCACAAGAUCAUAAUCAACUGCAUUCGUCCCAAGUCGACAUCCAAGACGGAUGUCUCUCAAUCUGAAGCGAAAUUGAUGUAUGCCAUCAAUGCUGGCUUUAAACUCUCUCUGCCUCACACCAUAUUGUUUCACAUGUACCGAUCAGUGGUGAAAGAUAAGGAACAACUCUCUUAUUCUGCUCUUAUCACGCACCUUUUUAGACAUUUUAAAAUUCCAAUCUUUGCACCAUUAUGUUUGUCAAAUAUUUCCCCAAUGGUAAUUGGAUUUAAAAUGAUCACAAAGAUGUGUUUAAAAUAGCUUAACAAUGUGUUAAAGGGCAUGAAGGAGAAGUCUCAUGUCAAAGCAAAACAAGACUCUGCUGCAACCAAGAGAAAAGGUAAGGAGCCCAUGGAUGCUCCAGUGAAGAAGAAGAGAGUUCUCAUCUUGUAGGAUGAAGAGGAUGAGGACGCACUGACUCUUUCAGCCUUACGAAAUUUGAAAGGUUUUGUCAGCUUUGAAGAGACUCAAGAAGAGCCACGGGAAGGAGAAAAGAAGAGAGACGAGACAGAGAAAGAAAUUGAAGAACAAAGGUGGACAGAGGAAGAAAGAGAAGAAGAGGAAGAAGAGGAAAGAAGAGGAGAAAGAUAAGAAGAGGAAGAAGAGGAAAGAAGAGGAGAGACAAAAGAAGCAAGAAGAAGAGAAGAAAGAGACCAGGGUCAAGAAGACUCUUUUGAGCCAACUUUAGCUAUCUCUUUGUCCAGUGAAUUUGAAAUGGCUGACACUAGGAUUGCUGGAGCACUUGACAUAGCUAAACAUCACUCUGAAGUUGAAGCUGCAGUUGAAGAAGUUGUUUCUACUCCUCUUAAAAGCAAACAAAUAGAGGAAGCUGUUGAACAAAAAGGUACUUCUUCACCUUUAUUUACUAGUGAUGUGAGUCGCUCCGCUGUAGAUCCAGAAGAUGUAUAUGCUUCACAGUACCCAAAAGAUAGUCAUGGUGGACAAUCUGCUGAAGAUCCUUCCACUCUCAAAGUCCAUGGAAAUGACUCAGCUAGACCUAGUGCUGCGACAGAAUAAACAGUAGACUUUUUGAGGCUGUUAAAAAUUCUAUUGGAUGUAAGAAAGCAACAAUAUGCUAUGGGAUAUGAGAUGUAGGAUCUCAAAAAUGCUUUCAUGGCUACUUCAGUAUCUUUGCACGAUCAGUUGAACGCCCUGAAGAAUCAAGUGUAAUCUGCAGUGCAAGGUGCAGAUUUCCAGUCACUGAAGCAGAGUUUUGCAAGGCUUGAGAAGACUGUAGAUUCUAUGGGAGAAUUCGAGCUUGUUCGCCUUCCAAAACAGCCAUGAUUCUGACUCUAUUUUCAACAACUCUUUUUAUUCAUUCUCCACUUUUUGCUAUUAACAAAAAGGGGGAGAAGUUUAGAUGCAGAUUUGAUUUAACUUUUGUUUGAUUUGUUGGACUUAUUGUCGGACUUAUCUUUUGAUUAGUUGUGAUUUGGACUGUUUAAUUUGAUGCUUUGACUUGCAGUAACUUAAGCUAUGAUAAUGAUUAUGGAAAGGGUAGUUGUUUGGCAAGACUAACACAUUUCUGUGGUUGCAGAAUCGCUACUAUAUCCAUAUUUUAAUCUACUUAUCUCUUUUAAGAUAUCUAGUUUUGUUUAAGUAUUGUUUUAUAGGACAAUAGUGUUCAAAUCUGCAUGAAAGUUUUAUAACCAUAAAAAAGGGGAGAUUGUUGGAGAAAACUUCCGUAUUUGUUUUGAAGUUGACAAAACGUUUCCAUCAAUCUAGUCUGAAGACUUGUAGACUCAAGUAUUAAAGUCUGACAAGCUCUAAACUCUAUCGUUAAAGUCUGAAGAUCUCAAGACUCAAGACUCAAGACUCAAGACUCAAGACCCUCACUGAUAGUCUCUAGACCGACGAAAGAAAGAUUUAUCCGAUGAAGAAGACUUGUCCAGAUGAGAGUAUAUCUUUAAGGAUUUGGUUCGUACGGUUGAAGAAGAUCUCACGACUAGAGAUAACAUCUCGUGAUCAACUAUUCUAAUUGAUAUCAAUUCGGAUAAUUGGAUCUGUUUAUUGGCGAAGCAUACUUUGAAGGUUCUAUUUAUGGAAACCUAAAUCCUGAUUGUAUGGGCGACAGGAUUGGUGGGCUAUCAUCACAUUCCUUAAAUAACUCGAGAUCUCCCUAAUUAAUUAUGUCUAACGGGUAGAUUGAAAGAACUUAUUUGGAAGGGGGCAACGGUUAUGAAGGCAUGGAGGAGUAUAUAAAGAAGACGCUCUAAUUAUUCGAGUGUGUACGUGAAAGAAAAAUUCCAAAAUCUGAAGCUCUUAGUUUUUUGCUGUUUCAUUUAUCGAGCUCAAAUUGUACUCAAAAGAGAGAUUAAAUACUUGUGAGACCUUGAUGAAAUGUAGCAGAGUUUCUACACUAUGAAAUCAAUGACGUGAGACUAUAAAAUCUCUUUUGGUUUUUAGUGGAAUCCAGCCAGUGGGCUGUCAGUGCGGGAGAGUGGACGUAGGCUUGGUCUAAGCCAAACCAAUAUAAAUCUUGUGUUUCAAUUCUAUUUCCCUAAUCUAUUUACUUUUAUCCAUAGCAUUAUAUAACUAUUUAUAGUCUUUUACAUCUUCAGUCUAUUAUUCUUAGAAGUCAAAUUAGUUUGUUAAGUAUUGCAAAAACUUCUUUGAUCAGCUAUUCACCCCUAUGUAGAUGCUCUUACUAGCCCUAUCACUAUCAAAAUCACAAGGAUCAUUAAUCCAGUAGGAGGUGAUGGCACCAGUUUCUUAUUGCCAAUUUAUGUGAAGACUUUGGCAAGAUCGAUGAUGUGAUGGAGCAACUGACCGUUGAAUGCUAAGUAAGAGAGAAAAAAUAGUAAGAUUGCAAUGAGGUGGGUUCAACCAAGCAAGGAAUGAGAUCGUGUGCACCAUGGUUUUAAGAGCAUGGAAAGUGAAACUAAACGUGUCCAAAUCUUUAAUCAGGACAGCACAUGAUUGGAGGCAAGCAGGACAGAUAGUAGCAUCCGCUGUCAUGCAUCCAUUAAUGCAAAUAAGAAACCGCAAUAUCCUCUAACUGUAGCACCAGCAAAGCAGAAUAAUCAUAAUGACGACAACGACAAUGAUGAACAUUCGGUAGCUUUCGCAAAUAGCACAACAAGAAUUAUUAUAUUACUAAUUUCAAAUAACAAGUCGGCCAGAUUACUUACAGCUUCAUAACUGAUUCGUGCGAGAAGCUAUACACCUGCGAGGAUGUACGAUGGUGGAAAGACAUUACUCAAUCACUCGAGCCGCAAAAUAUUGAAGCCCAGCACAUGGCAACCUUCCAUCAAACAGCCACAAGAAUGUCUGCAUUCAUUGUAGCAGGAACAGCCCUAUUCAAAGAGGAUAGACCCAAAUUCAGGCCCUCCAAGGCAAUUUGCCUUAUGUGAAAGGCUUCAUUAGCCAUCCCAGCCUUUAAAAGGCAACAGACAAACAGAAUUAACUGUGAUGCCGUCAGGAGCACAACCAACCGACACCAUCUUAUUGUAAAUUCUCAUUGCUUCCAUCAUUCUCCCCUUCAUACAAUGCCCAAUGAUGAGAAUUGUAAAUGUCAAUUUAUCAGGUCUGCAUCCCUUCUCCUCCAUCUCCGCCAAUAUUAUGUUUGCCUCAUCUACGUUACCUGUUUUGCAGAACCCAUCCAGUACUGGACUGUAAAUAAAUGGUUUAGGGACAAUAUCCGUCCACCUCAACUCUCUUAAACAUUCACGAGCAUCAUGCAACCUAUUAUCCUUACAUAAUGCGUUGAUAAGUACUGAAAAGGUAUAAGCAUUGGGUGAUAUGUUCCUAGCAGACAUCAGCCGCCAAAGCUUCAAGCCCUCAUUCACCUGCCCCACUCGACAAUGCCCAUCAAUUAAGGAAGUAAAGGUAACAUCAGGGUAGCAACCAACAGAGAGCAUCUUGUCAUACACGGUUCAGUUAUAGCACCAAAAAUCCAUUAGCUCCAUCCGUGAUGUCGACUGGACUUUUUUGUUCACUUGUUUGCCAAAUGAAAAUGCUUGCUGAAACGAUCAUUCCCCAGCUCAGGGUUUCAACGCUUCCCAUGAGACCUAGGAAUAGAUUGCUGAUUGCUGUAGAAUCUAUUAGCUAAUCAUUGAAGAUUAAGACCUAUGUCGGUAUUAGAUAUUCAUUUUCUUCCAAUCCUUCAUAUGUGCAGAAAGACUGGAGAGAAAAGGGCAUUGUAAGCCCAAUUAAAGAUCAGGGGCACUGUGGAUCUUGCUGGACUUUCAGGUUUUUCUUUAUUUCCUUUUUAGAUUUAUAUUUGUCUCUCCGUAGUAUAUGACACGGUUAUAGCUCUGGAACUCAUUGAAAUGUCAUUAUGCUAGACUGCUGGUGACCUCUAAUUUGAACUUUUGCAGUACCACUGGAGCUCUUGAGGCUGCUUAUCACCAAGCAUUCGGGAAACAAAUCUCUCUGUCUGAGGCUGAGCAGCAGCUCAUGGACUGCGCUGGGGCUUUCAACAACUUUGGAUGUAGUGGUGGACUGCCAUCCCAAGCCUUCGAGUACAUCAAGUACAAGGGUGGCCUUGAUACCGAGGAAGCAUAUCCUUAUACCACAGAGGAUGGUACCUGCAAAUUCUCGGCUGAUAAUGUUGAUGUCCAAGUGCUUGACUCUGUUAACAUCACCUUGG